RNAcentral lists this long non-coding RNA (137853 nucleotides) under Coffea arabica (coffee). RNAcentral describes it as "long non-coding RNA (CARA_LNC003515)". Lineage: Eukaryota; Viridiplantae; Streptophyta; Magnoliopsida; Gentianales; Rubiaceae. The record is from RNAcentral.
GUACGGGGUGUAAGACCCUGCGUCUCCGAACGAAGAUGUAACGAAACCGGGAAAUUAUCGCAGUUUAUUUGUGCACGGAGCUUUGUAUACGUACGUAGGAAAUCUUGGUCCUCUAAUUUGUAUUAAAUAGUGUAAAGGAAAUUAAGCAGAAAUGAGUGAAGACGUGAAGAAGACGUUGUAACAGGACUAAAGUCUUAAAAUAGAGUGAUUUGGAUGGCCGUGUGGACAUCGAUAAUGGCCCCCAUACUGCAUUGCGCAUGGUUAUGUGAAAAGAAUUAAAGAAACACACAGUAGAGGUUGAGUUUGUUGGUGUUAAUGAAAAUGCAUGUCGAUAGUGGUAUUUUGUGCUAAAGGUUGAUAUAAUUGCAUCAGCCACACUUAUAAAAACUGUGUAUAUGAAUGUUAGAGUAAUGUUUAUCGUCUGCAUUUUGUGAAAGUUGUGAGGUAAAGUAUGGUUUGUUAAGUGAAAUGAUCGUGUAUAUAUGUUUUGUUCCAUUAGUAGACGAUCAGUAUUUAUGUUACAAACGAAAGCAUAUGGGGAGGCUGAAAAAAAAAUGUGUAGCGACCAUGGUUAGAAAAAGCAUUGAACAACCACACAGGGGUUGUAAGUAUGGGGCAGGAUGGGGUGCUUAAAACUCAUGACAUGGUGCAGGAAACAGAGAAGGGAAAAAUGGGGAUGGAUGGUUGCGGCAGGUUAAUGUCAUUUGACCUUAACCAAGAACCUGAGUGUGACCGAGACACAUGCAGUGAAGAAAGCGGUGGUUCAAUAGGAGGACACGAAGAUGAGGAGGCAGAUGAAUUGGUGGGCGCAAUAGGCGUGGAUGACGUAAUGAAAUUAACAUUUGACACGGAAGAAGAAGCUGGGGAAUUUUAUAAUUUGUAUGCGAAACUAAGCGGAUUUGGGAUUCGUAAAAGUAAUGCCAAACGAGAUGAAGAUGGCAUUUCAAGAUUUAGAAAAUGGGUAUGUUGCUGUGAAGGUUAUAGGAAUGAAAAGUGGUUUAAUUAUGAAGACCGGAAAAGAGAAGCAAAAGCAAUCACAAGGACCGGGUGUGGGGCUUGCUUUCGCGUGAAAUAUGACACAGAAUCGGUAAAGUAUGUGGUGACACGUUUCAUUAUGGAGCACAAUCACCCGCUGGCAUCAGAGGUAAGUGUGCAACACCUUAGGUCGCAAAAAAAAGUGAGCGAUGCAGAAUAUGCGCAGGCAAAAAGUCUAAAGUUGGUUGGGGCCAGAAUAUGCCAGAUAAUGAAACAUUUUGUUAUCAAAGCCGGAGGGUAUAGUAACGUGGGAUUUUGCAUUAAGGAUCUGUAUAACCGAAUGGACGAGGAACGUAGAAAAGAUAUUUUUAAUGGCGAUGCAGAAGGGGCACUUGGGUUCUUGGCAGCGAAGAAGGAUGCCGAUGACAUGUUCUUUUAUAAAUAUCAUGUAGAUAACGAAGGAAGAUUGGCAAGGUUGUUUUGGGCAGAUUCUAAAUCUCGUGUGGACUUCAGUGUAUUUGGAGAUGUAUUGGUGUUUGAUACAACAUACAAAACAAAUAAAUACCGCAAGCCACUAGUUGUACUUGCAGGGGUAAACAACCAUUUGAACAGUACUAUUUUCGGCUGUGCACUGUUAUCAGAUGAGAGGAUUGAAACAUAUGAAUGGGUGCUAAGUACAUUUGUAGAGGCUAUGAAAGGUAGAAAGCCAGUAGCAGUGAUGACAGAUGGUGACAGUGCAAUGCGAAGAGCGAUAAAGAAUCUUCUCCCGGAUGCUUGUCACAGGCUAUGUUCGUGGCACUUGCAUAGGAAUGCACGGAGUAAUAUUCGCUGCGAGGAGUUUAAUAACAGGUUGUAUGACCUGAUGGCGAGAAAGUUUAGCACUCUUGAGUUUGAGGAUCGCUGGGCUAGGUUAAUUAAUGAAUGUGGGGUGGUAGAGAAUGAGUGGGUGAAGAAGUUGUACCGUAGGAGAAGGUUAUGGGCAGAAGCCUAUUUACGCGGUAAUUUUUUUGCAGGUAUGAGAAGCACUCAAAGGUGUGAGAAAAUGAAUACUUUUUUGAACGAGUACUUGAAUGAAAAAAUGCGACUAUAUGAAUUCGUUAGAAGUUUUGAUUUGGCAAUAGCAUGGCUUCGACAUACUGAGAGCAAAGCAGUUCACACAAGUGAAAACACAAAACCAGUCUUAACCACAAUCCUGCCCGAAUUAGAGGCGAGCGCAGCGGAGGUGUUUACAAGGAAUGUGUUCUUCAUGGUGAGGAAGCAUUUGAACAGGCAGGGACUUCUAAUUUCUGAGGGCUGGAGCGAGGAUGGAGGGAGUCGUACAUAUUAUUACUCGAAAUAUGGUGGACACGAAAUUAGUUGGAGGGUGGUUUAUGAUAGGUCAAUGGAGAAGCUAAUCUGCUCUUGCAUAAAAUUCGAGUCAAAGGGGAUUCCUUGUGCUCACAUGUUUCGCGUGAUGGUGGUAGAAGGAAUGAACAGGAUCCCAGAAGCAUGCAUUUCAAAGCGGUGGACAAAGGGAGUUUACAGUACUAAUAAUGGAAUGAAAGCAUUUGUUACAGACGAACAGCUGACACAAAUGGCCAGAUAUGGCACUUUAAAGUCGAGCUGUAAUAGUAUGUGUUACUAUGCGUCCUACAUGGAUGAUGCGUUUAAUGACCUGCAGCAGAUGUUUGACAAGCAUUCUGUGGACCUAAAGGAGAAGUGGAUUGAAAGGGGAUAUGGGGGAGACGGAUUUGCAAUGGAUUCAAGAGUGAUGAACGAUAGAAGUAGAAGAACAUUCGGGCUGUUAGAUCCCAGGGUGUCCCGGUGUAAAGGUGAUCAGAAGCAUGCAGAAACAAAGAAGAAAAGAAAGUGUGGUCAUUGCAGGUACUAUCGAAAAUGCAUACGUAGUUAUAAGCAAUUUGUUAAUUGAUAAAAUACAUGAAGUGGACAGUGAAGGUAAUAAUUAUUAUGUGGGUAUUUUUCAACAAUAGCAAAUAAACACAUAAUUGAAAGUGCAUACAAAGUAUACAAAGUUAUUGGCAGUGCAAGAAAGUUGAAGUGGUGUAAUGUUAGCAAUGUGCUUAGUUGACGUGGUUACUUGCAGUCACAAAUGAUUUGACAUGUGAUAUAUGGGUUGAAGAUUGCAGGCAGGCCACAACCAACGAACAUGCCCAUACAAAAAGAAUUCGCACAACACAGCAGUUCAUGAUGAUCAUAUGGAAAAUUGUUUGGAUGAAUCGGUGGAAAAAUCAUUUGAAAUUGGUACGGGGUGGAGCGACUCAGGCGAAUGGAGAGGACAAGCAUUUGCACCACAAGCAUGCGGUAGCGGUGGAAGGGACACAGGUGACCAACAAAGAAGUCCAGGAGAAAGAUGAGGCACAACUGUUGUGAUGGUUCGGUUUGCAGUUACGCAAUAAAUAAGGCAGAUUUUGGUGAGUAGAGGUGCAAGAGUAUUGAAGGUUGCUAGCUAGGUCUAGAUGGGUAAGUCACUGUAGUUCCACCGAAGGCGUCAUGCACAGAAGGAUCACAAGAUGCAUCACUGUCAUGGUUGCGUCGUAAGCACUGUUGUAGCAAAUAGUGCUGCUGCACUUGGUUAAUAGGAGAGAGUAAGUAGUUGACAAAUUGUGUAUUACGGUCCUUUUUUGUAAAUAGGAAAUUAAGUGGAAGCGUAUGUUGCGCAAAAUGUCUUCGUGGGAUAGACGUUUUCCGAAGUGGCUACUUGGGAAUCAUCUUCAGUUGCCAGGUUUUGUAAACUGGUGCCUUACGCUGCUGCUAUAAACUGCUUUUACGAUAUGGGCCGUUUGUUCGUCUCCUUGCUAUCCUAACCAAUGACCGUAAGGCCCAACGCCUUUUGUUUUGCCCAUCGUUUCAUUCUGGUGUAGGAACAGUAACUUUUGUUUCUCCCCAUCUAUUUUCAUUACUCACAAUGCUUAUGCGUCUCUUCAGUGCACCAAUGACAAUGGUAUUAUUAUAUAUGUAUAUUAAUUUAUGCAAUAUAAUUAAUAUUAUGAAUUAUACUAAUAAUUAUACAUAUCUACUAAUAGAAAUUAUUAAUUAGUUCGAAUAAGUUUAAGAAUACAUUUGUACUAAUAUAUUUAAUUAGCCAAUAACUAUCAGUUACGAUUAAUAUUUUUUACAUCAUUUGUACAUUUCCAUUGGAGUUUACUAUUUUACGUAACUUGUUGGCACACGAUUAAUGAAUUUCUUAUUAUAACAAUUAUGCAAUGUCCGCGUCAUGUCCGUAAUCUAAAUUGCUAUUAACAUGUAGAAAAAAUUCCACAUGUUUACUGACACUCCAUCCGAACAACUUUGAUACCUCUGAUGCUUUUUUGGUGACAUAGUUAAACAAAAAUUGGUAUAUCCUGUUGGAACAAUCCACUUAGGUAGCAAUGCUUCGUCAGCCUCCCUCACACUAAUUACUGUACAACUGUGUGGAAGCUGGAACACACAAAUUACUGUACAACUGUGUGGAAACUUGAACUCAUGAUAUAAUGUUGGAGUUGCAUUCAUACAAAAGGCUUUUCUGUCAUGAUAUAAAUACGUCCAGAAAAUGUAAUGCAGUAAGUAUGAUAGAUUUAUAGUAACAACAACUUGCAUUUAAAUUAUUUUGUUGUAAAUAUUUAAUUUCACUGCAAACUUCAAUUGCAGGUGAAGAACAAUCUUGGACAGACGAAAAAUAAGAACAGGACUAGAAAUUAGUUGUGGGAAAAUGACGGUGACAAAUUUUCUAUGGAAGCAGUGAAACGGUACAAAUUUAGAGAAACAAGUUCAACGUUACCAAUUAUCUGUGAACUGUUAACAUUUUCCGUACUGGGUGUUCAAAUUUUAAAUUGUAUUAGAAGUACACAACAGACGUGGCGAUUGCUCACAGCUCGGCUUUGUUGCUGGGGACUCCCAACUACUUUGCAUGCUCAUUCCUCCGGCUACACAACCUUGUUUGCGGUUAUGGGCCAUGGGUGCUCAGUCUUAGGCAUUAUGAAUUCCCUGACAUUCGUGAGCUUUGCCUCUACCAAGGUCUUCCGUAAAUGUCUCCGUCCCGGCACUUGUGUUCGGACGCUUAGAAAGACAGGAUUCCCAGCCACCAAUUCCACCGCGAAGGCAGCGUUUCCUUGCCCCCUUUUGGAGCUUCAAUGCAGUUUCCAAAAUUACCUGUAUUUGAUGUAGCCUUUGGUCCACCACUUGUGAGUUGUCCGACACAUUGGAUGCCAAACGAAAUAUUUCUGCACUUUUUUCUAAGACUUUCUUUCUGAGGCCCAUGCAAUGAACAAGCAGGUCCUCGUACCAGUGUCUAGGCACCUAAGCGGAAACAACACAGAUGGCUGUAUUAAUUGUACACAAAUUGCUAAAAUUAAAUGCCGAGUGAAGUACAGGGCGAAGAAUGCCAUACCACAUCACCAACAGCACAUGGAAGAGGCAACCCUAUUACAUCGCCACCAACCCUGUGAAUGCCCUCCUGCUGCAGUGAUCCAUCAGUUUGUAUGCACAACACAGACCAGGGAGGGUAAUUAAUUGGAUGUUUCAGUGACGGUGUUGUAGCCUCACUUAGUGGCAACUGGUCACAUAUAUGAAUUAUGCACUCCUUCCCACUGGGUGGCAACGUGGAGGAAGUCAUUGGUUUCAUUAGCCUGCUGCGCACAAACUCGUCAUACGUAGCAUAUGGAGGGGGAUCUGGGUAUAGGCUUGCAAUGGGCAGUCCAUCAAGCACAUCAUGUAGCGUGUUUCCCGAAAUUGUAUCAGCGCUGUACAUAUCUGAUGGCCGAUGGGGAGGUUGCUUUGCACAUACACCUGCAUACACCUGCCUAAUAACCCUCUCGCCCAGGUAGUAAAAUCGUCCCAUGGGGCCAUCCAAAAGCAAUCUCGUUGCAGUUAGUUCCUUGGAUUUGAGAUACCGACUAGGCAAUGCCAUUGCAGGGAAGGGUAGCCAGUUGACCUAGGACACACAAUUAACAAGCGAUGUAACAUUGGUUUGUUGAACAGGCGGAACAAAUUCAUAACAACUGUUAACACGUAGGCGGUAGAAAAUGUAAGAUGUCGUAAGUACGGGAACUAACGUUGUCCGGGUUAAUGGUGUCAAUUGCGCGGCGAAAAUGUUCGACCGUAGACGGUGAUUGUCGGCUGGCUCUAUUACACGAGCGCCAUCGCCACAUUCUGGGCAAUACGUCCCUCUCGUCCUGUUUCAGUUUAUACGGACUUAACUGAAGAAUUUCAUAAGCCCACACCUACACGUGGUUGUACAAAUUAUAUCCAGCGUUGGAGAUGAACACUAACUGCUUGAAAAGUUUAUUUAACGGAACAGGGUAAUGUCGAAUUGACACAGAGUGAAGGCAAUUGUGGACUUACCUCCCAAACGAAGCUGUAGCCGCCAAGGCUUUUCGUCCGGCGUCGGGAGACGGCGGACAUAAAUUUGUACAAGGUUGCCAUCCCCGCCCCUCCCCAGUUAUAAUCCCCUAUACGAUCUACGUCCUCCAGCGCAGGCAGACAGCACAUGUGAAUUGUUUCGGCCGUGUUGCUAAGUAAAGUGCGGCCAAGCAUGUAGAGAAAGAAAGCUCUAGUUAGAUGUGCCAGCUGGACGUCGUCGUUCUCGUCAAUGGCUUUGUCUUUGUAGAAUGACAAUAUAUCGGUAACUCUGAUGGCACCGGCAGAAGCAAAAGCUGGCACCCAACCCAAUUGGUCGUUGAUGUAAUUGGCAUUUUCCCUAACAUUGUAAUCCCACGGAAUGGGCAACCCGCCCACUGCAACACCGGUUAUACAGGUGAAGUCCAAGGGUGUCAGUGUCAUCUCUCCGAAAGGCAAGUGGAACGAGUUUAUUGAGUCCCACCAUCGCUCCGCAAGUACGACAGGCAACUUCCUAUCUCUAUCGGCCACGGGCAAGUGGCUCAGAAAAUCCCCAAACCCAGCAGUAACAACUUUCGCGGCCACCUUACGAGACAGCCUCUUCCACCACUCCAUAACUUCGACUGACGACCCUCUAGGAUAAAUUGAAUAGACUUCCUGUGCAUUAAUGUAGAACCAAUUCAGGCAGUUAUAUAUAAGUAUAAACCAAAUGAGGGCUUAGGGCAAAAUAAGCACAAGUAAUUGUCGACAUUGAUUCUGCAACAUGUACCCCCUGUGCAAGGAAAAUGUGUGAUAUGUGGGUUUUCCGAUCAACCAGCAGUUCUUGCGAGUGUUCUUCAUCAGGCGGUGGCCGGUACCGAUGGAGCCUGCCCAUCGCACGGCUUUUUUGGAGUUGGAUUUUAUUUCGAAUAUUGUGAUGGCGCAGCUCUAGUUAUCACAAAAUCCCUGUCGCCCCACCCGCGAUUAUGAACAGCUUUGCCGUUAAGUGUUGCGGCCUUGUAGGUGCGUAGGCGUCUUUCUUCGCGAGAAAUUUGAAUUGUUAGACAUUUUGGACGGCUGUCGCCAGGUUGGGCGUGCAAUGGGCUUGUACCUGGUAAUUAGGGUUGCAAAUUGGGAAAAAUGUGUUACAGUGACGGUCGGCGCGUGUGCUAUGCAUGAUUUCAUUGGCCUUGACAUACAUACCCUUCUCAGUUUUACUUGGACGACUAAGGAAACAGUAUUGUGGCCAACCUGCGCGUCGUAAGCAAUGAAAUGUCUCCGAACGUUUCAUUUUAGCGAGUGGGAAAUUUGGAUCAGAUUGCCAUGAAAUAAUUUGAAUUUAUAAACAGAAACCGCAACCCCGAGACAUUAACAGCUAAAAUUGAAAAGCACCCGUAAUAUUACGGAUGGUCCGGACGAUAAACGAAUACGGGUUGCUAGAACUGCAAUGACACUAUGUUGACACGGGCUGUGCAACGCACAGGCACGGCCCUCUAGAACAUUAGUUAAAUACAUACCACCGGCAGUUUUAGUGCACAAUGAAUAGAAAUAUAGGAAAAAUAUUAAGUAUAAAAACAAUUAAAAUUUGCUGUGAAAAGAACUUUGAUAUAUAAAGUUAACCCCAAUUUAUUGUGAUUUGGAAAAAGGAUUUGUAACCAACAUUAUGUGUACGUAAUGAUACCAAAAAAGAAAACAAAGCAAAUCCAUUAUGAGUGCAUGAUCGGUUUAAGAGCAGCAUAGUUUUAAUUGUAAUUAAAUAAACAGUAGUCAUAAUGUUUCAGAAAUUUUAAUAAUUAGAAAAAAUAUAGAAAGGCACAAAAACCUGUGACCAGCUUCAACAUCAAUCAAAAAAAUACAAACUUGCAUAUUUUUCUUUCUUUUUUGAGAGAAAUAGCGAGUUAAUCUAUCCAUUUAAAUCAUGUCUAAUAGCAUUACAAAUAGAUGGAAACAUUAUCUAACCAAAUAGUUAUAGAAUAUGUAUAGCAAGUUUAAAUAAAAACAUGAAUUGCCAUAUUUGUAAAUGUACAUAUGCAAAUUCAAAUUCAACAAUUUGUUUGAUUGCAAUUAUGUCUUCUUAAUGAAAAUAGAAUUUUCUAAUAAUAUUUUGUAUAGUGACACUCUAAGCUAAAAGCCUCAAUACUAACUUCCACCACCAAAUGCAUUCCUUUGAAAACUGCAACUGUUUUAGCUAGUCAAAUCAACAAAAUAUUAUUAACUUCUUUAGCCAAAUAGUAAUGACAUGUCCAUUUGAAGUUGCCUAACAAUCAUCUCAAACUCUAAUUACAUUAUCUAUCAUUAUGGGCAAUAAAAAAAGGAUAAAAGUAAGUCAUAUAGAACCAAAUACAUAAGUUAAAGAUUCUGAAGUCUAAUUUUGCAAUUUUUUUAUUUCCAAGCUAUCAUUUGCUAAAAUUAAAACCAUGAAAAUAAACUACCUAUCAUGGAUACAAGCAAGUAAUUCAAAAUGUUGAAUGAAGACAUAUAAAAUAUUAUCUUCACAUUCUAAAUUGCUAGCCCCAACAAAUAUUUUACACGUCAUCCACAGUAACCCCAGUUUGUAAUCAUUUUUCACAAUUGAUAAACUUUAUAUAAAUUAAAAUAUAAUUAUCUAUCCAUCAAUUAAGAGAUUGGGUUAAUUUAUAAAUGAAUAAACAUACUUUUUUUCUUCGUGAUGAUCGUUUACCUUGGAUUUUCAUGUAUUAGAUUUUUUUCUCCUCUAUUGUAGUACUAUCACCCUAUUAUCAAAUAACAAUUAUAAUAAAAAAUUAGAAAUAGAAUGAAUCUGCCCAAAUCACUCUUUUUGAUACCUCUAACAAUUCUUUCAUUGUUAGCGUAAAAAUUUUUCAUGUAAUCACCACUCGUCGUGUUGUCAACCUUAGUUUACUUUUUCCAAAAAUAAAAAUAUGAAAAUGUAGUGUGGCCAUAAAUAAAAAAUGAAAAACUAAAAAAAAGUUUCUUUAGAUUUGGGGAAAAUAUUCACAGCAUCACAUACGUCCGUCCGGGCAGAAAAGAAAGUUAGAUGAAGAAGAAAUAGGUGACAAAACCAAUAAGCAAAGGUUGGUCAUCAAGACGGAAAAAAUGACAAAAAAAUAUGAAAUAGUAUAUACCAAAAAGAGACAUUAAACGUAGAAGAUUAUGAAUCAUAAUUUUUGGACUACGGACGAAAGGAAAUUUCAAACCCAUUCUUGAUCUCCUUAAAUGAACUCAUUCAUUUAGUUAUUUAUGGGGGAAAAUGAAAGAAAGUGCAUGAACUAAUACAAUAGAGAAAAAACAAGUUCAAAUGAUUAGGAUGAUAGGGGAAAAAACGGAGUACAAAGUAGAAAGUAUAUAAGAAACAUGUAGUUCACGUGAGGAUUUGUUUAAUUACCUUUAUCUGCAAUCAAAAAAGAUAAAGGAAAUAAAGCGAACAAAAGAAAAAACUAAGCAAAAUGAAGAAAACAAAAGGAAUGGACCACGUGUCAAAGAAAAAGAGAUCCACUUGGCAAUCAUUGGAGUUGCUAUAGUAACUCCACUCUGUUGUUAUAUAAUAGGUAGAUUUUGUGGUACAAAAUCUUGAUUAUUAAUCAAAUUUGCCUUGUUAUCAGUAAUAAUUACUAUUUAUGUAUAAAAACUUACUACUACUUGAAUUAAAGUUACUAAGGUAUAUUAUGAGUGCUUACUAACUAAGGUACUAAGUUUUAAUCAUUAAUAAAAACAUCUUAUCAUUAUUUGAAAUAAACUUCGUAAUACUACUUUGAGAUAAGGUUUUAAUGUAAAAAUUGUACAUGCAUUCCAGAAUUACUAUUUAUGUAUAAAAACUUACUGUUAUUUGAAUUAAACUUACUCUUUUAAAUGUAAGUUUGGGAUAUCAAGUAGUAAUCUAUUUAUUUAGAAAUUAAGUUUAAUAUUUAUUCCAAUUUACCUUUUGAGGUAUAAAAGUUACUAAUCUAUUACACUUAACUUACUAUUUUAGAUAGGAAACUUACUUCCAUAAUUUUAGGUGUUAUUUUAUUUAGGCGAAUAUGUUCAACAAUAAAUCAAAUGAUCGCUAAAAGUACAACAACGUGUUAUAUUAGGUAAAAACUAUUUCGCUAUCAUAACUAUCGUUUAGUAUCUAUAUCUAAAUGUAUUGCUGAGGGGGUUUUGGAUAAGGAGCUUCAAAAAUUAUCAAAAGUGUGAAUGCUAUUUGAAUAGAAUUUUGCAAUUUUUUAAUUAAAAAAUAUUUAUCUCUUAACUAAUCAUGUAACCGGCCCUACAAAUCCUAUAAUCAUACUUAUAUUUUUUCCACAUUUCCCUUAUGUUUUUUCCACUACCCCAUAAAAUUCAAACUCCUAAACUUUAACUAACGGAUAAUAACCACCCCUGUAAAAUGAUAUCUGCAAAUUCCAAUUCACAUCUCACAUUUAUUACUGACACUUACCAUAUCACUUAGAGUAAUAACUAACCGUUAAUUUAAGAAAUUCGCAACUACGAAAGUCAAAUAUCCAAAAUAUAGGAGCCUGUUUAAAUUACAAUUUUCACAAUUCAACGUAUCUUAUUGUCAUAAUAUAUUUUACUCUCACAAUCAUUCACAAAUUAUAAAGGCAUUAAAAAUAAUUCUUUUUUUAAAUAAAAAUUAAUUCAAAGGUAGUUAAUUCACACGCACACACAUAUAUACAUACAUAUAUAUAUUCUCAUAAUGCAUAUAUAUAUAAGAUUAUCAAAUCGAAUGCAUACUACUGGUAAGUAUUUCAUUUUAAAAUAAAAAAACAUGCAAUUACAUUUAUUUCUAUCCAUAUAUCAUUCAUUUUCUAAUAUAAAUUAUUAUUAUUAUUUUAAGAUCCUUCUUUUGCAAAAACACAAUUCUUGAAUGAUUUACAGUUUUUGUCAUAUUUUGAACUAUUGUUAGACAAAUCUUAAAUUUUAAUUAUGUUGGUGAAGUUUUUUAACUUUUUUCAAAUAAAAAUGGUAUAACCGUUUAAUUCAUUUUAAUAAUGUAAGUACCAUGCGUAGCACGGAUAUUCACACUAGUUGUCCUUGUAUGAUCGAGCCUGAGAGUUUGAGCAUGUUUUGGUUGAAUGUUAUAAUUCAAAAUUUGGGGUUUGGAGGGAAUAGGUUAUAUCCAGUGUAAUCAAAACUCAAACAAAAGUGGGGAUAAGCCUCGUUGUCACAACGAACUAUAUAAAGCGGAUUUUUUUCAAUAAAAAUAAACCCAUUUUUCAAUAAAAUCCUAACUCUUUAUACCUUUCCUGUAUUAUAAGAACCGUGAACCCAUUUUACCAUAAACAAAUUUAUUUAUCGACAACAAAAAAAUGAACCCGUUUCUCAAUAAAACAUCAGCUCUUUAUGGCUUCCCUCCCUUAUAAGAAAAGAGUAUCCAUUUUGCCAUAAACAAAUUUGUUUAUCGCAUAAAAUAAAAAUAAAAAUGUUUUUUCAAUAAAAAACCAGUUCUUUAUGACUUUCCUCCAUUAUAAGAAUAUAGUACCCAUUAUUCGAUAAAAAAUAUUAUUUAUCGAAUAAUAUAAAAAUGAACCUGUUUUUGAAUAAAACACAAGCUCUUUAUAGUUUUCAUCUAUUAUAAGAACAGAGUAUCCAUUUUUUCAUAAAUAAAUUUAUUUAUCGGAUGAAAAACUAAAUAUAUUUUAGAAUAAAACACCAGUUUUUUAUGGUUUUCCUCCCUUCAGUACAACAAAAAAGGGUAUUAGCGACAACAACUUUAGGAAGAAAUAGAAAGCUUGACGCUCUUAAGAGGCUUAUAGCAAGGAAAAGGACAAUACCUCACAAAAAAUUUGGUGGACGGAGAGUCGUGAAUUUUGGGUUUUUUUUUCCUGAUUUUAUUCGAUGUGGUCUUGUCUGUAUGAUUGCAAAGUUCAAUUUCUGAUGUACUUUCAGGGGGGUUUGGCUGUAGCAGCAGGGAAGUGGGGAAGUGGGUGGCUUUCCGGUGGUACCGCCGGCUCAGUAUAACCCAUUAGACGAGCCAAGUCCAUUGGGAUUGAGGCUGAGGAAAAGUCCUUUCCUUUUGGAAUUGAUCCAAAUGAGGCUUUCUCAAGCUUAUUCACCUAAGGGUGCAAGUUCAAGUAAAAAAGAGCUUAAAGGGACCGCUGCUUCUGGUUCGUCUGAGAAGCUCAAGGCUUCAAAUUUUCCAGCAACUAUUCUGCGAAUUGGGACCUGGGAGAUUUUAGAAACUUGUUUUAUUGGAUUGCUUAUGAUUUCGUUAAUUUUGAUUGCAAGUCUUUGUUGUAAUUUCUAGUAUAAGUCAAGAUAUGAAGGGGAUUUGGUAGCAAAGUGUUAUUUUGCAAAGCAUAAGCUUGUACGGGAGGUUCGUGAUGGCGGGCUCAAGAAGUUGGGUCCAAUAUAUCUACAUUGAAAUAACACUUAUGAUGGUCAUUGCAUUUAUGGGCAUUUUAAAAAAUAAACUCUGCAUAAGCUAAAAUUUUUCUAACUAAAAUUUUUUACAUUUUGUCAUAACUUAUUGAUGGUUAAAAUAAUAGCAAGGAUUUAUGAAAUUCUCCAUCCCCACAUUAAUUUAAACUAAAUAUGAGACUGCAUAAGCUGAGAAAACAAAGCAGCAUUUGAUUUGAACAAUCAUGAGAGUCCCACUUUCUUCAACUUGAGGGGAUGCAGCAUCACCAUCAGGUGGUCAAUCAUCAUCUUCGAGGAAUGAACAAGACAUUGUUAGUAGACCUCGAGAAGACAUGAAACACCAUCACCCAGCUCAGUUAUCCUUUUAAUAGUCUUGAACCAAAAUUUGAUAUUCACUAAAAGUUUCUGACCAACAGAAAUGUAAAAUGUCUUUUUCAUUUGAUUUAUAAUCUGUAGUGUUGAUAGUAUUGGUUGUAAUAUAUUAUUGCUCGUUUUGUAUUUGUAAUGACAAAUUGGUUUGUUAUUUGGUAUACAAAUUUUGCUAUAUCUCAAUAUUGACAUUAAUGAUGAUACCUCUUGCUAAAAAAAUGGUUGAAAAAAAAAUUAGCAACUACAGUCACAAAGCUGCUUUCGGCAACUUUGUUGCAAGAAAAUCAUUUAGCUGCAUUUGAUCGUCUUUGGUAAGGGGUCGAUGGUUUUCAAUAAAACACCAGCUCUUUGUGACUUUCGUCCAUAAAUUUUCUAUUUUUCCUUUUUCCCCUGAAAUAAUUUAUUACUUGGAUAAAAUCAGAAACUCCAUUAUAAGAAAAGGUUUGGACGGAAUAAGUUGUAAGCAAUCCAUGACAAUUACCGUCUGAUAGUAACAUGUGAAGGAACAGGGGCUAUGACAAUUUGCUAUAUGUACUGUGCAAAUCUUAUCCCAUUGAAAAUCACAUUGAGAGGUGGGCCAGCAUUUUGCUAUAUGUCAAUAUUGACAUUAAUGAGUUUAUGUUUAUUUUAUCCGAUAAACAAAUUCCUUUUUGCCUUCAAAAUGAGUACUCUAUUCUUAUUCUUAUAAUAGAGGAAAGUCAUAAAAAGCUGAUGUUUUAUUGAAAAAAUGGGUUUAUUUUUAUUUAAUAUGAUAAAUAACUUUGUCUAACAAAAAAUGGGUACUCUGUUCUUAAAAUAGAGGAAAGUCAUAAAGAGGUGAUCUUUUAUUAAACAACGGAUUUAUUUUAAUUUUAUCCGAUACAUAAAUUUAUUUAUGAAAAAAUGGGUACUCUAUUCUGAUAAUGGAGGAAAGCUAUAAAAAGUUGGUCUUUUAUUGAAAAAUAGAUUUAUUUUUAUUUUAUGGCGAACGAUAAAUAUUUUAAUUUAUGAGAAAAUGGGUACUCUAUUCUUAUAAUUAGGGGUGGCAAACGGGUCGGGUUCGGGUUGGCGGGUCGGGUUGAGGCUUAAGUAUAACAGAGAACCUGCUGACCCGAACCCGACCCGCCAACCCGAAACGGGUCAGGGUACCUGACACGAACCCGAAAAUUUCGGGUUGGCGGGUCGACCCGAAAUGACCCGAAAUUUAAUUUUAAUUUAUUAAUUUAUCACUGUAAUUUCUAAUAAAAUCAAUUUUUCACAAAAUUAAUUACAUCAUCAAGUAAUAAAAAUUAAAUAAAUAAUUUCAAACCAAAUCUAAAAUAAAUUAAACACCAUAAAAGUGUUUUAUCCCAAACCAAAUAUAAAAUAAAAUAAAACAACAUAAAAGUAAAAAAUAACAUAAUAUAUUAUUUGUCCAAAUAUAAAAUUUUAACUUCACACAAGUUAAAUAAAUUCAUUUAGGAUUAAGUAAUUAAUGCCUUUGGAAAAAAAGAAUGAUUUAGUUUAGUUAGAUAAAAUAAUUUUUAUGUUUAUUAAAUUAGUUUUAAUUCGUAAACGGGUCACAUCGGGUCAUAUCAGGUCACCACGGGUUGACCCGAAAUUGACCUGUUUUCUUUUCGGGUUCAUCGGGUUCGACCCGAUUCUGACCCGAACUUCCAAAACCUCAACCCAAACCCAUUAAUUUCGUGUUAGGUUCGUGUCGUGUUUUCGGGUCGUGUCAGGAAAGCCAUAAACAGCUAGGCUUUUAUGGGAAAGUGAUACUUUACGGAAAGUGACCAGGAUUUGGUUUAUGAAAUAAUCCCAAAUAAAAAUUUAGAAUGAAUUUAUUUGUUUUGAAAGUUGUAUAACGGUCGUUAAAACUCCAAAAAUAUUAUUUUCAUUUUCAAUACAAUCCCAGGCCUGGAAUUGAAAUGAAUACUUUAAAAGAAAACUAAUAUGCUCUAGAAUAGUUGAAAAAUAUGAAGGAAAAACAAGGUCCACAUACCAUUAAACUAUUACUAUUAUUUGAGGAGGGAAAAUCCAUAAAUUAUAUAAAAAAUAAAAAAUGGAAAAAUAUUUAGAAAAAAAACCCAAUCCACCCCGUUUUUAAUUCAGUCGGUGUCAAAGUAAAAAGUGCCAUAUAAAUUUCCAAGGAUUCAAGAAAAAUCAUUCGCCAAAAUUGGCUAACGGUUUCUAAAAUUAUCCUUUGAAAUUUGAAAUACAUUGGUUUGUUUUAGUCCGAAAGGUUGAACUUGAUUCGUUUGUAUUGGUCAAAAUAAAUUUUUGUAAAAUUCAAAAUAAAAAAUUAGAAGAAAACAAGUAAGGACUUCACCAAUUGUAAAAUGUCAUCUACACAUUCCUUAUAAUUCUUUUUGAUACCUCCAACCAAUGCUUAUUGUCCAAGGACAAGAAAGAAAUCUAGUAGCUUUACUUUUUUUUUCUUACAUUUUCUUGACGAAACCCAAGAAGCUUGACGAAAUCUUACUUCUCACAUUGGAAUUCACAUUGGAAUUCACAGUGGAAGGUGGGCCACCGGCAACGAAAUGAAAUGUGGGCCACCAGCAAUGAAAUGACCGCUCACAUAUCUGUCCAUCCGUCCACGAGGCUGUAAUUCUUGUGCUAUAAGCAAGACUGGCGCCAGUCUGCCGCCAGUCUUGUCAUCUUCGGGACUAACCCCGCCAACCGAGCUAAAAAUCUUGGCGCCAGUCUUUGUUUACGUGAAUUGAAGUAGAUUCGCUUUGAUACCUAAAAAUGGGUACUCCGAUUACAAUGGAGCAAACCCAAGAAAACCGUAUGUUGAAGUGGACAAGGGUUACUUUAUAACUCAAAUACAUAAUUUGGUGGUGUAUGAGUACCGUCAUCUUAUAACUGUGGGGUUUAUUUUCUGUAUAGGUUUGUAUUAAUUGAAUGAGCAUUUUAUGUAAAGAAAAAGAUUAAUAAUCAAAACUGAAAAUCUUGAAUAGUUUAGGCAUCACUUAUUUUAAAUUUUCUGUAUAUGUAUACAUAUAUACGUAUGUAUAUAUAUUUUAAUAAUUAUUCUGUAGCACAAUAUAAAAAGAUGUAAAAAUAUUAUUUUCAUUUUCAAUACAAUCCCAGGCCUAGAAUUCAAAUGAAUACUUUAAAAGAAAAAUAAUAUGGUGUAGAAUAGUUCAAAAAUAUGAAGGAAAAUCAAGGUCCACAUACCAUUAAACUAUUACUAUUAUUUGUAAAGGGAAAAUCCAAAAAUUAUAUUAAAAACUAAUUAAUGGAAAAAAAUUUAGAAAAAAACCCAAUCCACCCCGUUUUUAAUUCAGUCGGUGUAUGAAUACAUAAUUUGGCGGUGUAUGAGUACCGUCAUCUUAUAACGGAGGAUUAACCCCCGAAUAGGUGGUGUUUUAUUUAGAAAACCUAUUAUCUGUGUUUUAUCUCUUAAAUUAAGUUGUGUAUGGAACAAUGGGUAUGUAAUUUGUUGUAAUGGAGGAAUGCCGUAAAGAGCUGGUCAUUUCUUCGAAAAUGGUUGCAUUGUUAUUCGACCCACAGCUAAAAGGGGGAAAAUGGGUAGCCUGUUGUUGUAAUGCGGGAAACACAUAAAAGGCUGGUAUUUUAUUGGAAAAAAUCAUUGUUAUUAUUGUAUUAGGAAAAAAAUGUCUGUCUACGGAAAUGGGUACUCUGUUCUCAUAUUCCUGCCGAACCCGUCCACAGCUGGUCUUCUACAGCGGAGUAGUGCAAUUCAGAAAUAUGCAUGCCAUUUGGUUCUUCUAAUUUUCCCAAAUAAAAAUUUAGAUGCAGUGCCAGCUGUGACUUAUUAUCGCACUAACCCAAGUUAGGUUGGUUAACCGUGGUCCGCAAAAGGAUGCCUGAGAGGGGUCAAACUCCUCUUAACCACUCAGUCCAUGCACUGCAAGCUCCUCCAUUUAAACCCAGGUCCGUCAUCCUUAUCUCCUCCUAUAAGAGCUUCCUGAAACUAAACUUCUUCCUUGCAUGCCCAUUGACUUCCGCAUUGGUUUGGCACAACAGCCUUCGCUAUAAAAGGGCCGCUUCAGUUGUUUACCACCUGUAAGACGUAAGUAGACGAAAGAAUAGCUUCGUUCUGCAUUUUCUAACCCCUGAACCGACCAGGCUCGUCGUACCAAAAUCCUUUUCCAUACUGACUCAUGGCACUUGGACGAUUUCCUCAAAUACAUGUCCUCAACAACGGAGGCAUGGUCGGUUACUUUCAAGAUGAGGUGUUACCACUUCACCACAUUGGAGUGAAGUGAAUAGUUGAGGAAGCCCUGGUUCGGUUAGAUAGGUUUCCCGGAGCGGAGUUUCCACAGUCGAUGCUGGUGUCUUGCAUCCCCGUUCGCAACCCCAUUGCGAACGAGGAAGUAUUCCGGUCGCUGGUCAAGUGGCGCCGCCGUCCACUCCCCCUUAUGCAGAACCUGAAGGCGUUUUAUAUCAUGACCUACAAUGCAUGGUUUGCGGGCAAGGAGGAAUUUGUUGCACAUUUCCUGGGUCUAAAACCACUGCUCCAUACCGACGUCUGGAUCCUCUUCGGCGCCAACUUUGAAGACUGGUCUGUAACAAGGUUUCUGGCUGACCAGGGGUACCCCGCUAGUAUGACACGGAACGUUGCCAUUGCGGACAACCUUCACACCGCAACCAUUUGCUGGAAUCCAUCAGCUGUAGAGAUCACGUUUGAAGACAGAGAUGCUAUUGACAGCCUUGUCCUCACUGUGCGCCGCAGAAAAUACCGCAGCUUUCUGAGGGUAGCUACCACGGUUGCCUCCUUAAACCCUAUGUUUGGUCUUAUUGUGGAGCGUUUCGAGUGAAGGUUCGCAGGUACGGCGGUGUGCUUUUAAUUUUUUUGUUGAAGAUCAUAUUUGGAUGGUGGGUGGUUGUUUGUUCAUGGCCCUUGCUGUUGUUGGGCGUACCAUGCAUGGUUUUGAUUGUUAGCGUAUCAAGGGUAGGGGUUAGGGGAUGAUAAUAUGCAAGGCCUGAAAAUUAGGAGUGCACCGUUUGUCGGAUAUGUAAGCGAUGGUACUUACACCCAAAUAUAUAAGUAAGAACUUGUUUCGUCGUUCAACUCCACAAAUUUUCCAAUUUAACCUAACAAUGCUGUGCCACAUCCCACUUUGUUGUACGUAACCUUCAGCUUGUUCAGUUGCCUGGCUAAGCUGAAGUUCAUAUUUAACAACGCAGCGAUUGCCAUCCCACUGACUAAUGACGUUCAUCGAUCAAUCAACGAUCCGUAGUACCUCAUCCGCACACACAUUUCGUGGGACAAAGGGAACAGGGCAUGCCGAAAAACCACAUAAUGCAGAAUGUCAAAAUAAACCAAAUACGGAAACCGAGUAUGUUAUAUAACGCAAAAUCACCAUUUAAACAGUAACACUCCGCCGGUUGGCCGAAAAACCACAUGCGGCAACCACCGGUUGACAACGGAGGGACAAAAGGCAUAAGGAGCACAGCAGUGGCAACCACAAAUACAAGAGGCUGUAAAGGAGCCUUAAUGGCCAUUCUAUCCUUACGGACACCAUAGUCCAGUACUGUAGGGGGGGUUUGGAGGGAAUGCAAUCAACGCGAACACAUGAAUUCACGGUUUCAGAACCAGAAGAAGGACUACCCCCACCACAGCUACCACAGCAAUGUUAAGGAUGGUCACGUUCCUUUGCAUGCUUCUCAGUUCAGCUAUGAUGGCAGACACCUCCGCCGCGGGUGUAUUAGGAAAAACGGGGGCGGUACUUGACGGGGGGGCGGGAUCGGGAACUUCAAACCCCGUUGCUCGUGCAAACUCAUCACACCAGCCAAUGAACGUUCGACAGGGCCUCUGCAAUACAACUACCUUAGCAAUCCGAAAUUAAUGGAAGAAACAGUUCUACCGAAGAACAUACCAGGGCGUUAGCGCAGCGAUAGUAGUGGCGCCCCCUGUUUGCUUCAGACUUCCAGACAACCCGAACUGCACAGCUUCGACCACAAUUGCAAUAUAAUGUAGGCCACACCGUGCUAUUGACCGACCCGGCUGAAGACGAAGAAGCCAUUCGCAAAGGUUAAUCUCCUCCGCGACACCGCCUAACUUUAUCUCUGCGAAACACAAGGACACGGCGCUCCCACGGUGUCGACGGACAGCAGCUUUAACAAGAAUUUGGGGGUUGGAGGGAAUAGGUUUUCGCCAACAGUAGUCAACACAUUUGUUUGCUUAUUUGGGUGUGGAUGAGGUUAUUGCUUGGUUCAGUACUUGGAGUCUCCCAUCAUGUAUAGUUGAUGUUUCGGAACGAAUACAAUAAAUAUGAAUAAUCUCACUAUCCUCCCCUGAGGUUGAUUUAAAUUUCAGUGGCAUCCCAUCCCAUUUAACAGAAAUUUCACUGACCUCCCUUACUCUAUUGCGUUUUUUGGUAACAACGCAGUCCAAAUCUGAUUACAAUAUUAUUUUCAUGUGUGAGAAGGUAUUUUUAUUCCAUGGAUGCCCCUUUGGUCCUUGUAUUGGUAGAAGAUUGAAAGAAGAAUAAAUUAUUAGAAUGAUUACUAAAGUUGAGGGGUUAUAAGUACAAAAAAAUUUUUUUGUAAGCACCGGAUGUGCCAGGAAAAAUGCCGAGUUUGACAAAUUUUAAGUGAACUAGUAGGUUAUCUAUUUAACAUAAAAUAAGUAAGUAAUUAAACUAAUUAAAUGCAAGAGAGAGAGAACUAAUUAAAUGGAAGAAACUCGUAAUAGAGGAAACCUAUGCAAAACGAAUAUUAGUAUAUCAGCUUAUAAAUUGUACUCACGUAAACUAAUUGACAAUUCCAAAAGCUGGUUGGUAAUUACAUUUAACGACAAUAACAGAAAUUUAAUAUGUAAUGAAGGUGAUUAAAAAAUUAUUACUGCUAGGCGGCAAUAGAAGAAGUAAUUUGGCGCCAAUUUUUGAAAGUUAAAUUUAUGUAUUUAACAUAAAUUGAAUAUGUGAAAGUUAAAAUAAGAAAACGAAAUUGCGCAUGACAUACCAGCUCUAUAUGGCAAACAUUGUACCUUCUUUGUAUGGGAAACAUACCAGCUCUUUAUAGGAAAUAUUGGUUAAAUAGCGGACGGUGGAAAACUAGUAUGUUUUGAACCAAAUUUUUGUGGCAAACAUACUAGCUCUUUAUAGCAGCAACUACCGGCCAAGACAGAACUAGUAUGGUUUUUAUUUCACAUAACAAUAAUUAUAUGACGGUUUAGGAAAAUUUGAACAAACAACGCAUACUAUACCAGCUCUUAAAAAUAAAGUGGCAUGUUUUGUAGUACGUUAAGUUUCAGAUUUUUUUUUGGAAACAUACCGAAAGUUUUAUAGGGAACAAGGGUUUAGUAGCGGACGUAACUUGUAACCUAGUAUGUUUUCAAUUCAAUUAUAGUAUUUAAUUUUAUUAGUUUUAUAACAAAAGUAUUACUGCUGGAAAAGCCUCACCAAAUCGUGGUCCCAGUCUGUAAAGUAUCACUUUGUAGUAUAAGACCAGCUCUUUAUGGUCUUCCUGCAUUAUAAUAACAGAGUACCCUUUUUUCCAUAAAUAAAUAUAUUUAUCGGAUAAUAUAAAAAAUAAACUCGAUUUACAAUAAAACUGAUGCUCUUUAUGGCUCUCCUUUAUUAUAAGAAAAGAGUACCCAUUUUUUCGAUUACAAAUUUAUUUAUCGGAUUAAAUGAAAAUAAACAAGUUCUUGAAUAAAACGCGAGCUCUUUUUGGCUAUCGUCCAUAAAAUAUCCAUUUCAUGAUUUUUCCAUAAGCUAAUUCGGGGGAGGUUUCUGAGGGUAUCCCUUAUAAUAUAUGUGUAUAUAAUAUUAAUAAAUUAUAUAAAAACAUAAUUACAAUUGUUAAUAUCAAUAGAUUGUAAUCUGCUGCCAAAGUAAUUUGGCUUCCGCAUAACCCGAUUCGGAAUACACGCUCCAGUACCGAAACGGGUUGAUUUUCCAAUAUGUAAAUCGGGUUUGCCUCCCCUCCACGCCCGUCCCCGCCACAUCAAUUAUCCCACAAAAAGCUUGUCUUACUUGAACUUCUCAUCGUUUUUCCUGUUUAGCCCAUCAACGCCUCCGCCGUUGUGUAAACACACUGAACAGUGUCGGUUUAAACUUUCCCCCCCCCAAAGUGUGGAAUUUCGAGCGUUACAGAGGAAAAACACCAGCUCUUUAUGGCAUUUACCCAAACAUUUGUCAACACCAGCUCUUUGUGCGUCUUCUCAAUUAAUGGGUUCGGGUUACGACGUUCGUGGCAGCAUACGAGGAGUGAGUCUGGACAAGUUUGAAGGACGCGACCUUUUGGUUGCCAUUUACCCCGUUCGUGGCAGCAUACGAGGAGUCAGUGUGGAUAUGCAUCGGACGCGACCUUUUGGUUGCCAUUUACCCCGCCCGACCUGUCUGCCAAAUCUGUGCUACCGGCUUCUACGAGUUGGUUGACGACCACAGGUACGAACUAACCCUCCCUGUUUAUCACUGUGGAACCUCCUUUGCUAUGCGAUUAACGCCCGUAAAUUUACGAUGUACGUGUAGUUCAUGACUGUUCAUCUUCCCUUGCUAUCGGUGUAUUGUUACGGUUCUGAUGAAUUGACCGUAUUGACACAUACGUUGGUUGGUUUGAAAAAAUGUUACGGAUGACAGUUUUUUGACGACAGAAUGUUGCGUCGUUUGCAGGAGAAGUCGCCACUUUCCCAUUUCUGUUCGAACCAACGCUAAGGUUAGUCGGAUGUCCAGAAACAGUGGGAUAUUACACCUGAUCUAUCAUUUUUGGAUUUUAUGAGGAAGUAGUUUUUGUUUGAAGUUUACUCCAUUCUUGGGGCUUUCAGGGAUUCACUAAACUGUGCCCAGUAAAAGGAGUUAACCGGUCAUGGCCAACGCACAAAAACGGAGUUCACGAACCUCCAUCCUCUCCCUUCCAACCGAGGUGCUAUCCGAGGUGCUUGCACGUGUCGCGUCUUCUUCAUCCGCUGAUCUUUUCCGGGCAAAACUGUGGUUCGUUCUGCUAUGGAUGAUACAAACUGGAAGAGGCGUAUUCUUGUUCCAUUCUGUGCUUUUCGUUUUAGUUUAAUGGAUCAUUUCUAUUAUUUUGCAGCUGUAAGUUGUUCAACGAAGUUUCCGAGGCAAAGAACAUUUACCAGCGGGUGUCCCUCGACAGGUUUGAAAUCGUUCCGUGGCCAAAAAACCACAAAGUGUCGAGGUUCUUGAAGAAGUGCAGACAAAGCAAAAAUCCAGAAGCCUUGUACCGAAAAGGAGUGGUAAGUUGGGUUGCUUUGGAACGUAAGACGCAAUAGUCAUGGGAAAAUUCGGUAAUGUUUUAAAUGGAAUAGUAAUGAACUAACAUUCCAUAACCAUACUUGAGUUACAAAAUUUCUACACCAAGCUCACAUCAUCUCUUUCAUUUGAGCUUCAAUGUGAUUUUGGUCAGCACACUUCACCCAAAAGAUUGGCGUACAACAGGUUACUGCAGCUUUGGGCCCCAGUAAAUAACUGUUGUCUCGCCGCCACUGUUCUGCCUGCACUUUUAAACUUUUUCGUUACUCAUACAUUUCGCAAGACUGUAAUAUCAACCUUGGAACUGCUUAGGUUGAUUUUUUUUCGGAUAAGCACGAGGACUCAGCAUUGGAAAACCUGGAAGAAGCUGCUAAUUCAGGCCAUGCCGAUGCUGCAUAUGCGUUGGGAAUAAUUUACAUCUUUGUUGGUGGGGACGAGUUAAAGCGCAAAGGUAUGAGACUGCUCAUGAAAUCCAGACUUCUUCAAGGCAGAGUGAAUCUUUGCCGUCAGAAUUUGCGAGCGCUGCUGAGGAUGAUAUGGGUCAAGAAUCCUGUGUUUCUAAACCCAACGCCCAUUUGUUGUGCCAUGACACAUGAGAGGAAAACAUCUUCAUGGCCUAUGCAUCCCGAUGAAGUGGAGGAGAGUACAUGUGAAGGGUGCGCUUGCGAUGAAGAAAUUCGAGCAAUUUGUGCUGCCCUGCCAUAUCGUUAGUGUGUAAGAUUGAAUGUUGACAACACAUCGUUACGCUUUUUUUAUGUUUGCCAACUGAAUUGACCGCUACUUCUUACUCUCUUAAUAUUACUGGUAUGAAAACAUAAACAGCUUAUCUUGGCCCUUGUAUGUUCUGACAUUUUCUCGACAAAACGCCGUUGUAGACAAACGUGUAUGAAAUGUAAGAAUAAAGGAUGAUAGUUAGAAGGUAAAGAGGGAACUCCUCAGCAGUGAUCUACGUGACGGAUACUGUAGUGAAGUGAGAAGUUUACUAAGUACAAACGAAAUGGUGGUUGAUUAGAUACUGCAAAACAAUUUACUUAUGGAAAAAAGGGUACUCUGUUCUUAUAAUGGAGGCAAGCCAUAAAGAGCUUGUCUUUUAAGACAAUGUGAUACUACGAUGAAUAGACCACGAUUUGAUUUAUGAAAUUAUCCAAAGAAAAUUGCUGAAUGAUUUUGUCAACUUAAUUAAUUAAUUAUUAUACAUAUUCAUAUAAUGCAUUAUAUAAUUAUGCUAAUCUUUAAUUUUAUAUUACUAUAUACACAUAUAUAUUAUAAUUAUAUGCACAUAUAAAAUACAUUUAUAAAUAUAUUUAAAUAGUAAUAUGUAAAUAUAUACUAUAACAGUAUUUAUAAUAUACAUUUAUGAAAAAUUUUAAUUAAUGUAUAAUAUACUGUAUAGUGAUAUAAUAUAUUAGUAUAAUUAUACAAUGCAUAACAAAAAAUAUAUAAUAAUGACAUAAUUUUCUUUACAUAAUUUGAUAAUCCAAAUCGUGGUCCCAGUCUGUAAAGUAUCAUUUUGUAGUAAAAGACCAGCUCUUUAUGGUCUUCCUGCAUUAUAAUAACAGAGUAUCCUUUUUUCCAGAAAUAAAUAUAUUUAUCGGAUAAUAUAAAAAAUAAACUCGAUUUACAAUAAAAGUGAUGCUCUUUAUGGCUCUCCUUUAUUAUAAGAAAAGAGUACCCAUUUUUCCGUAAACAAAUUUAUUUAUGGGAUGAAAUGAAAAUAAACAAGUUGUUGAAUAAAACGGGAGCUCUUUUUGGCUAUCGUCCAUAAAUUAUCCAUUUCAUGAUUUUUCCAUAAGGACAUUCGGGGGAGGUUUCUGAGGGUAUCCCUUAUAAUAUAUGUGUAUAUAAUAUUAAUUAAUUAUAUAAAAGCAUAAUUACAUUUGUUAUUAUAUAGAUUGUAAUCUGCUGCCAAAGUUAUUUGGCUUGCGCAUAACCCGAUUCGAAUACACGCUCCAAUACCGAAACGGGUUGAUUUUCGAAUAUGUAAAUCGGGUUUGCCUCCCCUCCACGCCCGUCCCCGCCUCAUCAAUUAUCCCACAAAAAGCUUGUCUUUCGUGAACUUCUCAUCGUUUCUCCUGUUUAGCCCAUCAAAAGCUCCGUUGUUGUGUAAACACACUUAACAGUUUCGGUUAAAGCUUUCCCCCCCCUUUCUGAAAUUUGGAGCUUUUCAAAAAGUUUUUCGCGGCAAGGUCGAAGAAGAAGUAGAUUUAUCGCGUUCGCUUCCUCUGUUGCUCAAAGUACUCAACAAUUGAAUCGCAUCCCGGAGCAAGCAUUGGCAGUAACAUGGAGGCCUGUAUGAGUCUUCCAGUGUAUGCAGGCAUGUGGGUCGACGUAGAAGCUCUCGCUGGUGAGUGUAUUGAUAUCACGGAAUAUCUGAAUGCCCAAAAUUUGUUAAAUUUGAUGGCAAAUAAUGACAAGUGCUAUGAUGCGAUGGUUAGGGAAUUCUAUGCUAACUGUAGGGCAAAUAAGCAGAAGUCAGUUCUGCGUUCAGUCGUUAGGAAUGUAGAAGUGUCAGUGUCUACCGAGGUUUUGUGUUCAGAGUUUGGGUUGGUUGACAGUGGAUACACUGUUGACUAUAAACGGAUUAGCGCAAAGAAUGUAGAUAAGGUUGCUGUGAAGGGGUACAAUGACCUAGAAUUUCUUGGAGAGAUUAGGCAAAAUGGUGACAGAGUUAUGAACACGGGGAAAAAAACUAAGUUUUAUGCGCCGUAUAUGAAAGUAUUGCCACGGCUGUUACAUCUGAUAAUAACUCAUAACAUUUUACCCAAAGCCGGAAGUAUCACUUCCAUUAGUGCAUUAGAAAGAGUUAUAUUGUGGCAUAUGUUACACAAACAACCCGUCAACAUAGCCAAUUUGAUCAUUGCAACAAUGCUCAACAGGAUUAGGAAGAUUAAGAGCAGGGAGAAUAAGAGAACACAUCUCCCAUUUGGUAUGUUGCUGACCAGGCUCUUUAGGCGCUUUAAUGUGCCAUUCUUGGCUGACCAUGUUGACAGAGGAUUUUACGCCCAAAAUAUGGGAGUAUCGUACUUCAAAAAACUGGCAUUCAAAGCUGAAGAUGGUGGUUGGAUGUGGAAGAAAUCCUAUACCUCUGAUGCUGUCAUUGGUGAGACUGGGGACGCGAAUAGAAAAGUUGAAGAAAUAAAUAAGAUGGAUAAGGGGGGGAAGUGUGCUGGGGUCGAGGUGGGGCCGGUUGUGGGCGAAAAGGCACACCUUCAAGAUGUUGUCAUACUGUCUGAACAAACCAGAAAAGGGGCAAGUGUAUAUGACAAAGUUAUUUUACUCCUUUUUGUUUCUUCUUCUCGAUGGCAACACAGGAGCAUAACCCAAUAUUUGUAUGACUAGGUUGCGGAUAAAGUGACACAAAUUUUACAAAGGGUUGGUGCCAUCGAAGUGAAGGACUGCGGAAUUGAGAAAUUGCCAUUUCUACGAGAUGUAAGACAUGCUCUUGCACUCUCAUGUAAUCCCCUUUUUAUAUGCUAAUACCUUUAUUGUCCAGUGUCUACCACAAGCUUCCGGCGUAGCACCUGAUGAAUUGAAAGAAGCCGUACGCUUUCAUGUCAGAGAACUCGUCCCGCAGAUGUAUGUUAAAGUGUCGGUAUUUUCUUUGGCUAACACUGAUCUCGCUUUCAUCUGAUUAUUGUAAUCAUGUCAAUCAUUGUUCACAGCUGUGUGAGUACACUAGAUAGGCAGCAUCUCUUUGAUAUUACAAGAGAAGAACUGGAGGAAGUGAUGCUUCAGGACACACUAAUCAGUGACAAAGUAAGUUUUUUAUGCGAUUGCACAGGCCUACCUUGUUCACUAAUCUCGCUUAAAAUUGUCCACUCGAUGUUGAAUGUUUGAAUUUGUUCCAUUCUGUGAAGGUUGUGACCCAAUACCUUCACUUACUCCAGAAAGAAUAUAAGCAAUUCGUUUUCUUCAAUCCUAUGUUUUGGGUACGUAACGAAAAUUAUUGUAUGUGCUGUUGUGCCUUGCAAAAUGUGGACCUAAUACUUGCUUCUCAAUCACUUGGUUGUAGCUUAAAUGCGUGUUAGACUAUCCAUGCAUAUCUCCCGCAACCAAAAAGACAUUCGUUGAUCAAAGCAAUGACGACUAUCAGUCAAAUCCUGAAAAGGUAAACAUUAGCUAUCAUUCUCGCCUUAACAUUCUUAUACAAUAUGAGUAGCAGCUGCAUGUUAGUGGAAUUUGAUUUAGCCUAACAUGCCUUAGCUUUUAACACAUUCAACAUUGCUUGUUGUAUGCGAUUGCAGAUUUUUUUCCCAAUCAUUUAUUCAAAUCAUUGGUUGCUCAUGAUUGCACAUGUCAAGGACAAACAGGUGUACAUUGUUGAUUCUAUGGACAAUUACAAAACCAUCUACCAAGGUUUGAUGCAAUCUGUGGUGAGUAUACUCCAAAAGCGUACCUUAGCUUCGUUUCCGAAGAAGGUAACAUUUUUCUAACAUUCGAAACCUGCUGUAUUUAUUUCCUUUUUUAGGAAUGGAUUUUGAUGGAAAUUUUCCACGAAAAUCAACCCUGGACAUUUAUUCUUGUAAAACACAAACUAAAACAGACAGACGGGGCGAGUUGCGGGGUUUUCACUUUGAAGUUUGCGCAAUGUUGGGCAAAGGGGUGUCGGCCAGAAUUUGUAAGUGCACACAUUGACAACCCCUUGUGGCAAGCUGACUCUAUUGCGUCUGACAUUGUUUCUGAAUGUAUGUACAGCUUGAUGUUGUCAUUGCUAGAAAAUUUAUUGCCUGGGAGAUCGCUUUGGGUAAACUUGCGGACCCAUUCGCUUAUGCUGCUUUCCUGAUAGAAAAUAAACAGGCACAUGAGGCUGUAACCAGAGGAGAUUUGCAAGAUCAUGCUACCAAGGAUGUGGGCCAUCAGGAAACAGGGAACGGUACAUUAUGUCACGCCUUUACUGUAAUUGGUUCGUUGCAUAUGAAGGCAAUAUUAAAUUUUAAAUUCUUUAGGGCUGUAGCAAAUUAUUGGUACGAAAUUAAUCAUUGUAUAAAGGAAACCAUAAAAAGUGUAUGUACCUCUGUUCCGAUGCAUCUCCUUGUGACACCAUUGUAAUAAAUCCUCGGCCCCAGAACUUUGCUUUACACUUUCCAUUUCCUCUUGUUUGAUUUCUCAUUAUGACAUUCAAAUUUGAUCUCACAUGCACAAUCCAUGUGCUGAAAUGCUGUAUGCCUUCAAUUUUUCCCCAGCCGAAGGUACAAGGGUGAAAAAAAACCCGCCAGAACUUGCGUCCAGCAAUGAUUCAAAGAAGAAGCUUCUUAUUCUUGAUUUGAAUGGAGUGCUUCUGGGCAGUGCAUUUACAAGGAUGACCAGAAAUCGGGACUUUAACUUCAGACCACAUUGCCGUGAAUUUUUGCAGGUCUGUCUGUCAUAUUUUGAGGUCGCUGUUUGGUCAUCAAAGCUAAGGUAUCCGCCAACCUAUAUUUCAAUUACUUGAUUAACUAGAACGUCCACAAGUUUUUCUGUUGUUCCCUUAAUUCAAGACAGUUGUGUUUUCUGCAGCCACAACAUUCAACCAGUGUUGGACAGUCUAUCCAAAAAAAUGAAUGAACGUUUGGAGCAGAGACUGUUAUUUGUUUGGGUGAGAUGUCAUUCACAAAUUAUUUCGAUUGUGUGUAGUCAGUCCGUGUGUAAGACUUCUGAUAAAUCAAAGUCGGGAACAAUCAAUAUUGUGCAGGAUCAGUCGCGGUGCACUAUGACACAAACCAGGCUUAGGGAAAAUCCAGACAAAACGGUGAUGUUUAAGGACCUGAAACGUGUGUGGGGAGAAUAUAAGUCGUACAACAGCUCUAACACGAUAUUAGUCGAUGAUUCUCCGUAUAAAUCCGUCCUUAAUUCUGUAAGUGCACCAUACGGGAACUGAUCGUUAUGUUGUAUAUGUUCCAGUAUGCACAAACAACAUGAUCAGGCCUAACUGUUUCCAUAUUACUCGUUCUUCAGCCGUACAAUGCCAUCUUCCCCACCUCUUAUACAUGUUACACUGUAGAAGACAAUUAUUUGGGUAAGACCUGGUCUUUUUGGCUUUGAAAUGUGGCUUUUGCUACGGAAGAGCAUCCGUUCAAAGAUUGGCCUGACACAAAACUUAUUUGCAGAUCCUGAAGGAGAUUUUGUAGGACACCUGAAGAAAUUGGCCCGUGCUGAUAAUGUACAAGAUUUCAUUAAGCAAAACCGUUUUGGACAAUCACCCGUAACAGAAGGCAGUGUGGAUUGGAACUUUUAUGUUAAUGUUGUCAGCAAGCUUGGACUGCAGAACACAGCAAAGCAAGUGACGCGCAAACGGGAAGCCCCAAACAUAUAUCCUCCGGAGGUAUUUAGAUGCAUUCAUGUUCAGGACUAUGUUGACAAUAGUUCAUUUCGUUUUUUUGAUAGCUAAAAUUGUGUCUGAUCAUAUGCACAGACCAAGAAAAAAAGGAAAAUUUGAAAGCAUGAAGAAGAUCAGUUUAUGGGCCGUUCACUGUACGGAAGCUUCUCCAAACCAUUGGAAGGAGAGAACCUAUCUUCUGAUGGGACACACAGGUUAAAAACUUUUGUGCUUUAGUCAGACACUGGGUCUGUCUAAUUCAUAUAUGUUGGUACUACUUUCUUCCCUUCUGUUUUUGUUUGCAAAGGGCCAUCGCUGAGUUUUUUUAUGCAAAUUCUAAAAAUGUCGAAGUUGGGAAUGACGUAUGUUGUAUGCAGGUUCCCGAAUGCACAUGAGGAAAAAUUAUCAGAUAAAAUUUGUAAUUGCUGUCAAAUGCAGGAUGCGUCAGCCAUAUACUUCAGACCACAUUGGCAUGUAGUAAGUUUAGCCUGUUCUCAUUCUAAUUGUUUGUUGGCAACUUAUCGUCUAAACAUUAAGGAUCUAAAUGUCACUCACUAAAUCUGCCCGUCUGGUUAACCUCUCGGAUACGUGCAAUACUAACAGUUGGUCAGGGAGCAAUGGUUGACAUUAAUUGAGCUAGGCUCCUUGCUUUGCGUCUGUACCAAAAUAAAGUCAAGCAAUGGAAUCUUCAAACCCAACACGAAGUCUGUAUGAGUAAUGUAUUCCUUUAGCUAACCCCUGGUUGAAUAUGUACUUCGAUAGGGAAAAUUAGCUGCUGGACUAGGAGCUUAAGAUUGCCUCACUUUUGAAUGGGGAUGUCUAUGCUGCUGACAGGCUUGGAGAACUUACAAUACAUUUCUGGGCCUGUAUUGAUGCAUUCGUUGUACAAAUUGGAAUACGUUAUUGAAGGGAUGCACAUGACGCAGGCACAGAUGUUUCCCAUCAUGCAAAUAUAUAUGUCCAUAUAUUUAUAAUAUAUAUGUGUAUGUAGUAAUAAUAUAUUAUAUAAUUAUAUUUGUUAUUACAAAUAUAGUAAUAUAUACUAAAAAUUAUACUUAUUAAUAUAUAAUAUUCUCUAGAAUUAUAAAAAAUAUUAGUACAAUUACACAGUGUAUUAAAUAAAAAUAUAUUAUAAUUUUUUAUAUAAAUAAAUAAACUAAUUCUAAAUUUUUUGGAAUAAUUUCAUAAACCAAAUAGCGGUCACAUCCGUAAUGUAUCACUUUCCCAUAAAAGGCCAGCUCUUUAUUACCUUCCUCCAUUAUAAGAACAAUGCACCCAUUUUUCCAUUAAUAGAUUCAUUUAUCGGAUAAAAUAUAUGAUAGCUCGUUUUGCAAUAAAACCCCAGGUUUUUAUGGCUUUUCUCCAAUAUAACAACAAAGUACCCUUUUCCAUAAAACAAUUUUUUUAUCCAAUAAAAUUAAAAUCAAUCAGUAAAUUAUACUAAAAUGUAUAUUAUAAUUUUUUAUAUAAAUAAAUAAACUAAUUCUAAAUUUUUUGGGAUAAUUUCAUAAACCAAAUAGCGGUCACUUCCGUAAUGUAUCACUUUCCCAUAAAAGGCCAGCUCUUUAUUACCUUCCUCCAUUAUAAGAACAAUGCACCCAUUUUUCCAUUAAUAGAUUCAUUUAUCGGAUAAAAUAUAUGAUAGCUCGUUUUGCAAUAAAACCCCAGUUUUUUAUGGCUUUUCUCCAAUAUAACAACAGAGUACCCUUUUCCAUAAAACAAUUUUUUUAUCCAAUAAAAUUAAAAUCAAUCAGUAAAUUAUACUAAAAUGUAUAUUAUAAUUUUUUAUAUAAAUAAAUAAACUAAUUCUAAAUUUUUUGGGAUAAUUUCAUAAACCAAAUAGCGGUCACUUCCGUAAUGUAUCACUUUCCCAUAAAAGACCAGCUCUUUAUUACCUUCCUCCAUUAUAAGAACAAUGCACCCAUUUUUUCAUUAAUAGAUUCAUUUAUCGGAUAAAAUAUAUGAUAACUCGUUUUGCAAUAAAACCCCAGCUUUUCAUGGCUUUUCUCCAGUAUAACAACAGAGUACCCUUUUCCAUAAAACAAUUUUUUUAUCCAAUAAAAUUAAAAUCAAUCAGUAAAUUAUACUAAAAUGUAUAUUAUAAUUUUUUAUAUAAAUAAAUAAACUAAUUCUAAAUUUUUUGGGAUAAUUUCAUAAACCAAAUAGCGGUCACUUCCGUAAUGUAUCACUUUCCCAUAAAAGACCAGUUCUUUAUUACCUUCCUCCAUUAUAAGAACAAUGCACCCAUUUUUCCAUUAAUAGAUUCAUUUAUCGGAUAAAAUAUAUGAUAACUCGUUUUGCAAUAAAACCCCAGCUUUUCAUGGCUUUUCUCCAAUAUAACAACAGAGUUCCCUUUUCCAUAAAACAAUUUUUUUAUCCAAUAAAAUUAAAAUCAAUCAGUAAAUUAUACUAAAAUAUAUAUUAUAAUUUUUUAUAUAAAUAAAUUAAUUAAUUCUAAUAUUUUUGGGAUAAUUUCAUAAACCAAAUAGCGGUCACUUUCGUAAUGUAUCACUUUCCCAUAAAAGACCAACUUUUUAUGACCUUCCUCCAUUAUAAGAACAAUGCACCCAUUUUUCCAUUAAUACAUUUAUUUAUCAAUCAGUUCUCUAGUAAAACCCCUUUUCCAAUAAAACACCGGCUCUUUAUCGAUUUCCUCCACUAUGAGACAGAGUACCAAUAUGCCAUACUUACUAAUUCACUUAUCGGAUAAAAUUUAAUUGAACACGGUUUGCAAUAAAACACCAGCUAUGUAUGGCCACUUUAUUUGUUCGAUAAAAUCGGAUCGAUAUUAUACUUGAGUGUCAUUUACCCGUUAGCAUAGAAUGCAAAGCAAGAAACUAACCUAUUGCAGGUUAAAAGUCCGUGUUAAGACAAAUUGUUUCGGAUACGUCAAGACACCUAAUUCAUAAACUCUCGCGAUACAUAACUUUAAUUACCACAAAUCAAAAAUUUCAAUCUUUUUUCAUUUAUUUCUAAUGACUGCAUACCAUGGAUCACUGUACGCUACUCAUAACCACCCACAAAUCUUCUCUUAACUCUCGACCACAUGAAGAUUGUGAUACUCGUUAUCCCCAUGGCAAGGUCUCCCCGCACCACCACCGGCGAGUUUGCUCGGUUGAACUUUGCUUUCCCUUCCUCUAAUGAAACUCAUAGAUACACACCAACCGCUUGCCUUGCUAUGGCAGCUUUUGGACUCUCUGUCUCCGUCUUCUACAUUUUAGGCUACGACGACGUCCAUCCGACUAUGACACCGCCUAAAACAUGGCCCUUUCCACAAAAUGCCGCUACUUUGUCUCUCUAUCUUGCCACCUUCAUCGAACCUCAACUUUAUUCAUCUCCAACCUCCUGUGCGUGUUCGCUUUCCGCAUAAUUUGAUGACGGACAACGUUGGCAUCAUCCAGAACCAAAGACAGUGCUACUUUGCGCCGCUCCUGCUCCGAAUUGUACUGCACCGAUAAAUUUGUUACUAUCUCCAUCGUUCGCAACCAAUGCAAGCAUACACACUUACUGUUACAGCAUACGACGCCAUUCCUUUUUCCUUACCUGAUUCCAUUUCCAGCUUCCAAUUCCACUUGAUAACAUAUCCAUGUACUUCAGCAUCAAUAACCCACAAUCCCACCUGCAUUACAAACCAUAACCACAUUUUUAGACAACCGUUGCUGAACUAUGGAAAAAACUUCCAAACCUAUGCACAUGCAACUUACGCAUUCCGUUGCUGUGGACAUGUGGCUGCAGCUUUUAUUUUGUACAGCCAAAGGCAUGACGAAUACUGCCCCUCCAAACCAUAAGUCAGCGCUGCUUCCAACCUUUCAAUCUGACGGCCAUACAAGAAAAACAUAUGCAAUUUUAAGUUUACUGCCACCAAUUGUAAAGGUGAUGGUCGUGUUCAUGAAAUGUUUGACAAACCAACUUAGUUUACCACUGUCUCCACGGAGCUGCGCCUAUUCAUUUCCGUUUGCUCGUCUCCUCUCAUUGAAUCAUAAAUUAAUACUUCUUCGCUUCCCAUGUCCACCACACACAUAUACCAAUGCUCAUCGUGCCACAUUGGCACGAAUAUCUGAAGCAUAGCAGCGGUUAGUUAGUCAUCAUCAUGGCAAUCUGUAUCUAUUCCAUUAUGCUACAUAACAGGGCAGCUGCUCGUACCUUCUCACACUUUUUUAUAUUACCUCCUACUUUACAUUCCUGUAGAUAUGUACAGUACAGCUCGUCUGCUGAUUUGUUGAACUCCAAAAUCUCUUGCUACAACACGACAGUCAAAUAUGACAUUUUAAUAUGAAUGUACGUACUCACAAGCCCCCAACUUUGGCCGAACACUUGUACCUGAAACCAAGUUGGCAUGAACCACCAUCGCAUUGACUGAUCGUCAGGACGCCUUUGCUGCCGUGCUGUUUUCAUCGCACAAUAGCAAUUGAUUAUCUGCACCAAACUCAAGUCACAUCACUUCGUCCUCCGUGAAACAGUCCACACAACACCACCCAAUUUCAAUCCCUCGAUUUACUCACAUCACAUGCCAUGGGUUUUUCAGGAAGCAACGACCCCAUUGCAUCCCGACUUGCUGUCUGCCCCUUAAUUGACACCAGUACUUCCCUGUCAUUACAACAGCGUACAUUAAUCUUUUCCCUAUGUAUAUUACGGUUUCAUAAUCUACAAACUUGAUAUCAUCAUUUUCAAUGACUCGAGUUAAAACGGCCAGACUAGGUUCGGUCUUCCUCACUAAUACAACCAGCAAUCACGGUUUCAAUGACUCAAUCGGUCCUUAGGGUCAUUGAGUUAGCCUAAGGCGGUUAUGUACUCACCAUAAGGGUCAUUGAGUUUUCAUUGUACUUCCAUUCUCAAACUUCUGGAAUACUCACCUUUUAUUCUAUAUGCAACCAUGUUACCUACCCUUACUUUUUAUAUAAGGUGGCAUGAUUGACAGCACACAAAUUGUAAGUUUUGUGCUCACUUGUAAACCAAUUUUAACUGCUUCGAAGAUUUUCGUUCCUAUGCCCUCUCCCCUAUGGGGAUAAUCAUACUACAUAUUUAGUCAACCUUAUAAUUGCAAAUACUUUUCUGUCCCCUUUCCCAUUGCAAUUUCAAAUAAAGGAUAAAACAAAAUACAACUGUUGAUUUAACAAAUCCAUGAUCCAGUACAUACCCUUGCGACAGCUGAGUGUCAAACAAGAACUUCAGUAUUUUUGCUCGUCCCUCACUCAAUUUUUCCCCGAUAGAUGCCAGCCUCGUUUCCUGCUACCACAAAAAUAUGUCAUCUUUCAUUGUCUAUAAUUUCCCAUACUUUAGUAAUUCUGGAACGUUGGAAUACUCACCUUUGCCAAUAAAGCAACGAUCUUCGUUUGACACUUGUUCAUCACACUGCUAUCCAUCUGUACAUAAAACUACAAUUUAUACUUUACUUUUCUAAUGCUAGAAAUACCUUGGCACAAACCGAUGCAUACCUUUAUUCUUUUACCUUGCCUUCUGUUUUGUUUGUCUUCCCCCACAGGCUUCUCCGUAUUGUCCAUCCUUAGUCUCUUUCUACUCCUCCACUUUGUAAUUUUCGAUGCACUCUUUUCACCCAUUACAGUACUAUUCGUAGUGACUCUAUCAUUUUCACUCCUGCUUUUGGACCUAACAUCUGGCGUUGUAGGACUCAAUUUAUGUAACUCACUCCCUCUUUUAACAUUACCGCGCCAAUCGUCCUUCUGCCCACCCUCCACACCAAGUGCCCGGUUUGUUUUGCACACCCUUCCACUUUCAUACAUGCUCCUCAGCCUUUCAAAACGACAUUCAAUCAUUGCUUCCAUUCUACCAAUACUAUCCUUCACAUCUUUAUUACCACAUUCAAUUUCAAUCAGUCUUCUAUCAAUGUCUUCUCUACAGCUUAUGUUAUUGUAAAACUGCACAUUGCCCUGUCACUACAACCCUUCAGUUUUGUACUACUAGUAACGUCACAAAAUGCAGAUUGCAAUUUCAACAACAAUUCACACGAAAGGAUUUUACAUUACCUGUUCCCCCUCAAAUAUGUGAUUCCUCCUCAAUAUUCGCACGCUUUCAUUAAUCUCGUACCUUCCCCAAAAUCUUAGCCUCGGCCCUCUCGGCUGGAACUUGCGAAACUCGUCCUCACCCUCGAUAUAGAAUCGUUCCAGAUAGUAAAUCUGCACGGACAAAAACGCCUACCAUCAUUUACGGGUCUUUUCUAUCAAAGUUUAAUUUCAUUAUUCCAGUAAUUCCUAUCUCUAAUACAAAAUGGUGCGUCUUUCUUAUACCAUCAAGAAAAGUGCACAUCCCGCUAUUCCGUUGCCGUCUCCAUCACGGAUGCUCUUCACCAAAUUGUCAAGUAUGAAUUUCGACCAGUUCAAAUUUUCCAUAUUCUCCUCUAUAGCCACUACAGCCACCAGAGCCCGGCUCACUUUGUCAUCCAAACUUGGUGCUAACAACCUACCAACAACAAACAAUACGAACUUCACUUUGAAUUCUAAGCCUUCGUUAUGCAAACUACAUAUACUGUGCCUCAAUUCCUCCACUACAAUUUCACCGCUAUUUAUUCUGAUAUUCAAUUCUCUUUAUUGUAAUUGUUGCCGAAUAAGAAAGAAACAAAAGCCAAAGAAUGGCGGCUGACAAGGAGUAGUCAAAGGAAAUUAUAAAAAAUACUAAAAGCUAAGGUCUUCAUGAUGCCUUGAAUCUUGCUUUCUUUCCUUUCUUAUAGCCGCCGCAGAGAACUCAAGAAGAAAACAGACGUCUGGCCCAAUUGAUUGCAACAAAAGCUAGCUUUUGGAGUUUGAAUCCCAUGCUCCUCGCGGUUCACGUGGACCACGGUCCGUCUUUUCGAUAGCGUAGACCUUUUGUGGCGUGGCCACGCUCUGAGACGAAAAGUCUUCUGAAAAUUUGCCUCGCGAGAUCAUUUUUAAUGCCGAACACCUAUAAUUCAUGCAAAUGUGAGAUAUGAGUUAAACCUCAGUACUUAGCACAGUAAAUAGCCAAAAUUAGGACAAAAUAACACUGCAAAAUGUGCCAAAUAACUGCUCUAUCAGUGAGGUGUUCGCGUCAAGGUUCAAUCGAUCGGAUUGGUUUAAUUCUGAUUCAAUGAAUUUUAAAAAAAUAAUUUAAAUAAAUAUAUAUGCACAAAAUAAGACAUGCAAUGGACUAAUUUAAGACUUUUUAUGAUGAAAAAUUUAAUAUUUUCAAAGAACUUAGAUUUUCAAAAAUAAAAUUUUAAAUUAUAAGUUGAAAUAAAUAAAUUUCAUCUCAAUCUCAAUUAUAUCUACAAAAAAAAAAAUCUAAAAUCCAACCCAAAAAUACAAUAAUAUUUUGAAAUUAUACAAAAUUCACGUCUAUGAGAAUUAGAUAUUGUGAGUUUAAAUUUAAUUCACGUUUUUGGGAUUUAGAGAUUGCAAUUUUUUAAAAAAAAGAAGCUUAGAGUUUGGAGGAAGUUAGGAAAAUUGAAAAUAGAGAUGCAAACUUGAUAAGAGAUAAAAAAUGAUAAGAAAGUGAGUGGUUGUGGCAUUUAAUAAUUAAUCUUUAGAGUUAAAGAAAAUCUAUUUUUUAAAAUAUUUUUUCAAUUUAAUAGACAAAAACAAAAAAAUCACAAAUCUGCACGAUUUACAAGGCAUACUAUUAAUGAUUAGUUCUGGUAGAGUUAAAAAAAUUUCUAGACUAUAAUUUCUUGAAAAAAGACAAAUGAGAAAAAGCCCUCGAACAAACAAAAAAAUUUGCAAAUCAAGAAAAGAAACUUCAAUCCAUCCAAAUAAAAAGAGGACAGCAUAUACAAAAUAGAGAAAAAAAAUUAAACCAAAAGAAAAAAAUAAAAAAAAAACUUGACAUACACACAAAAGUAGAAAAGAAAAUUUCAAAAGAUUGAACUAAAAAGAUGAAAGAAACAUUAAUAAAUUAAAACUAAAGAUGUUGGAUUAAAAAGGGAGUGACAAAAGAAAAAGGAGAGAGAGAGUCAAAGAUUAAAUAGAAAGAGUCAUGAGAGAAUGAGAUUUUGUAGAAAAAAUAGAGGAAACAAAGUUGGAAGUUUGAAGGGGGGGCGAUGGUUUUAGGGUGUAGAGAAUUCUUGUUUUUUUUUUUAGUUAAUAAGUUUUAUAUAUAUGUGUUAUCACAAAAAACUAAUAGGAUGUGAUGGUGCAAUGGUUACUAUAGCGGAUUUCUAUAACAAAGGUCCUAAGUUCAAUUCAUGGUAGUUUUACCAGUUUUCUAAGUUUGACCAAUUAUUUGUCAUAGUCAACUCUAGUAUAGAAUCGGACCGGUAUCAUGGUCGAUUCACAGUUCAAUCGAUCGAUCUAACUUGUUUGGUUCGAGUUCAAUCGAUCGAUCUAACUUGUUUGGUUCGAUUUUAAAAACACUGAGAAAAGGCCUUAAGCAUUUCCUUGGGUUCUAUUUGAUGAAACUUGAAAGUUGAAAGCUACUUUUCCAUAGUGGUUAAGCCUAGUUUGAGGGCCGAGAAGAGAAAUGUAGAGACAUAAAUAAGGGAUUAAUCUUUUAUACAUAGUGUUUGUACAUUGUCAAUUUUGGAUAAAUGAAAGCUAUGUAAAAUUUAAAUUUAAAAUUUAACUUUUGUAUAUGUAUCAUGGAUUUAACGGUGACAGUGUAUACACUAUUAGUAUAUAUAAAAUUUAUUCAUAAAUAAUUACGAGAGAUGUAAGUAAUUGCGAAUUUUUUUAAUGGGUAUCCCAUGAUAGUCCUGUUAGACCAACCUUAUACCUAAUUUAAUAUAUGAAUACAAAUUCACAUUUAUUGUACCUAUGCAUGGGACACUUCAGCAAAUUAAUUACACUUUUGUGAAAAGUAACACUUGAGGCCUCUUAACGGGGUACCCGUUAAUUAAACCCAAAAAUUAAUUAGAGGGAAAAAGAAAAAGAAACCAAUUUUUAGUGCAUGACCUCUUUGUCUUGUUUGGUAAUAUAAGACAAAAUAUAUGAUGACGUUUUAUUUAUUUGUAUCCGUAAUUUUUCCCUUUAUAUUUAAAGAGUAGUUUGGACUCUAGAUUCACCAUCUCACUUUCUAUCACAAUGUUUAUCUAAUUAUUUUAUCAUGUAAUUUUACGUACAACGCUUUGUGAAUGAACCAUGUAGUAUAUUCACAUGUCACGGGAAAAAAAAUAGGGAAUGAAACAGAAAUUAGCACAGAAAGUAGGAUAAAGAGUCUAGCGUCUAUAAAUUGGCAUCUUUAUCUCACUGUUUUGUCGUGUAAUUUAACAUGCAACACUGUGUGUUUUGUGAAUUAACCAUUGUACUAUGUUCACAUGUCGCUGGAAAAAAAAAAAAAGAGGAUGGAGCAUAAAUUGGCAUAGAAUGUGGGAUAGACGGUAUAGAAUAAGGAAAUUGGCAUUAUUAAAUCUCUGUGUACCAUUCCUAUUUGAGUUAUGGUUCUUCUCUCAAACUUCGGAGAGAAAAUUAUUAUUAGCUCUCAAUCAUUCUAAGUUACCUCAAUUUUCUAAGUGCCCAGUUGAAAAAUAGGCAUGCCUCCUCCAAAGUCCUCAGUUAGCUGUAAGAAAAUCCAUUUAACGGCAAGCUUAGUAUUGCUACCCCACCAAAGGCAUAUCCAUACAACGUAAGAACCCAGAACUUAAGACCACCCCUUCAGUACUUGGGUUUUCCCCUCGUAAAAGUUGCUAACUUUUUCAAUCUUUCACUUAGACUUUAUUUGAUAAACCAAUUCAACACUUAAUUUUAAUGGAUUUAAAUUUUAACAUGUUCAGACCCGUUUAAUAAUAAAAAAUAGAAUAUCUGAAUUAAUUAAAUAACACUGAAUUUUUUGGGCCAAAUUUGGUUCAAAAUAUAAAUGAUAAGCUGUUCAUUUAUCACUUAAUGUGAUAUAAACUCAAAUGUAUCAAAUUUACUACUUAACAAUAUAGUAACUUAACGGAUUCAGAAUUCAGAUUUUAAAUUUCAGUUUUAUCAAAUGCAUCUUUAAUUAAGUAUAAUUCCAUCCUGUGCCAUUCUAGCACCCUCAUUGCACUUGAUAAGUUGGGUUUCUGUAAUUUUUAUAUUUAUUGGUAGACAAAUUAUUGUUGACUUUUUUUUAUAUCAAGUCAUCAAAUCUUUAAGAGUAAAAAAAGAAAAAGAAAAAGAAAAAAGGACGUGGAAAACUAAAACACAAGCAAACCUUCUUUUCUUUUGGGGGUGGAUCCAAUUACAAGCAACCAUCUGAUUUUGCACAACCCAAACAUGAAGACUUGUAAGGCCACCACCAAAGCCCGUAAGACUUGUUACCAAAGCCGGUAAGGUUGGAUGGGGUGGGAAGUCAAGGAUUCAAAUCUUGCCCCCCUCCCCAUCAUCUGUCAUUAUAUGUGACCUGCCACUUUAAAGUUGUUCAAGACGGAUGCACCAAUUUGGGUUGGUGGUAGUUCAGUUCUCACUAGUUUCCUUUUGGGUCUUUUUAGGUCCCCCCAUAGCAUAGAAAAAAGACUAGUGGUAGUUCAGUCUCCACUAGUUUUCCUUUGGGUCUUUUCAGGUCCUCCCAUAGCAUAGAAUAAAAUGUAGAUCUAUUGUAUCUGGCCAAAAAAAAAAAUGAAGACAAUGUUAAACAUUAAAGGAAGAAAAAAAAGGGAAAGGGUUUUAUUUAAUUUAAAGGUUUGUUUUGCAUUUCCUGCUUUAUCAUGCUGUUCAAAUUCCUCUAAUGCCUUAAAUGCUGGAGGAAAUAGUGGCUCCUUAGUCUACUCAAGCAAUGGACAAAUUAUGGUUAAUAGCACGUGAGUAUCACGUGACCAUGCUUUUCUCAUUGGUUUUUUUUUUAAAAAUUUUUUAUUUGAUAAGAAAAAGUUUGGAAUGAUUCAAUUCCAAUCAUCAUCACCAAUCAGAAUAUACCUCUGGAAUGAUGAAACCAAUAAAUCUACUUACAGGUAUUUAUAGACCAUUUACUAUCCUCGUAUACUAGAACAGUUUAGGUACAAAAAGUGAUUUAAAAAACAUGAGAAACAGACUAUCUUUUGCUUUAUUUCUAUUACAGAGUUGUGUGUGUUAGAUAAAAUAUCAUCAUUCUCCUUGCCUAAAAAGUCCACCAUUUCUUGACAAAUUGUAGUGUGAUACAAAAUUAAGGGCGACUUGAGGGCCUAAGAUAUAUAGACCUUGGGGGGUUGGGGCAAAGAUAAUAAUUGUUCUAUUUACAUGUUUUUUAAAAAAUUAUGCACUAUUAGUGUAAAGGAUUUUUACAUUAGCAAGUAUAGAUGUAUGUCAAGUAUAUAAAAAGUAAAUUUAAAAUUUAAAAUUAGAUUAAGUGUCAUGCAUUUACAUUUGCUCGUGUAUACACUACAUAUAAAAAUUACUCGUUUUAAAAAAAUUUGAAUGUUACAAUUUUUUUUGACUUUUACUGUUUAUCUGAAAAUAAUUGUUCUGUUUACAUGUUUUUUAAAAAAUUAUGCACUAUUAGUGUAGAGGAUUUUUACACUAGUAAGUAUAGAUGUAUGUCAAGUAUAUAAAAAGCAAAUUUAAAAUUCAAAAUUAGAUUAAGUGCCAUGCAUUUACAUUUGCUCAUAUAUACACUACAUAAAAAAAUUACGCUUUUUAAAAAAAAUUUGAAUUUUAUAGAUUUUUUUGACUUUUACUGUUUAUCUGAACAUGUCUUUGAUGAUAUACAAAUUAUGUGAGACAGACGUUUUUUUGUUAUUAAAACAUGUGUGUGAUGAUAUAAAAAUUAUGCGAGAUAUAUCUAUAUUGCUCUAAACAAUUAGAACGGGUAAUUAUUUGGCCUCAAAUAUGAUUUUGAGAGGUAAGCAACUUUGUACUUUUCAUUGAAACUAGAGGAAUAAGUCAUUAAAACGGAAGCACUGCGUGAAUAGCUCACGAUGUCAACUUAUUCAGGGAAAAUUGAGGUUAGCCCACCUGGAGAUAUAAUUAUAUAAAUGUAGAAUGGUCGAGCCGAGAGCUCAAUGUGUUCAUGCAGAACACAAAUAGACACUCAGGGCAAGCAUUUUCUCUGGUUAUGUUUCUAAAUCCAUUCAAUUUACAAAAGUGGAGUAAUGGGACAAUUUGUGCCAUUAAUGAUUCUUCUUCAACUACUCUUGCUUAAUAUCUGUGAGUACUAUGCUUGUUGAAUGCUUUACUGCUUGUUCAUUAGUUGCAUGUUUGCAUUUCUUGUAGCUAAAUUUGAAACUAUCAAUAUCUCUUGAUCAUAUGGACUGUAUCCUUUCGCUAAACUACUUUGAUGAGAGUUUAAAAAGAAGUGAUCUCACUUUCAUGUAGAGUUUAAUAUGCUACUGACAUGAUGUAUCUGUUAAAAUAGUCAUUGAGAUUUGGAAUUCUGCAGUACCUAUUUUCUCUGGAAGGAAUGCGAGCUAUAAUCAAACAGUGAACUACGAAAUGAAUCUAUUAGCAAGAAAGAGGAUUGAUGACAUGAAAAGUUUCAGAAUGCUGACAUUUAUCUUUCUCUUUAUGUUUUGAUCUAUAAGAUAUCAGACUUUUUCUUUACAAAAAUUAAUUUAGCAAUGAGUGUCAAUUUUGUCUUACCUUUGAUUAGUUUACCACUUAGUCCAAAAUUACCUUUGAUUAAUUUAGCAGUUUCUUUCCUUGUUGGAUAAUAUAAUAAUGUCCUCUGCCGCUUAUGGCUUGUUAUCUUGAGACUUCAGUCAGCUAUUUGAGAACUUCUCCUCUUUUUCUUGUUUUUUCCUUGUUCCUUUUAUCUCUCAUUGCAUUUGACUUCCUAUGUUGUAGGUAAUAUACUUCCUGAGAUUCCCACAGCAAAUUGAGUACUUGCUGAUGUUCUAUUAACAAUAACAGGUCAUUUCCUUUAUGGAAAUGAAAUCAACAAAUUGAGUAAUCUUUUUUUAGCAGAUAUUAUCCUCCCUUCACCGUCAUUAGGCACUUAAAGAUGAUCCUUUGACAUUGUGAUCUUUGUUAAUCAUUUUCAUUAGAAGAAUAAUUUUAGGUGAAUCACCAGCCAAUGUGGUUACAUUGUCAGAAACCACAUUCCUUCCUUUACCUCAUCUUACAGCAACUGAUGCUAUAUUUCCUGCCCUAGACCAAUUUCUGUUUCUUUAUUUCCUUUGUUCCUUUAUUGGUUGCAUAUAACUGAGUUCUUUGUGGUGUGAAGACUCUGAAUUAGGCUCAAACUGAAAUCAAUUAACUAUAAACUGGAGAAUAAUUAGUUAUGACUGUUCCUUGAUUGAAAGUUGUUAACCUCGAUUUUGCUUCUUCAUAAAUUACAGGACUGCAGAUUAGCAAGUUGAUGCUUGCUUUACAGGCCAUCUCAAACAUACUUUGAUUUUUCACAACAAAAGCCAAUACCAUAUCAGAUGACAUAUAAAGUGCAUGGUUCUUGCAAGAUAAAACUGCAUCUGAUUUUUUUUUUUUUGUUUCUGAAAAAGAAAAAAAAAAUCAUUCCAUACAAGUUCGAUCUGUUUAUAAAUAAUUGCUGCCAGAGAAGUCCAACAUAAAAGGCUCAAGUCACAUAGAAAAUUUGAUGUAAAGGCUUCUUCUAUUCAUUUAUUCUAAAUGCAGAUACUUAACUCCAGAAGGGAUUCAAAUGUUAUUCUGAUCCUUCUUUAACAUGCAUUUACAACCCUAACCCCAAUAAAGAGUAUUUAGCUAAAGAAUUAUCAGUGGAACUCAGGAAAAAGCACAUACAUAGAAUGGUUUAAAUUGAUAGAUUGAAAAAACAUUUCUUGGAGUACAAUAUGAUAAAAAAUUUUGUCAUAUUACCCCAAAACAUUUUUGUUGAUAAUCAAGGAAUAGUCACAGAAAACUGUAUCACUGCUCCAGUUACAAUCAAGUAUAGAAAAAACAUCAUCUACGUAGGAAUAGAAAGCUACACAUGAUGAAAAAACAGCAACUGUAAUACAGCUAAGGAAGAAGUAUGUACUGAAAUGAAAUUUGGCGUUGGUGGACAAGGCUUCAAUUAACACUUGUUUUUGCAACAUCACCCUGUCUUGCAGCAGCAGUUUUGUGGCUGCCUGAGAAAUAUUGACAAACAACACUUGAUUAGUAUAGUUAGAAACAAAAAGCAAACUCAUCCAUGAUACUAACGCAAGUACGAUCACGAAAAUUACAUUGUAAUUCUACUUCCUUCCUUCCAACUUAUUGUGGCUCUCAAUAUGAAAUUUGGAAUGUAAACAUUUGCAAACAUAUACACCCCGUAACUUAUGUAGAAAGCAUCUUCAGAGAAGGGGAAAACUUUCAACAGCAAGAAAUGAAAAAAAUGAAAAAAAACAUAGAGAUCAGCUCAUUUAUGGAAUAAAUUAAUAAAGACACUAAAUUCAGAAACAAACAAGGAGGAGGAAAGAGAUAGAAAAUAAAAUAUUUAAAUUUAUAGAAAUAAGAAAUAUUAAAAAAUAUUAAAAAGCUGCAUGCAGCAGAUUGUUUGGAUGAAUUGAUAGGUUGCAUUUUAGUGGGUAUUUCGGGCAUUAUUGCACCAUUAAUUGACUAAAUAUUUUCCUUAAUUGGGUGGAUUCUACUGAUAUCUUGUUUUGGGUGCUAAUUGCAGGAAUGGAUGCUGAAAAGUGCUUAAAUUCAACUUUUAGAAGAUUCAUCGGACGUGGGGCCCGUUUGAGAAGCUGAAGAAACCUAAUUGUAAUAGAUUUUAUUUUAAGAUAUUUUUAGCGAGUCUGGCUGCAAUUUUUAAGAAGUAACAAUUCUCGGCUAUUGGGGGAUUGCAUUAUCUCUCGCGCGUUUUAGGUUAAAAGCGGAGUUUGUUUUUGAAUGAAAAAAAAGAAGGAGCCGCAGCUUUGUAGAGAGAAAGGCAGCAGACAAUAGCCACUUUUGUUGACUUUGAGGAUUCUGUGAGCUUUUGAUUGUUCUUUGACCAAAUUGAGAAAUAAAAACAAUUCUCCAAUCUUUCGUAUGUUUCUUGUGUGGGAAAAGAAGGAAAGCUUAAAGGAGCCGCCAUUGUUAACUUUGCUUUUGGUUGUCCUACCUUGUGUGAAUUGAAUUGGGGAGCAGAAACAAUCUCGUGUUUUUCCUCCUGUGGUGGACCGAAGCGGGAGAAUCGAAUUGCAAACCUUUCCCAAUUCUCCACGCGCGGCCUACUCUCCACUAAUGGGGAACUAAACCCCUAAUUCUAGUCAAGGGGACAACUGACGAUUUGGUUCGACAAUUACUGUGAGAUCUAAACCGUUUUUAAUUAUUUUCUUCAUUAAUUGAUAUUCAUAUGUUCCCUGAUUUUAAUUGCUAUAGCCUCGUGCAUGAUUGGUUAGUGCGCAAUAAUUAAUUAUUCAUAUAGGCUAUUUUGCUAAAUAGGGGUAAUUGAAUCCGUAAUUGUUCGUUAUCCCUGUUUUAGUAGCAACUGGCAUAAUUGGGUUUAUGUCAGGGGAAUAUACGAUCUAGUUUAAACAAACCCUCGUAGCGUGUUUGUUAAUUAGGAUUGGGCCUUUCUAAUUAUUAAUGCAAUCUAAAAAUUAAACCCUACGGUCGUACCUAAGGUUGUUUUUGGGUUAGAGAAAUAGCUAACGGUCGUACCUUAACUAUCGAUAAAUUAAGGAAGGGUUGGUCGUUUAGCGCGUGCGAGACAACUAUAACCAGUCUAUUAAUAAAUGUGAAAUUACCUUUGAAUCAAUGAUCAGUUGCAUGAACCAUUUCUGAAGUGUACCCUUGGCUAGAUGUUUCUCUUAAUUAUUUCUUUUAAUUGAUUAUUUUCGGCAUUUCAUUUGUUUAGUUGGCAUUUAAUCCCAAAAUCCCCUUUCAUCUUGAUUUGAAAAGAAGCAAAAUAUCUUGCUAGUCCCUAAGAAGACGACCCUGCUUACCACUAUCUACUAGUUAGUGAUUUCAGUUAAAUAAUUAAUUCAGGUAUAUCGGAUCAAGCAAACUCUUCGGGAACAGGGUGAAUCAAAUAACCCAUUGCACACCUAGAGUCCCUGCUCCAGUACUCGAAUUGAUUAAUGACUGGUUUAGGUGGUAUUUAGGUUUUAUUAUUUAUUAUUAUUGCACAGGUUCGACACCUGUCAAUUUUUGGCGCCGUUGCCGGGGACUGGCAUAUGAAUUAUUUGUUUCUUUUUUGAAUUCAGUUUUUUUAUUUAGUUUUUGUUAUUUUAUUUUUCUUGGUAUUUUUGCUAGUUUAUGCCCCGUUCCUCUCGCACAGGUGAAUUGAUAUACGAUUCUAAGGUUGAGAAGGCAGCGCGUAGGCGAAGAUAAGAAACCAAGAGACGAAAAGAAUGGCACUUAUCUUUUGCAAACGAGUCAGUAGAAAACGAAUUUAGCAUGGCCAACACCCAGACACUAAGGGAGCUGGCUACCCCAGACCUGACUCAUCAGCCCUUGUGCAUCACGUUCCCAACUCUGGCUGAAAAUACCUCUUUCGAGCUGAAAUCGGGGUUGAUUCACCUCCUACCUAAGUUCCAUGGUCUUUCUGGUGAAGAACCGCACAAACAUGUCAAGGAAUUCGAAAUAGUUUGCUCUAGCAUGAAACCUCCUGGGGUCACUGAGGAGCAAAUAAGACUUAGAACUUUCCCCUUCUCUCUCAAGGAUGCAAUGAAGGAUUGGCUAUACUACCUACCUGCAGGUAGUAUCACCACGUGGGCACAAUUGAAAAAGAAAUUUCUGGAAAAAUUCUUCCCCGCAUCCCGGGGUGCGAGUCUGAGAAAGGAAAUAUGUAGCAUCAAGCAGUACUCCGGAGAAUCAUUGUACAAUUAUUGGGAAAGGUUCAACAAAUUGUGCCACGGAUGCCCACAGCAUCAGAUUAGUGAACAACUGUUGAUCCAGUACUUCUACGAAGAGCUCCAGUCAACUGACAGGAGUAUUAUUGACGCUGCAAGCGGAGGAGGCCUGGCGAACAAAACACCGAGGGAAGCGUGGGAGCUUAUUGAGGCCAUGGCAGAGAACUCCCAGCAGUUCGGCUUCCGUGAGAGCAAUCCUACCCGUAGAGUCAAUGAGGCAGAGACGUCAUCUAUCCAGCAGCAACUGUCGGAGUUGACGUCUGCUGUUAGGCAAUUGGCCAUGAGAGACACACCGCGAGCAAAGGUGUGUGGAAUCUGUACUAGCAUGGACCACUGUACGGAUACGUGCCCCAUUCUGGAAGAGGACGGGGCGGAACAGGUAAAUAUGGCCGGAGGCGUGCCCGCGCCCCGCAGGCAGUAUGACCCGUAUUCCAAUACAUACAACCCUGAUUGGAGAGACCAUCCCAAUCUUAGUUAUGGGAACAGACAAUCAAGUUCAUUCCCGAAUCGUCCACCAGGAUUCCACCAGCCUUGGCAACCAAAAUCUCAACCCUCAUCCUCCAAUUCAGGAAGCUUCUUGGAGGACCUAGUCAAAAGUCUGGCCACGACUACUACUCAGCUUCAUCAGGAGAUCAAAGCGGACAAGAAGGACCAAGAAGCUCGAAUAAGCCAACUGGCCACUGCCAUUAACCGCUUAGAGUCCCACGUUUAUGGAAAACUGCCAUCGCAACCCGAGGUAAAUCCCAAGAAUGUAAGUGCCAUGACGCUGAGGAGUGGCAAGGAACUGGAAGGGCCUAAAGUGAGAAAUUCAAAAAGCAAAAGUGAGGAGGAGAUAGAAAAGGAAAUUGAGGAGGAAGGACGUGUUCGUGAGGAGCCUAAGGUAACCUCCACCUCUCCACUCACUACUAACUCUAACUUAUCCCCUUUUCCUUGCAGGUUGGAAAAGACAAAGAAAGUAGAGAAGGAAAAAGAGCUCUUGGAUGUGUUUCGGAAAGUGGAAAUCAACAUUCCCCUGUUGGAUGCAAUCAAGCAGGUACCGAAAUAUGCUAAAUUUUUGAAGGACUUGUGCACCCACAAAAGGAAACUAAGGGGGGAUGAACGAGUGGCGGUGGGAGAAAACGUGUCAGCCAUGCUCCAAAGGAAACUCCCACAAAAAUGUGGAGAUCCAUGUAUGUUCACCAUUCCCUGCAAGAUAGGAGGUGCCUCGAUUAGGAAGGCAAUGUUGGAUUUAGGGGCGUCAAUCAAUGUAAUGCCUAAAACAAUUUAUACGUCCCUUAAUCUUGGUCCAUUAAAAGGCACAGGCAUUAUAAUCCAACUUGCAGACCGUACCAAUGCUUACCCAGAAGGGUUAGUUGAAGAUGUUUUGGUACAAGUCAAUGAGUUAGUUUUUCCUGCAGAUUUCUAUGUCCUAGACAUGGGGGAUGAAAGGGCGCUGAACCCGUCUCCUAUUUUGUUAGGUAGGCCAUUUUUAAGCACUGCUAGGACGAAAAUAGAUGUAAAUGAGGGUACUUUGUCGAUGGAGUUUGAUGAGAAAAUUAUAAAUUUUAAUAUUUUCGAUGCGAUGAAAUACCCAGAUGAGACUAACUCUGUUUAUGCUUUAAGUGUUGUUGAGCCCCUUGUACAGGAAAUAUUUGAAUUGGAUGGGGUUGAUACACUGGCAGUGGUAUUAGCCAAACAUCUUGAAUUGGGAGCAACUCCUGAUAUAGAAUUGAGUGAUGAGUUAUACCGGGCUGUUGGAGCACUGCAUUCGCUCCCACCAAUUUCUCCAAUGUAUGAGCUCACUUCUGUCUUUGUACCAGAAACUCAGGCGAAAUUGUUGCCCUCUAUUGUGCAGGCACCUGAGUUGGAGCUCAAACCUCUCCCAAAGCAUUUGAAAUAUGCUUUUCUCGGGGACAAGGAGACACUGCCAGUCAUUAUAUCUGCACACCUGUCACCAAGGCAAGAAGACAACCUUAUUCGUCUUCUUCGAGAUCAUAAGGAAGCGAUUGGGUGGAGUGUAGCAGACAUCAAAGGAAUUAACCCUUCCUUAUGCAUGCAUCGGAUCCGACUUGAGGAUGACGCAAAGCCAGUUAGACAAGCGCAACGGAGAUUGAACCCACUCAUGAUGGAAGUGGUAAAGAAGGAGAUACUUAAACUCUUGGAAGUGGGGAUCAUCUUCGCCAUCUCAGAUAGUCCUUGGGUGAGUCCCGUGCAAGUAGUCCCGAAAAAGGCGGGAGUAACCGUUGAAGAAAACCAAGGGGGCGAGAUGGUCCCAGUGAGGAAACCCACAGGAUGGCGUCAGUGCAUUGACUACCGACGCCUGAAUGCCGUGACGAAGAAUGACCACUUCCCUCUACCUUUUAUUGAUCAGAUGAUAGAAAGGUUAGUUGGUCGUGUCUAUUACUGCUUUCUUGACGGUUUCUCAGGUUAUUUUCAGAUUGCUAUAGCCCCAGAAAAUCAGGAGAAAACUACAUUCACUUGCCCCUUUGGUACAUUUGCCUACCAGAGGAUGCCUUUCGGUCUCUGCAACGCCCCAACAACUUUCCAGAGGUGUAUGGUAAGUAUCUUUUCCGAAUAUGUAGAAAAGAUUAUUGAGGUGUUUAUGGAUGAUUUUAGUGUUUAUGGAGAUAGUUUUGAUGAAUGCCUGGAUAAUCUAGCUUUAAUUUUGAAAAGGUGCAUUGAGUCAAAUUUAGUUUUAAAUUGGGAAAAGUGUCAUUUCAUGGUGGAUCAUGGCAUUGUUUUAGGGCAUGUGGUGUCGGCCAGAGGUAUAGAGGUAGACAAGGCAAAAGUCGAUAUUAUCUCUGCUUUACCUUACCCCGCAAGUGUGCGGGAGGUGCGUUCCUUUUUGGGUCAUGCAGGGUUCUACAGGAGAUUCAUCAAAGAUUUCUCCAAAAUUGGAGCGUCCCUGUUCAAACUGUUGCAGAAGGAUGUGGCAUUUGACUUCACCGAAGAGUGUAAGGUGGCAUUUGACAGGUUGCGGGAGUCAUUGACAUCACCACCUGUGAUCCAACCUCCAGACUGGAGCCUCCCAUUUGAAAUAAUAUGUGACGCGAGUGACUAUGCAGUGGGAGCGGUGCUGGGGCAACGGAUUGGCAGAGCCGCACAUGCGAUCUACUAUGCAUCCAAAGCGUUGAAUGGAGCUCAGCUCAACUAUUCUACAACAGAGAAAGAAUUACUUGCUGUGGUUUUUGCAUUAGAAAAAUUUAGAUCUUAUUUGUUAGGUGCGAAAGUAAUAGUUUUCUCUGAUCAUGCAGCCUUAAGGUACUUGAUGACGAAGAAGGACGCUAAACCAAGGCUCAUCAGAUGGAUCCUGCUUCUUCAAGAGUUCAACUUGGAGAUUAAGGACAAAAGUGGGGCAGAAAACUUAGUCGCGGAUCACUUGAACUGCCUGCUUGCUCAUAAGGAGGAGCCACCAUUGAGGGAGGCAUUUCCAGAGGAACAACUACUUGCUAUUAACUCGUCUGUACCCUGGUAUGCCGAUUUAGUGAAUUUCUUAGUGACUAAUCAAUUGCCUGCAGGGUGGCCAAAGGCUAAGAGAGACAAGUUGAAGAGUGAUGCUAAAUAUUACAUUUGGGACGACCCGUACCUUUGGAGACAAUGUUCGGAUCAAGUGCUCAGGAGGUGUGUAAGUGCAGGCGAAUUUCACUCUAUUUUAAAUUUCUGUUAUUCGUUUGCAUGUGGAGAGCAUUUUGGGCCCAAGCGAACAGCUCGCAAAGUGUUAGAGAGUGGCUUUUACUGGCCUACCCUGUUCAAAGAUGCUUAUUUAUUCUGUAAAUCCUGUGAUAGGUGUUAAAGGGUGGGAAAUAUUUUUCGUAGGGACCAAAUGCUUCAAACCCCCAUGUUGUUUGUUGAAAUUUUUGAUGUUUGGGGGAUAGAUUUUAUGGGUCCUUUUCCCUCAUCUUUUGGUUUCCUAUACAUUUUACUUGCUGUAGAUUAUGUCUCUCAAUGGGUGGAAGCCAAAACCACCCGUACUAAUGAUUCUAGAGUGGUUGCAGAGUUCUUAAAAUCUAAUAUCUUUGUCCGUUUUGGAAUGCCAAGAGCUGUAGUUAGUGAUAGAGGGACACAUUUCUGCAACAAGACUAUCACUGCCUUGUUUCGAAGAUACGGUGUACUCCAUAAGGUAUCCACACCGUAUCACCCGCAGGCAAACGGUCAGGCCGAAGUGCCAAACAGGAAAAUCAAGUCGGUCUUGGAGAAGAUGAUGCGUCCGGAUAGAAAGGAUUGGAGUUUAAAGCUAGAAGACGCACUAUGGGCGUAUAGAACCGUGUAUAAGACGCCAAUUGAGAUGUCUCCGUAUAGACUUGUCUUCGGUAAGGCUUGCCAUCUUCCCGUAGAAUUCGAACACAAGGUGUUUUGGGCAGUGAAGCAGUGUAACAUGGGAUUAGAUGAAGCAGGGGUCCAAAGGAAAUUGCAACUACAAGAGUUAGAGGAGAUAAGAAAUGAAGCGUAUGAGAAUGCCACGAUCCAUAAGGAAAAGAGUAAAACCUUUCAUGAUCAACGAGUUUCCACAAAAUCUUUUGUAGUGGGGACAAAAGUCCUCUUGUAUCACUCGAGACUUAAACUUUUUCCCGAUAAGUUGCGUUCUCGUUGGAUUGGUCCAUUUGUCGUUUCUAAUGUGUUUCAUUAUGGUGCAGUGGAGAUCCAAAGUUUAAAAACGGAGAAAAAGUUCGUGGUGAAUGGCCAUCGUCUUAAACCUUAUUACGAGGGGUUCUCUGUUGAAGAAGUAGAAGUUGAACACCUCCAACAUCCACUUUAUAAUGCUUGAGCGUUUUGGCCAUGUCUAGCCAAAAACAGUAAAGAAAGACGCUACUUGGGAAGCAACCCAAGACUAUUUGUUUCAGUUUUCAUGCAUUUUUGAAGUUUUAGUUAAGUGUUAGUGUCAAUUAAUAGUUUGAUGUUUGGUGGCAGGAAAUUAGUAGUUAAGCGUGCUCACGCCUGAGGGGAAGGAAUUUUCGUUCAGGUUCUGCGGACUCCAUAGCAGUUAGACGUGCCCACGCCAAGUGGUCACGCCUGAUGGAAGGAAUUUUCGUUCAGGUUCUGCGGACUUCAUGGCAGUUGAGCGUGCCCACGCUAGGUGCUCACGCUAAAAAAAAAAAAAAAAAAGGGCCAAAAGAUGAAAUUGCCCUUAUUGAAAAAGAAGAAAAAAAAAUCGUAGCCCUACUUCUUCUUUUCUUCCUUUUUCUUUCUUUCUUCUUCUUCUUCUUUCUUGUCUUUUUGUCCGCCGUCGCACCUCCCUUUCUCCACACGCCGCACGAUCACCGCACCGCACCUAGCCGCGCGCGACCCAGCUGCGCCGCACGACAGCACCACCAGCAGCAUCUCAGCGCGGACCACCAGCCGCAGUUCCAGGGCCUCAGCUCCACCGUGUGCGGUUCCGACGCCUCCUUCACCAGCCAAGCCCGCCUUGCUCCAGCAGCAGCCACGACCAGCAGCAACGCCGCCGCACUCGCCGCCACCUAGCCCGCGCAGCAGGAGCCCACUGUGCGCGCAGCUUCACCAGCCACCAGCUGCCUUCGCACGGCCAGCUCGCGCGUGCAACUACCCACCGCACGCACGGAUCAAGCCAGCUGUGCACGGUGCGCAGUCAACCGCCAAGCGCCUCGCCCAGCUCUUUUCUCUGCCCAUCGCGACUCCAGAUCGAGCAAGGCAAGGUCAGUCUGCACGCACCUGCUCGCCUACCCAGGCGUGCGCCAGACCAGCGCAGCUCUUCCCCCCUUUGCGCGCAUUCCCCUGCUCUCCAUUUCACUCACGGCCACUCACCCGCUUCGCGCGCAACCGAAGGCGCAGCAGCCAGCUAGCUCACGCGAGCCAGCCACGCGCAACAAGGGUCAACCGCGAGCCGCCUUCUUCCUCCUCUAGCGCCACCUGCAUUCUUUUUCUCUUCCACCCAUAGCAACUACCGGUUAUCCCCCAUGGUGAUUUCUUUCUUAAUUUUCUGUCACUAAGUAGCUAAGGCCAGAUUACUAGCUUUUAUUAGCUGAUGACAGAUUUUAUUUUCGUAGCUGAGGCCAGAUUCUUUUUAGUUGCUAAUUGAGGACAGAUAUUUUGUGCUUGAUUUGGGUCCUGUGCCGUAUCUGUAGUUGAUUGUUGCUUAUUAGGUAUAUUUUGUGUUCAACCGGGGUUAUCAGGGGGAGGUUUUCACUUCGGUUGCCUGAUUAUUUCGUUUUUGAGGGGGUUUUGCUCUGUUUAUUUGAUUAAUUACUUUUUGGGUCAAAUUGGUAGUAUUUGGGAGAAUUUUGCUGUUCAUAGGCUUAAUUUAUUUUUGGGUCAAUUCAUUGCCUGCUUUUGCACGUGAUUGCGAGUGGGGAGUUGUGACUGAGAAUCAUUUACUUUGGGGCCACUUGUGACUUCUUUGGAACACCAUUUCCUUGCCUCCACCCUGCCCUCUGCAUUCAAAUGACUAAACCAAAAAAUAAGGGCAAGAGCAAACCUUCCACUUCCACCCCUCAACCUACGGUCCCCUUAGGGGGACCUGCCCCUCGACUGGGCCAGGAGGGCCCCGUACUCGCCUUGGACGGAAUAGAGAGGUGCAUAUCUCCUCUCCGGCCCAUUUCGGCAGCGAUUUAACCUUUACCAGGGCUGCCGACAAGGAGCGGUAUGCCUCGGCUUGCACAAGGAAGAUAAUUCCUUGUAAAUAUAUCCAUGGCCCUACACUUGAUAUGCUAAACCUGAGGGAUGAGGUCACGCAGCACUUGACUAAUGUAGGCUGGACCCGCUAUGCUUCUAUCAAUCUACCUGCUUUUAUUGAACUCACAUGGGAAUUCUAUGCUACUUUUGAAUUUAAUAUUCCUGAUGAAUUCUCCGUUACCACUCUUGGGGUAGUGAGAUUUCGAUUGAUGGGUAGAGAGUUCAACCAGUCUAUCACUGAGUUUAAUUUGGCUCUUGGGUUUAUUGAUAUUCCUUACUCCCAGAGUGAGGAGUAUAUGCACAGUGUGUGUGAGUACUCGGAGCCAUUUUUCUCUCAUUACAUUGAUUAUUGGAGAGAUUUGUCGGUUGACCGCCACAUCUAUGACCCCAGUCAGUCUAAGGCGUCUUAUCUUAAGAGUGCCGCCUACCGUUAUUUACAUAGAUUCAUGGCCUAUAGUUUCUCAGGUAGGAAGGAUAGCUCGGGUACUCUGACCAAACCCGAGUUCUUUUUCGUUUGGUGCAUGGUCACUCGGAUUAGGGUCAAUUUGGGUAGCUGGUUUGCCCUCCACCUCCGGACUGUGCUAAGUAAGAAAAAUAAGCCAUUAAUCUUAGGCUCAUUUAUCACUCAGUUGGCUGUUAAUCUUGGGGUUUUGGAAUUAAAUAAUCAUAACUUGCAUCGUGCUUGUGCUAUGGAACCCCUUGAUUUGGUUUGUUUGGAGAAAAUGGGUCUUGUGCUACAGGUGAAUGGCGUUUUUUAGUUUGCUCCACCGGGGCCAAUCUCCGUUCCUCCAAAGCGCAGCGCUUCCAAAUCCACUGCCCCGGAGGCUGGUGGUCCUUCCACGGAUGCCCCCGGACCAUCCGCUUCGGCAUCUCCACCAUCUUCCUCCGUCGAUAGCCAGCUUGCAGCCCUCCAGUUCCAGAUGCAGCACAUGGACACUCGUAUGGAUCGGAUGGAGCGUCAAAUGGGCGAGAUGACCCAGAAUAUAGCGCAAUAUCUUCAUCACGUGGGCUUUCGACCGCCUUUCCCUCCACAGCCAUGAUGUAUUUCUGCCCUCCUCCGUUUUAAGGGAAGUUUCAUUGCCCCGCUACCUCUGUUUUGCUCUUUCUUUGUUUACAUUGGGAGCAAUGUAAGGUUUAGAUGUGGGGGAGGGUUCACUACGCUUUGAGUCGUGUUUUUAGUUGUUGGGUGUGCAUUUUUCUGAUUUUAGUAGUUAAACGGUGAUGAAUGCGAUUGAGAUAUGAGUAUAAAUAGUAAGUUCAUGCCAUGGGGUGCUCUGCUUCCCUUAAUAUGGAAUUGAUUGAUGAAUAUGCUGAAUUUAACAUCAUUUUGACCACUUGUGCGAUUUUUGGGCCUAAUCUUUCGUUUGCUUGAGUGGUUAUUGCACAUGGUUUGUCAUUCUAGAACUUGCUCGGUUAUGCAUGUCGAGACUGCAUUUAAAUGAGUUUAAUGCAUUAAAAUAAUAGGGCACCUAGGAAUGAGCCAUUUUUGAACUUUGCUUUUGGUUGUCCUACCUUGUGUGAAUUGAAUUGGGGAGCAGAAACAAUCUCGUGUUUUUCCUCCUGUGAUGGACCGAAGCGGGAGAAUCGAAUUGCAAACCUUUCCCAAUUCUCCACGCGCGGCCUACUUUCCACUAAUGGGGAACUAAACCCCUAAUUCUAGUCAAGGGGACAACUGACGAUUUGGUUCGGCAAUUACUGUGAGAUCUAAACCGUUUUUAAUUAUUUUCUUCAUUAAUUGAUAUUCAUAUGUUCCCUGAUUUUAAUUGCUAUAGCCUCGUGCAUGAUUGGUUAGUGCGCAAUAAUUAAUUAUUCAUAUAGGCUAUUUUGCUAAAUAGGGAUAAUUGAAUCCGUAAUUGUUCGUUAUCCCUGUCUUAGUAGCAACUGGUAUAAUUGGGUUUAUGUCAGGGGAAUAUACGAUCUAGUUUAAACAAACCCUCGUAGCGUGUUUGUUAAUUAGGAUUGGGUCUUUCUAAUUAUUAAUGCAAUCUAAAAAUUAAACUCUACGGUCGUACCUAGGGUUGUUUUUGGGUUAGAGAAAUAGCUAACGGUCGUACCUUAGCUAUCGAUAAAUUAAGGAAGGGUUGGUCGUUUAGCGCGUGCGAGACAAUUAUAACCAAUCUAUUAAUAAAUGUGGAAUUACCUUUGAAUCAAUGAUCAGUUGCAUGAACCAUUUCUGAAGUGUACCCUUGGCUAGAUGUUUCUCUUAAUUAUUUCUUUUAAUUGAUUAUUUUCUGCAUUUAAUUUGUUUAGUUGGCAUUUAAUCCCAAAACCCCCAUUCAUCUUGAUUUGAAAAGAAGCAAAAUAUCUUGCUAGUCCCUGAGGAGACGACCCUGCUUACCACUGUCUACUAGUUAGUGAUUUCAGUUAAAUAAUUAAUUCAGGUAUAUCGGAUCAAGCAAACUCUUCGGGAACAGGGUGAAUCAAGUAACCCAUUGCACACCUAGAGUUCCUGCUCCAGUACUCGAAUUGAUUAAUGACUGGUUUAGGUGGUAUUUAGAUUUUAUUAUUUAUUAUUAUUGCACAGGUUCGGCACCUGUCAUGAAUAUAAGAAAUGGCGCAGUUCGUAGUUCAGCAUUAUAGGGAAGGUAGUCAGCAGAAGAAAACUUGAGCCUCACUAGAAAUAGGAGAAAGACAGAGAACAUGCAAUAGCUUAAAAUAAAGAAAGAAAAUAACAUAAAGAAAUUUAUAACGACGUCGAACCCAAAAAUAAAUAAGAAAGAAAGAGAAACUAAUGUACUUAAAACAAUUUUUCCAUCAGAACAACUCAAAAGGUGUUAGCAGUUUUGCACCUCAAGAGAGUUUAAAAAAAAAAACCUACAAAGCUCAACAUGGAAAGUAUUAAUAUCGAUUCCUACACAAUAGCAAAUUCUAUGCUAGUGGAGAAGCAGAUCAUUUUGGGGGAAAAAAACCUCAAAGGGUGGCGACAGUUGGUAACAUUUAACGAAGGGGAGAAAACACGUACAUGAGAACCAGUCAGGAUUUUGAUCAAACAGGUGAUCUUCAAAUAUCUCAUCACUCUGUGGUAAAAUAUGGGUCAAGGGCAUUUUUGGCACUAGAAUUGUCCCACUCCAACGAUUCCCACCAUGCUUUAUUUCCCUUGAUUUUACGAAGAAUGCUGGGAAGAGAUGGUUGUCCGUCGAUGGUGGAAAGAAACAAAGGCAACCUCUUUACCUUUGGACAAUCUAACAUUUCAAUCUCCUCAAUUGAAUCGCAGAUCAUGGUUGCCUUGCAAACGUUCUUCAGUUGUGGCAGGUUAUCCAGACGCAACCACCUCAAUUUCGGAAGGAUGACAGUGGCAGUGGCUCCUUCACUUGAAGUCAAUUGGGUGCCUUCUCCUCCUCCUUGUCCUACUCCAUUGCCAUCUGCUGCUAUCUCCUCCAGUCCUUCACAAUCUUUAACUGCUAAUUUUCCAAGAUUUUGAAGGAUCUGCAGCAACUGCACCGUGAAUAGCUGCUUCAUGUUAUGAUAUCCAGAAAUGCUCAAUUUUUUGAGGGAAGAAAAGGUGCCAGCUGAAAGCAAAUAUGGUGGUCCGUCGAUGGUGGAAAGAAACGAAGGCAGCCUCUUUAAAUUUGGACAAUCUAACAUUGCAAUCUCCUCAAUUGAUUCGCAGAUCAUGGUUGCCUUGCAAAUGUUCUUCAGUUGUGGCAGGUUAUCCAGACACAACCGCCUUAAUUUCGGAAGGAUGACAGUGGCGGUGGCUCCUUCACUUGAAGUCAAUUGGGUGCCUUCUCCUCCUCCUCGUCCUACUCCAUUGCCAUCUGCUUCUAUCUCCUCCAGUCCUUCACAAUCUUCAACUCUUAAUGUUUCAAGAUUUUGAAGGUUCUGCAGCAACUGUACUGUGAAUAGCUGCUUCAUGUUGUCACAGUCAAAAACCCACAACUCUUUAAGGGAAGAAAAUGUGCCAGCUGGAAACAAAUAUGAUGGUUCUGAUUCUCCGUAAAAUAGACCAACCAGAUUUGGCAAACUCCAGAGGCGUAACUCUUCGAGACCACGGAGUGGACUAAAAGACGAGUCUUCCGGCUGAUCACGUGGAAAAGCAGAAGACAAUUGCCAGAGGAACUCUAUUCCAACCGAAUCCAUAAUAUCCAAUCUAGAUAAGUGGCUUAAAUUUAUAAAAUUCUUAAAAACAUCUGACAAGCACCUAAUGCCCAUGCCCUCACAAUCCUCGAUUAUCAGAGAUUUCAUAUCAUCUGGCAGAUAGUUCGAUCCUCUACCAAGCUUACACUGAUGGAAAUGCAGAUCUUGCACCAGGAACCGAUUAAUUCCACCAUCAACAAAACUCGGUUCCUCAGUUAAGAUGUCAUUGAUAUAAACAGUAUAAUAGUAUUUUGGUCACCGAGUGAUUUUAUAGAAGUCCAUAAAAGACAAACAUCCUCCAAAACUUUCUAAUUGGUUCAACACUUCUGGAUCAUUAACUUGUACCCUACCAUUGGAUGGCAAUAAUAACAGUUGAAGACGGUGAAAUUGGGAAAAUGUCCCUUUUGGUAUUAUCUUUUGGCUUAAAGCCCCAUACUCGUCCAAGUUAAGCCUUUCGAGGUUGACCAGUGACUUCCAACCUUCAGGUAAAUCCUCAAUCUUAGUGUAGGAUAGGUCCAAAUCCCUCAAUUGCUUGAGCUUUCCUAGUGGUGGCACAGAUCGGAGGUCCCGACAACCCCUCAAAAUCAGGGCAGUGAGAUUCACCAAGUCUGAAACAGAAUCAGGUAGCUCUAUUAUACCUCCGCACCGAGAUAGAUUCAAAACUUUAAGUCCACACAUGUGCCGAAAGAAUGAAUCUGGGAUUUCUUCUAUGGAAACAUCAGAAAGAAGCAAGGUUGAGAGCUUAAGACAAUUUGGUGACCAGGCUGGCGGAACUUUUAUUUCUGGGUGUGGAGCUGAAAAUGAAUGAAAGGAGACUGCAUGGAGAUCUUCUGUCCACUCUCCUUGUUCCAGUGUUACUUUAGAAUUUCCCUUUCCUAUGCUUUUCACCAAGAACUGUGGUACAUCCCCGUUCAUCUGUAGGUUGGAUUUUCCUUUCGUGAUUCUUAAUGCCAUAUCUCUGACCAAAUCAUGCAUCUUCACACAGUCACCCCUUCCGAAAUCUUUAGUUUCUUCUAGCAAGCAAACUUUUAUCAGUUUGUUUAAUAUUGUGUGACCUUCAUCAAAUUCUUUUGGUCUUGAGUCCCGUUUUGGCAUCAGCUCUGCCCAAAUAAAGAGGUCUAUUAGUUUCUCUCUGCUUAUAUCACUAUCUUCCGGAUAAAGACAGCAAUACAAGAAGCAAUUCUUUUCACAUUUAUUCAGGCGAUUGAAACUCCAUUCCAGGAUGCGAAACACAUCUCGUUCCAUCUCAUGAUACCCUAUUGAACAUGUUUUCAAUUGUUCCAAUGCAUUUCUCCACUCACAAAUGUCGGUCACACCUCUCAUGCUUCCAGCCACUGUGAUAAUGCCAAGAGGCAAACCAUCACACUCUUCCACAAUGGACUUGGCAAUACUUUCCAAAUCUCCUUGAAGCAAGGGCUCGCUACCAAGUUUAUACUUGAACAAAUCCCAAGCUUCGCCUGUGUCCAGAGUUUGCAAAUCAAACUUUCUUUGACAUUGUAUCCUGUUGCACACUUGCAGUGAGCGAGUAGUCAAAAUCAAUCUGCACUUGUUUGGAUGAAGUGGAAUCCCUACCCUGUCUAAACAAAAUUCUUCCCAAACAUCAUCCAAUAUGAGUACUAUUAAUUUCAGCAUUUUCCUGAAUAUGUCACGCAAUAUUCUUGCCCUGGUGUCUUCCUCGUCCCUACUGGAUAGAUUAAUGCCCAAGACAUUGGCAAUCUUAUCCUGCAAGCUGGUGACACUGAAGUCUUGAGAUACUGUAACCCAAAGCACCCGAUAAUUGUUCUUUUCUAAAAGAUGGUACUCAAUGUGCCUCGCCAGUGUGGUCUUACCAACUCCACCCAUACCAUAAAUCCCAAUGCUUGAUAUAUCAUCGGCCACCAAGCAUGGCCAAAUUCUCUUCAAAGCUUCAUCGAACUUUACUCCAAACAAUUUGGUUGGCAGGCAUGGCUCCCCGAUGUUGUCACAAGUAUCGAGCACAAGCCCAUCGAAAUGACGGCUCUGAUCAACAAGGUCUUUCACCUGAAAUUGCAGCUUUCCUACAGGAUCCUCCUUUAGUAGAAGACUCCAAGAUGAUCCUCUUGUUUCCAAUGCAUCAAUUUCAGGACUUAACUUUUUAACGUCCUUCAACCAAUUGUCAACUUCACUUUUCCUUUUCUUUUUGCCUGACAUUUCUUCCCUAUUGACUUCUUGUUCUACGUCAAAUGCUUUGCAACUCAAUUCUUGCCAAUUCCUUUUUAGCGAUUGCACGUUGUCCAUGUGACUCCUUCCCGUGCAAUUUUCUAAUGCGAACUCUACCGUCUUUUCUAUCACCUUUUCCCCCGUCUUUUCUGCCAGAGCUUUUCCCCAAAAUGGUAGCAUCUAGAAUUUAAAUAUACAUCAAGCUUAGGUGCAUAAAGCAAAUUGAAGCAAAUCCGAAAAUUAAAAUUGAAGAGAAACAUCAAAAGUUGCCAGCGGAACUUAGUCAACACAUAGUUUAGUAAAGAUUAAUAACCAGAAAAAGAAAAUGUUUUUCACUCAAUUCAAUAAUUGUUCAGCUAUUAGCUAAUCUAGAAUUCUGCUGACUGAAUAGUUCAUUCAAUAUUUGAAGAAAUGACAAAAACUUUCGAAGAUUGAUUUUGAAAAAAUUAGAAGAAAAACAAUUUUUUGAAGCACUGAAUUGAUCAUAGAAUAUCUAAACCCACAAAUUUUGGUGUUUCAUUAAUUUCACCGAACACUUCUAUACAUUACCCUACGAAUUCUCAUUUGUCUGUGCUGCUAUUGAGUUAGUAGAAAGUCUCUCCUCAUGUCAUAUUUAAUUCCGAAAAAAAGAAGAAGAAGAAGAAAAUGUCUCAAAACACCCUACCUAGAUAAAAAUAUGUCAACAAUUUUUCCUUUUCUUUUCUUUUGCUUUUUUGAAAAAAAAAUUGAAAGGAAGGAUGCUACAGUACUACACUAGGCUACUCUCCUCAUCUCAUACGUACAUAAACUCAUAACGUGCUCUAAAACAUUUAAUUUGGUAGAACGAAGACCGUAUAAACAUGAAGUUGUCCAAUUAUGCUGAUUCAAUUAAGCAUUUUAGUAAAUGAAACUGAUAUGCAUCUUGUUUUGAUAACAAAAAAAUUGAUAUCCAUUUGAUGUAAGAAAACUUUUAUAAAAAUUUAAGAUUUUCCAUAAAAGCUUCUAAGUUAUAAGACUAAGACCAAGAUCCGUAUAUGUUUCCAUACUCGAUAGGGCUGACCCAUUUGAAUAUCAAUUUAUUCCUAUGGAUCCAUCCUCUGUCUGGGUCUAGUUUUGUUGUGAUUAGUUAGGUCCAGGUUGGGAUCAUCUCAUUCUGCCCACUGCUGGAAAUUCUUGCUAAGAAAUGUGUGAAUUAUGUAGAAAACUUGAACAGAGCACUCCAUGUAUUGAAAGAAGAACAAGUGACCAAGAUGUUUGGGCCUCACAAAGCUAAACAUAAUAUUAUAAAAUGAGAAAUAACUACAAAUAUUUACAAAUUCAAGAUCAAGUGUGAUAUCAUUGCACCUUGAAAUUAGGACAAGUUAUCUUGAAGACUUGAAGAAGCUGAGAACUCUUAAACUCUGCCAAACGACAAAAAGUUAGUAUUAUAUUUUGAUCUCGGUUUUGCUACUACAAGAACUAUGAUAGUUGAGUUUUGAUGAAUAAAUUAUAAUUGAAUCAAGAUGUUGGUGCCAAGCAAAAGGUGAAAUAAGAGAAGAACUCCAACAGUUACUAAGUUCCGAUGGAUAUGAUCUCAUUAUACCUGAAACUGACUAGAAAACUUGAGGAAGCUGAAAACCUUGAGACUGCCAAGAUUAUGUGUUAUGAUUGUUGAGUGUUGAGGAACGGAUGGUAAAAGUUGAACUAACAGCAGAGCAGACCAGGAAUGAUAACGGGCCCUCGUGAAGGAAGUUCCGGGAGUGUCCAGACUCCAGAGAAAGGCUAGUGGAAUUGUACUUGAUUAAAUACCUCGAUUAUCAUCCAAUUUGUAUUUGGCAACCUUGCAAAGCACGAGAUGCAACUCUGGCUACGAGUUAGGAAUCCAACCCAUUACAGAUAUACCCAAAGAAUUGCACAUAUUUUUAUAUCCAAAAAGUAUAUUGCAUCUACUUUUAAAUCCACAAAAAAAAAAAAAAAAACUAUUCAAUACUGCUUAUACCAUAAAAUUGACACCAAAACUUGGAUUUUGACUUAGAUUCAACAAGAUCUAAUAGUAAGCAUCCAAAAAGAAAAUGUUGAAUUAAUACAUUCACAAACAGAUAUGGGAGACUAGGUUAAUUUACACACAUAAGAAUAUUCCUAUAUAUAUAUAUAUAUAUAUAUAUAUAUAUAUAUAUAUGUCCAUUAUGGCCCAGCUCCAGCCCAUAUACAGCCUCUGUUCACAUUUUAUCUUCUCCAAAAUUUGAUAAGAAUUUGCAACUAUGCUAAAAUUCAAUAUUCUUGCCCAAAAAUGCCAACGAUGUGAAAAGCAUGAAGAGAGCAAUCCAUGUUUGAGGAAAAGGAAGCGGUCUAAGUUUUUAUGUGCCUCGUAAAGCUAUAUAUAGCAUGACAGCAAUAAGAAACAACUUCAAUAUUACAAAAUGAAGAUAGAAUAUGAUAUCCUUUUACCUUGAAAUCUUGGACAAGCAAAAGUUCUAGGCCAGGUUAUCUUGAAGAAGCUGAAAACUGCAAGAGUCUGCCGAAAGAAAAAGUGUGUAAUUUAUUCCGUUAGUUUUCACCACUAAGAAGCAAUUCCAAAGAUAUUCAAUUAAGACUCUGCCAAAAGUAUGUGCUUUAUUUUUUUUAUUUCCUACGAGUAUGAUUGUUGAGUACUGAGGAAUACGAUAUUUUUAGACUGCAGCGUUGCCCAUCACAAUGUCUCAGUCAACGUCUUCCUUCCCAGUUCGUACGCAAAGAGUCAAAAGGCUCAAUAUUUUGAUACGGUGUUGGCAUAAUUGUUGUUUGUAUGUUUGUAUGUUUUUUUUUUGUCUAUGCCUUUAUAGCGCAGGAUUAAUUUAGACAAUUUUUGCUAGCGUUGGUAUGAAUAAUUUUUUAAAUGGACUGUUUUUUCGCUAUACUUUUGUAGCACAGGAUUUAGAUUGCUUAAGUUAAAUAAGCCUAUUAUUUUCCUUAAAUUUUAUGGGAAAUUUUGGAAAAAGGGAAUAAGAAGAGUGAAAAUUCAUAAGUAGGGGGUAAGUUUUAGGAAAUUUGUAAAUGGUAUAAGGGUUAUUAUUAAUAUAUUAUAUUAAAAAUUUUGGUUUCAUGAUAAAUUUACAAAUUAACCCUUAUGUGCACAUAAGUACACUUGUAUGUGCAAAUAUAUCAUAUGUGUGUAUUUGAACAAAUACUUAUAUUUAUCAAAACACACAUUAUUAUUCAUUAAUGUGCAUGUUUCUAUUCAACAAGGUGCACAUUGUUAAGAGGGUAAUUCAGUCAUUUAGCAAUAAAAUUAUUACGUAGUUGCUUUAAUUCGUGAGUAAUAAUCCAUGCCCCAGUUACCAAUCUUGUAAAAUUUACAAGCUCCUUAUAGAUUGUUUUCCUAUUCUUUUUUUUUUUUUCAAUUUUCCCAAAUUAUUUUGACGACAUCAUGCUACGCUGCCUGAUCAUGCCAUGCCAUAUGGCCAUUUUGAUGACUCAACGAAAGCUCCUUAAGGAAGCAGGGGAGACAUUUCCAGGAAAUGGUGCGGCAACACUUUGGUGACUAAGGUCUAAGGGGAAGAAUUUCUGAGGCUUGAAAAAGGGGGGGAAAAAAUGGACAAAAUGAUAAGGGUGGAGGGCCGGGGCCAUCUUCUAGAUAUUGUGGAGAAAGGGGCUUGCUAUCUGCUAAAAUGAGCUCCCUGGAAUCAUACAAUCAAUUGGCCAAGAAUGAGCAAAUUUUCUUGGCAAGGGGGCCUACUUGAUCUAGUCAAUCAAGUAGAUACCUAGAAGUUUAGAGGUAGCAAAUCAACCCACUUAACUAAAUUUAUCAAUAACCGCUCAUGAAUAAAUGAGUAUGGGUAUCUUAAAUUUUUGUAUAUGGAUAUAAAUGGGUUACCCAAUAAUACCCAUUUAUUAAAUGGAUAUUAUUGGGUAACCCAUCAAACCCAAUUAACCCAUUUAGAAUUCUCUUCCCCCCAAGUCUCUUCUUUUCCCCUACCCAUUAUUUUUUCAAAAUUUUCAUUUUGUCAUGAUGUUAACUAUUUUUGUUUCAUUAUUAUUAUUAUUAUUAUUAUUAUUUGUUGGUUUUAUCUUAUUAUUUAUUUUCUCUUAGUUUGUUAACUUGCUCAUUUUCAGCAUUACCAACUUAUGAUAAAUUUUAGCCUAUUUUCUUAUCUUUAUAAAAUGAAAUUUUAAAUGUAUAUAUGAAAAAAAUGUUAGGGGUUCAAAAUUUUUGGAUUAAGUUUUUAUAUUAAUUUUUAUAGUACUUAGUUCAAAUUUUUAUAUUCUUAUUAUUCAAUUAUUAAAUAAUAGGUAAUUUUUUGACAUAGAGUAUAAAUGAAAAAAAAUUGGUAAUUAAGUUUAUUGAACAUUAUAAGUAAAUAUUUAAAACUAAUGAUGGGUACAAAGAGUGGUAUAAAUUGAUAACUUAGUUUGCAAAAAUGAAUUUAAAUGAGUUUACAAAAUGUUAAAAUAAAUGGGUUAUAAAUGGGUAAUUGGGUUACUCAAUUCAUUUUUUGACUUACCCAUUUAUACCUAUCUAAUUAAAUGAGUAUAAAUGAGUUGACUCACUUGUACCCAUUACCCAUUUUACCCAACCCAAACCCGUCCAAGUCACCCAUUUUGACACCUCUACCUAGAAGGAGACUAAUGGAAUUGUUGAAGUGCAUAGGGUUCGUUUGGAUUCCUUGUUUUUGCACCUGUUUUUGAAAAACUGUUUUUCACAUUCCAAAUGCUACAGUAAAUGUGUAUUUCAAAAACAAUUCCAAAAACACCCAUAUCCAAACAUUAUAUCAAAAACAACUCCAAAUAUACAAAUUUAAUAUGUAUAUUUAUUUCAAUUAUUUAUAUUAUAUACAUUAUAUUAAUAUAAAUUGAAAUAUACAAAUUGAAAAUUAUAUAUUUAUAUGUUAUACAUGUUAUAUAUUAUAUAUUUUAUAAAUAUUUAUAUACAUUAAUAUUAUACAUAAUAUAAUAUAAUAUACAUAAUAUAAUAUACAUAAUAUGUAAUAUUGUAUACAUAAAUGUAUAAAUAUUUAUACAUAAUAUAUUAUGUACAUUACAUUAUAAUAUAUACAUUAUUAAUGUACUUUCAUUAUUAUGUACAUUAUUGUGUAUAAUAAUGUAUAAUAAUGUUAUGUAUAAUAUAUAAUAUACAUAAUAUGUAAUAAUGUAUAAAUGUAUAUUAUGUAUAAUAUAUUAUAUUAUGUAUAUUAUAUUAUAUAUAUACAAUAUUAUGUAUGUUAUACAAAUUGCAAAAUUUUGUAUUAUAUAUUUAUAUAUUAUAUAAAUAUUUAUAUAAUGAAAUAUACAAUAAAUAUUACAAAUUGAAAUAUUAUAUAAACACCAUAUUUAUUAAUAUUCAAAUAUUUAUAAUUAAUAUUAAUGUAUAUUAUAUAUAUUAAAUAUUUAUAAAUAAUAUAUUUAUUUAUUUAUUUAUUCAUAUUAUAUAUAAUUUAUUUAUUUAAUAUAUAUUUUUAUAUAUUUAUAAUAUAUUUAUAUAAAAAAUAUAUAUAUUAUAAAAUUAUAUAUAAUAUAUUAUAUUAUAUUAUAUAGAUUAUACAUUUAUAUAAAUGUACAUUUAUACAUAAUAUAUAUAUUUAUGUAUAUUUAUAAUAUACAUUUAUAUUAUGUAUUAUAUAUAAUAUAAUACAUUUAUAAUACAUUUAUAUUAAUAUACAUAAUAUAUUAAUUUUAUAUUUAUACAUAAUAUUAAUACAUUUAUAUAUUUAUAUUAAUUAUAUUAAUACAUUGAUACAUAAUAUUAAUAUAUAUUUAUGAUAUAUUAAUUUAUACAUUUAUAUAAUAUUCAUUUAUAAUUUAUAUAUUUAUAAUAAUAUACACUUAUACAUUUUUAAAUAUAUUUAUAUUAUGUAUUAUAUAUAAUAUAAUACAUUUAUUUAUUUUUAUAUAAAUAUAUAAAUAUAUUUAUUUAUAAAUAUUUAUAAAUGUAUUAUAAAUGCAUAAAUAUAUAUUUAUAUAAAAAUAUAAAAUUUAUAAUUUAUAAUUUUUACAUUUAUGUAAUAUUCAUUUAUAAUUUAUACAUUUAUAAUAAUAUACAUUUAUACAUUUAUAAAUAUAUUUAUAUUAUGUAUUAUGUAUAAUAUAAUACAUUUAUAAUAUAUUGAUAUAUUUUUAUAUAAAUAUAUAAAUAUAUUUAUUUAUAAAUAUUUAUAAAUGCAUAAAUGUAUAUAAAUAUAAAAAUUAUAAAUUAUAAAAUACUCAAAAAUAUGUUUUAAAAUACCUCUAAAAAUAAUCCAAAAAACAUCUAUAGUAAAAGUUUUUCAUAUAGUUUUUGAAAAACAACCUCAAAAACAACUAAUCCAAACGGACUUGUAUUUCAAAAAUGAAAUGCUACAGUAUUAUUUUUGAAAAACAACCCCAAAAACAGCUAAUCCAAACAGCUAAUCAAAAAUGAAAUGCUACAGUAUUAUUUUUGAAAUGCUACAGUAUUCUGUUUCACAGUUUGUUUUCGGUAGGGUCUGAGUAAUUACUUGUAUGGUUCCUAUUUUCGUAGAGAUACUUUUCUUAUGUAAUAUUUAUUUCCGAAAUACUUUUCCUGUGUAAUGUUUUAUUCCAAACUUUAUGGGAUUCUGAAGAAGAGUUGGCAUAUAUUGUUAGGUAAAAACCAAGGUCUAAGCCCACAUCACAGGUACAAAAGAUCUCUAUGAACCAUUAAUUUUGUGGUGUAACUUUAACCCACUUGAUGCAGAUAACUAUUUUUUUUUUUAAGUGCGUGAUUCGUCAGUUAAAAAAUAAAAUUCAUCAAGAAAAUGGAUGUUCUUCGUUUGUCCAAAAAAAUAAAACAAAGGAAAAGACAAGAAGAAUUGUGCACGAAAACCUACUUCAUUAGUCCUUGAGCUAGAUACCUUGUGUAAUUUUUUAUUUCAUUAUUUUUAAUUUUGAGUAUAUCAAAUGAAAGAUCUAAACAGAAUAGGUAAUAGGAGCUGUACCCUAAAUAUGUCACGAUAAAAAUGGCUCAAACACAGUAUCUUUUUUUUCUCCAAGAAAAGAAGAAGAAGAAAAUGUCUCAAAACAUCCAUUUUCUUUAAAUGGAUAGUUUAAAUUAAAUCUACUCCUUUUUUAUUUUUUUAAGUCAAAAAUUUUAAAUUUUAAAUUUUUUAUUUAUAAUUCCUCUCACCCUACCUCGUCUCGAUUAAACCUCCUCCAUUAUUAGACGUCCAAAAAUUAUUUUAAACAAAAUUUAUUUUUUAAAAAAAGCAGGCCAAAAAUAGGCCAUCAAAACAGGAGCCCGUAGCCCAAUAUGUGCCUCAAGGGCCAAUGGACAACCAGUACUAGUAGUGAACCAGCACUGAAAGGAAAUGACUUGGCCGUUGACAACAAGUCAACAACGACAACAGGAAACUUCCAGGAAAUUGCGAGGAAGGCUUUUCAAGGUGAUGGUUAGACUGGUGAACCGAGAAAUUUGAGUAAAACAAAAACAUCUCGCACGCGUGAUUAUUAUGUCCAAGUCUGGAUUGCAUGGGAUUUUUUUUUUUUAUAAAAAGUUAUUAUAACUAUUUUAUACAUGUGAAAUAAAAAAAUAAUUAAAAAUAUGUUCAUAAAAAAUAUAACAAUUUUUCUUUGAAAAAUGGCAAUCCAAACACAUAGGGUUUAGUAUUCUAGAUUGAUGUCAAGUUGCUGCAAAAUUACCUGUACUAGACAAAUGAGUUCCUCCUUUGGUCUAGUCUAAAAUUGAUCUGCAAAAUUUUCUUACCUGAGCAAAUAAAAGACAUGGACAUGCCUUGACUUUUUUUCAAUUAAAGUUCCAAUACUCUUUUAUGGUAUCGACAUCAUACGAUUAAAAUUUCCUCACCUCACCUACACCAAGUUCUUGGGAAAAUAUAAAAUUUGGAUUGUCAUUUUCUAAAAUUUUUGUAAAAAAAUAUAUUAUAAGAAUUUGAUAUAUGUAAACUUAAAAGAUAAUUAAUAAAUAUGUUUAUAAAAAAACAUAAAAUUUUUUUGAGAAAAAUAGCAACCAAGUAAGGCGCCUUUCGAUGAAUUUCUUUUGGAAAAAUGACUUGGCCGUUGACAACAAGUCAACAACGACUAAAGGAUUAGUGAUGAUAUUAACUUUGACUAAAUGGCAUCUUUGACUGAUGAUAUUAACAGCCUAAGAGUUUUAUUCCAGAAAUGCUCCUUUUGUUUAGAUAGCAAGUUAGAUUCAAGAUGUGAAUGGAUUAGUGAUUAUGCUUUAGGCAUAUCUCAAGAUGAGAAAUGGAUCAAUCUUUAGUGUGUAUAAUAUUUUUUGUAUAGAACCAGUUGAGCCUUUGCUCAGAUAAAUGUAUAUUUUUGCCAAUCAAUAUAUAACCUACCGUUGCAGAAAAAAAAAAAAAACAACGACUAAAGGAAACUCCCAGGAAAAUGGUUGCUGCAUCAAAGAUUGAUCACUGUUCCCCUUUCCUCAUCUAUAGUGGUUCAGUUUGAAUUAGCUGUUUUUGAAGGUAUUUUUGAAAAAUUUUGUUGUAGCAAAGUUUUUAGAUUAUAUUUUGGGAUAUUUUCAAAAAAUAUUUUGAGAUAUUUAAGAAUAGAAGAGUUUCUAAAAUAUAUUUUGAGAUAUUUUAAAAAAUUUUAAAAAAUUUAAACUAAUUUUUAGAUUACCUUUUAGAGUACUUUUUAAAAAAUUUUAUUAUAUUUAAAAAACUAGUUUUUAAAAAACAGUCCCGUCUUCAAAGCAUAAUGCAAAUGAAGGCUUCUUUUGAUCAUCAAUUCACAAUUAAACUGAAAACACUAAUCAAUUGAAUUGGUGUAAGCUUUGGGAUGUCCAUUCAUCUAUAACAUCCCAAUGUUUAUGCGAUUGGACUGCAAUCAUUUCCUUUUAAUGGUUGAGGACUAUUGUCACAAUUCACAAGAAAUGUUAUUGUACUGUUAUUAUCUGAAUAACACGCCUAUUUGAACUCUUAUUCUUCCGCUCUAAAAAAAUCUGUGGCGGGGAUAUGAAUUUAUUGCAAUAGUAUUCAUGACUUGCUAAAGUCAGUCAAUGUAAAAGUCGCGUAACUAGCAAAAAGAUGCUAUAAGCUUUGUGGCCAUCAAACACGCCAAAAAAAGGUGGCAGAGUCAUCUCCCACAUUAAGCCAUCUAAUGCUCUGCUUCACCUUCCAGCCGCCUUCAUGCUGAAUAAUGACCUCCAAACAAUUCAAAUUCAUAAUUGCUACCAUUUACAAGAAUUUUGAUAUACUAAAAGUUUGUUUUGGAAGUUUAUUCUUGUAAAGUCUCUAAAUUCAAAUAGAGAAAACUAUUUUCACUUUAUAAUUUGAGUAAAUUAUGAACUAAAAAGCAUAUUAAACUUAGAAAAGAGAAAGUAUAUUAAAUAUUCAUUGGUUUUAAUUAUACUACUACUACAUGCCAUCUGCUGUCAUAGAUUAACCCCCCUUAGAAAUAUAUUUCACGUAAUGUUUUGAGCAUUUUCAUAUAUUUUGAGACUUGAUUGUAAUUAGAGCUGGCAAAAAAAUUCAAAACCCAACAACCCGCUCAACCCGUCCAUUAAUUUUAAAUGAUGGGUUGGGUCAAUUGGGUUACGGCUUACCCAACCCAACUUAUUCAUUGGGCGGGUUGAGUUUUUUAUUUGGGUACUCAAUACCCAACUUGUUUAAAAGUAAUUCAAAAUAAUAAAUAUAAAAUUUAAUACACAUAUGCUCAACUAUUUGUAUUUGGACAUAUGUUAAUAAUGUAUUGAUUAAUUUGUAUUCACAAUUCUCUUAUAUAUAUUUUCAAUCAAUUUUUUAAUUUUUAUUUAAAAGAAACAAAAAUUUGAAAUAAAAACUCAUGCUUAUUUUACCUUUUUAACAGUAGUUUGCAGUGAGAUCAGUGAUGAUAUUAAAUAACCAAUGGAAGUACAGUGAUGAGCAAGAAAAAAUCAAUUUGCAUGAGGCAAUUGAAUUCAUCGUUUGACUGCUGGCGGCUAUGAUUUUUUGUCAAGACAUUAGAUCAAUAUCUGCAGAAAGAAACUAAGAAAAACAAUUCGAAAUGACAUUUUUUUUAUUGAUAACUAGGUAUAUUUGCCAUAUUCACAAGAAAGUAACUCUUUGGUUGAUGAGCAAGACUUAUGAGAGACAAUUGAAAUAUAUGUCCAACCAUGACCGUAAAAAAUCUUUAAUUUCAUUGAAUUAAAGAAGUAAUGAGGUGAAUUUGACUAUUGUUUCAUUGAAUUCUGUCAUAGUUUUUACUUUAAUUAUCUGUGCAAUUAGUCAUUAAAGAUUUUGGGAUGGCAGACUUCAAAUAUAAUACUCCUACAUAAUAGUUAGACUAAGCAUAAGGCAUUCUUCUUGUCUUAAAAUAUGUAACUACUGUUGACCAAUUUAGCAUUGGACAGCAGCCAAUUAAUUGUGGUUUCUGUAUCUUUGGGUUUUAAAUGUGGAACUUAUUAACACAUUUAAAAUUUUUGAGAAUAUAAGGACUAAAGUACAAACUUAUUUUCUAUAAUUUCAAUAUUAAUAUACAACAAAUUAUAUGCCUCUUACUUACAUUUUCAAGUAUAACAUAAUCUAGCAUUCAAUACUUUAAAUACAUAGAAUAUUACAAUUUACAAUAAAGCAGAUAUAAAUAGUAAAAGUGUUAAUAAGUUUUGACAAAAAUAAGUUUCAAUCAAUUAGUAGUAUUAAAAAGUAUAAGUUAAACAAUUUUUUUAGCUAAUCUAUUUAAAUGUACAAUUUAUUAUCUAAAAUUCACAAUACAAGCAAUAUAAAAUAUUAUUCUAUUUAUGAUGUGUUUUCAAGUAACUUAAGAAGUGAGUGUGUGUUUGUGUGUGUGAAAAUGUGUUUAUAUGUGUGAAAAAAUCUUUUUUGUAUGUUAAAAUGUAUGUGAAAAAGUUUAUGUAUUAAAAUGCAUUAAUUAAUAUGUUGGGUCAUAUUUGGAUAAUGGGUUUAAGAUAACCCACUAUAAUCCAACCCAAAAUCAACUCAAUCUAAAGUUGGACGGGUUGAGUAUAACCCGUUUAAGUAAAAACCCAAUAUUAACCCAAUAUUAACCCGCCCAAUUGCAGAGGUAUAAUUGUAAUCAGACAAUGGUUGCUUUUGGCGUAAGCGUGACAUAUGACUGCGUACAAACAAAGAAAAACUAAAGAUAUUUUUUGUUAAGAGAAAAUAAUCACAGAAUUGUUCACAAACAAAUCACAUAAUUCUUUAAACAAAGAAUCUUUCUGCAUCUCUUUUCUCCAAUCCCGUGCUGAAUUUUCCCUUCUUUUUUAUGAAACAAAAAAUUUGGUGAGCUGGCCAUAACAUGGAGUCUGAUGAUAUUUGAUAAUGCGUCUCUUUUCCCUUUUGGUUGUUUCGACGAAAGAAAGAAAUGGGGAAGGCAAAGGUAGAAGAAAUAAAGAGCUUAAUAUUCUAAUUUACGUUGCGCGGGAAAGGAGGAAACCUCCAGAGAAGUACGUGCCCCACUGGCCAAAGAAAUUUGUCAAUUUAUGCCAGGGUGCUUUUCUAAAAAUUUAUUAUUACCCCACUAAAUUGUAAACAGGCCUUCAUUGGCCAAAAAAAAAAAAAUCUGCUGGGUGUAGAAAAAUCUUAUUUCUAUACACGUUAAUUUGUGAGAAGUAAAUAUAUACAUACACCCACUUUUAGCUUGAUAACAAUUGUAAUUAAAAAUAAACAAGUAAAAAAGAUAAUCCAUUGAGUACGAGUCCAAACUCAAUACAUCCGUUUGGAUUAGUUAUUUUUGGGGGUGUUUUUGAAAAAUUUUGCUGUAGUAGAGUUUUUAGAUUAUAUUUUGAGAUAUUUUUAGAAAAGUUUUUGGGAUAUUUAAGAGUAGAAAAGUUUCUAGAAUAUAUUUUGAGAUAUUUUAAAAAAUUUUAAACUAAUUUUUAUAUUACCUUUUAGAGUAUUUUUUAAAAUUUUUUAUUGUAUUUCAAAAACUAGUUUUUGAAAAACACUCCCAAUGUCCUGGGAGUUGUUGUCCACUGCAAGAUACUUUACACAACCAAAAUAUAUAUAUACGUGUUUUAUUGAGUUGUAUGACAUUUGUGAACUUUUUAUUUAUUUAUUUAUCUUUGCAUGUUACUUAUUAAAUUCAUGAUUCACUUCUUUCCAUGUGGAUUUUAUUAUUGCUAGUUAUUGUUUACAAUUAUAUGAACUUUUUAAUAAUUACUAGUCUAGUAGCACAUGCUACGUACGUCGACUAAAAAUUUUGCUAUUGAUUCAAGUGAUUAAUUUAGAAAUUUAUAAUAAUUUUGUUGCAAUGUAAAUUUCGAAUAGAAUAAGAUUGCAGAAAGAAUACUUCAGAUGUAAAAAUCUAGAUAUAUUACUACCCAUUAUUGUUUUUGCACUAUUCAUACUGUUUUUGUUUUCUCGACUUCUUUGUUUUCUUUAGAACUCAAUAUUUUGCGGACCAACUCAAUAUUUUCAUGUAUACUGGAGAUUAGCAGUCUAACUAAUAUAUUGAAUGAGACAAAUUUCCUGAAUGGGAGUGUUCCGAUAACAUUUUUGAGGAGUUAAAGCAAGAAGUUUAUGUAAGUAUUAAAAGCUCGAAAGGAACAAUUGAGAAAUUUCCUUACGAAACUCCAUGGCAAGUGCAAAUACGGAUAUUUAUGUAGUAGAGACCAUAAUAUAAUUAUUCUGAUUUUAUUGUAGUGGAUACCAAUAGACAAAAUAAACAAUUAGUUCGGCUAAAUAAGACCCUUCCAUGAACUCUUCACAUGAACUCCAACCAAGAAACGUUUCCAAUGCCUCUCUAAAUAAGACCCUUCUUUGCAACGCAAUGAAUUCAUUCUCUAAAUUCUCCAGCCAAUGUUUAACCUCUGUUUUCCUAUUCUUUCGCCUGUAUAGUUCGGCUCUCUCCACUGUCUCCUUUAUGUCAGAUGCUCGGCUACUCAAUGCCUUCAGAAGUAACUUGUCCCUGGAUUCACCGGUAGCUCUACAGCCCUUUCUGCGGCAUCAUAUUUAUGGCCUUCCAACACAUAUUUGUCAUCUGUCAAGAACAGAGCAAACAAUUCUCGAAUUAGGUGCAAAUUUGCAGCAAACUAGACCCCUCAAUCGAAUUGUUUACUAUAACAUAUUCCUACAUCAUUGUUAAUUGGACAAGGAGAGGAGGAGGAUGUUACCAGUUUUCGUACCCUAUCAUCCUCCUGUUCUUUCGUAAACUCCUGGGUACUUCUAUUUCCUAGCCCUGAGGUUCUAAGUGCCUUUAGAAGCACCUCUUCGGAUUGGAUCCUACUCUUCUCCCUCUCCACCAUUUCUCCAUUCUGAAACUUCUAGUAUCUUUUAUCCUUCACCGUAUCAUCCCUUACCACUCUUUCCUUUGCAGGGCUUCUGUUAAUCCCAGCACGCAUCCAUGGGUUGUAUUGGUUCUCUAGAAGACCUCCUGGAACAGUUAUGCGUUCUUUGCAAGUCCGUUCCCCAUGUCCUACUAUUCCACACUUAUAACAGAAAUCCGGGCACCUUUCAUACUUAAAAGCAACCCACUUGAGUGACCCUGCUACCUACACCAAUGUUCCUCUGAGCAGGGGUUUUGACAGAUCAAUAUGUACUAAAACUUUCAAGUGCCUACCUUCUUUUCCCCCUAUAUGAGAGAUAACAACGUCCUUUAUAUCUUUAAACACUGCUCCUAUUUUUCUGCCCACCUCUUUGGAGAGCCAAUGCACGGGAAGGUUCCAAAUCUGAACCCAUAAAGGAGUAGUAACAAAAGCACCAUAGUUCUCUUCUAUCCCUUCUGACCAUCUGUUCAACACUAAGAUUUGAUUAUCCAUUAACCAAGGACCCCCUGUCAAUAUUCUUUCUUUAUCUUCUUUGUGGCGGCCCCACUUCUCCCUAAGGCGAACCAAAGGGUUGGCGGGUCGCCUGCCUAGCUCUCGCUAGGACUCACGCACUCUAGUAACUAAUUUCAUCAAAUAUAAAUCGAAAAUAAACCUUACUUCUCGAGCAAGUCACGUACUUAAAUAAUUCAUACAAUUCAACUUAUACAGUCCAAAACACAAUUCCAAGUACCAACGAAAACGUCGAGCUUAGUAUACUUAAAUUCAACUUAAUUUACAAUUUAAAGUUCCUAAUCCAGGGCACAGAAGCACCACAGGAUUCAUAUUCUCCCAAAAACACAAAAAUCAUCCAAAAGAUACUAACAUUUCCAAAAGUACAAUUACAAAAGUGGGCAUUCAAAAUAUAACAUUUCUGUUCUAGUUCUCCAAGACUUCAUGCAUUUCAGAACCUGUCAAAGAAAACAAUUUGGAAGGGAUGAGCCAAUAGCUCAGUGGUGCCUCGAAACAUGCAAUUCACAUAAGGCAAUUUAACAAGUACAAAUAGACAAGUAAGCACUUAACAAUUUAAGAAAGCGAAAUAACAUGACAAGAAAAGGAUACGGGGCUCUCAGGAGCCAAAGUCCACGCACUUGAUCAGAAAAUUUAUAGUAGUUGACACUCCGUCAACUUUCACUACCUAAACUCCAUAUAGACAUUUUCCCUAAUCUACACAUCUCCUAGCAACGUUUUCCCCCUUAUUUUCGGGCCCGAUUCCAACACGAAUAUUGCAAGCACUUUUACCAAGAUGGUAGAGAGGUACCUCCCACUCUAAUAGAGCGUGGUACGUGCAUCCGUUUGGUUUAUUUAGUCGACGAGACCACGCUCCAAUCGACAUUGCAACACUUGUACUUGUGGCAUUUCACGCAAUCACAUAGCAUAUAACAUUUCAUGAUAUCUCUAGCAAGUACUUUUAACAAGUAGUUCAACUAGCAGUUAAACACGAUUCAUGCAAGAGACACUCACCUCAAGUGAAGUGUCUAGAAUUCCAAACUUUGAUCGAGAUUGUGCUCUUCACCAACUCCUAAAAUCAUACAAAUAAUUCACAUAAAUUUCCACUUUUGAGUUGGAGAAUUUAACUCGAGUCAACUAGCAUUUAAUUUCACUCAAAAAUCCCAAACUUGUAUUAAUCGUUUUCUCAAAGUGAAAUCCACAAAUCGAGUGAAAUUAAAUUUUGAGGUUUCUUUAAAACCCAAAAACUUGCUAAAUUCGUCAAAUAUUCCAACAUCCAAGUUCUAGAAUCAUAUAAGCCAUUUAACACCAAUUUGGUGUCACAAGUUGAGAAAAUCACAUUUAAACCAUUUAGAGGAAUUUUCCCCUCAAAUAUUUCCCAAACAUAUCUUGGGAAAUUCCUUUAAGAGGCAAUCAUAUAAACCAAGUAAAACUAGUCGUUAGAAUUUCUAUAAAAUAGAAACUCCUUAAGUUUGCCAAAUUCCACGACCAACUUAGUCCAAUGAUUUUCAUGAAGGCAAAAACUUGAGUUUUUAGGAAAAUUUCCAGAUUUGACAAAUUCCUCAAAAUAGGGCAUUUGGUCUAAUAAAAUUCAAGGUUAUCAACUCAAAGUGGACCUAGUAACAACGGUUAAUGCUAGAAAACAUUUUCGGGACAAUUUUGGUCCACAUUUACCCACAAUGAAAUCCAAACAUCAAACCAUUUCUAAUUUCAAACAAAAAUUCUGUUUUGGUAUCUUCUUGAAGAAUAAGAUUUUGGUCCACUUUUUGGACGUAACCUCUACUAGAUUUUUGUCCCAAAUUGAGCUAUACAAACCCCUUAAUUAAUACACAAAUCAUUUGAGCUCAAGUUAUCGUGAAAACAGUUCACAAUUAUCAUUCAAAGCUGGAAAAAUUUCAGGUGCAUUCGGUAGCAAGUAGUCCAUUUCCCCUUCAAUUUAUCCAAAAUUUUUCAACUACCCAAAAGCUACAUUUUCACCCAAAAAAUACUACCCAUAUAGUUUAACAUGUAUACAGCCCAAGUAGUUCAAAAAUUUGUCAAAAUUGACCCCCAAAAUGCGACUAAAAUCUGGAAAAUUUCCAGAAUUUUUUGGACAGCAUAUACCUUCCUUUUCCUUCAAUUCCUCAACAUCAUUUCAACUACGAAAGUGGUGCAUUUUCCCUCAAAUGACCAUAGACAUUCAGCUUAACAUUUACACAAUCCAUGAAGCUCAAUUUCUUGUCAAGAAUCAGAUCAGAAACUCGAACACAAACUGGGAAAAUUUGGACAGUUUGGUUCAAUAGCAGAGCAGUUUUCGUAUUUUGGUCACAUCUCAUUCAAUUCAACUUAGAUUUGAGCAUGGUUGGUAGCGUUGGAAACUACACUCAUAGGGAUACAAUUUUUCAGAAGAAAUCGUUUUAAAAUUCUACUCAUAACUAGCUCGAAAUCUGGCAACAAAACGCAGCUCAUAUCCUGGCUUCCAGUGAACCAGUGGAGCAGGACAGGUGACUUUAAAGACUGCCACGGUUCACUCAGGUGGAACCAGGACGUGAAUUUUACACCGUUGGAAAGCUGGAAGAGUCUAGUUUCUAAUGGCGCUAAUGGCACUCAAUUUCGAUGUCGGAGGGCAGAGUUAUGAUCGAAACAAAAUGGCUGCCUGAGCCAUACGGGAAAAAUUUCCAGAUUUUGCUGGUUUUGGAAUUCAUCACCUUUGGUCAACCAAACCUCAAUAUCUUUCAAUGAAACUUUACACACAACUCCAACAACACAUAAACAUCAAAUACAAGCCUUUAAAACCUCAGAAUUUCGCAUGAAAAAGGUCGGUCUUGGCAGGGGCAGAAUCAGAACUUUUUGCUUCAAGAGCUCAAUGAAGUUUCUAGCAAUAAUGCACCUUUAAUCUACUUCCUUAAGCACUAAUUCAACAAUAAAACCAUCAUCAAACAUCAUCACAGCCAUCAACUCAAAGUGGGAGUUCAUAGAGCCCACAUUCAACAAUUUCCAACAAUAAUAAGCUACCCAUAAGCAUAAUCAAGCUCUUAAGUGUGAGUUGGCCUUCAUUGAACAAGAAUUGAAGAGUGGAUCAUGGUUACCUUACUUGUGUGCUAAAAGGUCAGAUUUUGGUGUCCCAAAAGCCCCAAGAAAAUCCGUGAAUGUGCAGCUCCUUCUUUGUCCAAGGGAUUGUCCAAGUUGUCUUGAGCUUGUGUGGUGAAUUUGGUGUGAAUUGGAGCAAGAAAAUGGUGGAGGAAAAAUUGUGAAAUUUGGAGUGUGAGAGAGAGUAGAGACCGGCGGUUAUGGUGAGGGGAAAGGGAGGGAAAAAUCUGAAAUGGAAAGCUUCCUUGAGAAGCUUGAGUGUGGUACAACUUUUGUGCUCCCAAGUCAACCGUGAACAGUGUAUCGCGCGCGCGUUUCGCGCCCGUUUCCUCUAAGGUUUGUUUUAACUGUGCACUAAACCUCUAAUGCACAUAUAUUCAUGUAAUUAUCAUUCACUCUUAAUGACCUCAAAAUAAGGUUCUAAAGUCCUUCAAAUAAAUCGCGCGCGUAAAACGCGUAUUUCCCACUUAUGCGCGAUAAGGUGAAAUUUUUAAGAAAUUCUUAUAACGAUGGCAUUUCUAACUAAUACAUGGAUAUUUAGGCAUAAAAAUACCUAUUUUAAGACUAGGGUAUAAAUCUCCCAUUAUUCGGGCUCAUGAACUCUCGAGUCAGUUACUAUUCCUGAGCCUACGGGCACUAUUCACACUUGACAACUUUCAAGACUUGAAUUGCGAACUAAUUGCCUUAAAAUUACUCAUGAGCUAUAAUGCUAUAGAAUUGGGUCCAAUAGGGCUAAAAAAUAAUAUUCGAAAUAAUUGAACAAUUAACUAAUUAAAUAACCUCAGAAUAGGAAUUUAAAAGAAAUAAAUUGCGAGUCCUCACAUUCCUCAUCUAACAUUUCUCCAACUUAAUUAUACCUUUUUAUAGCCUCUACAUAUACUACAUUUCAACUUAGGACUAAUUCGCGCGUCGGUGCACGAAAAUUCAACUUAGGGCUUUGCCGAACGCGAAUCGUCAAUUAAAUCUUAAAAAUUCAAAUAAAUUGAAAUGUAACAUUUGAAUGAUUGAAAACAAUAUUAUUUAAAUAUAAAUACAUAUUAUUGGAUAAUUUUAAUAUUUUCAAUAAUAUUUUGAUUUAAUUUUCCAGAGGAUAAUGAAAUUUUUGAGGUCUUCACAUUCUUGGUUUGGGAUAUUAAAUUGGAACAAAUUUGGUCCCAAUUCCAUGACUGUCAGAUUCUUGGGGUAACUCCAUGCUGCAGUCACAAAAUUCUUCACCCCGAUAAAGUUAGCUAUUUUCUCACCCAUGGUUCUUCCUAUCAGACUUCCUUUAUAGUCCUUUACUCCACUGCUCAGGUCCUCCAACUCCAGUUUAGCUCCAGAGAUCUCAUUCCCCUCCAGCGAAAAUCUUUGUAAUAAUUUAGUUAAGUCACCCUCCAUAGAUAUAUUCUGAGAUGCUAGCGGGUAUAAUCUCUCUGAACUUAGAAGUUACGCCUUUUCAACUACCAGCCAAGUUUUAGUAAAAGAGAAGACACAAAGAGUAGCUAAGAAGUAAAGAAGCGAAAAAAGCAGGGGACAAAAAACAAGCACAUCUAGACCAAACUAACACAGUAAAUAGGACCAGCCAGGCUUACGACAAGAGAAACAGAUUACACAGACAAAUAAUAAACGCUGUAAAAACUAAUGCACAUGUACAGGCCCUACCUCUGAAACGGGAGCAAGGAAAGGAGAUAAUCAAGUUUUACCUUGCUUUCAGCUGUUCAUAAAGUGUAGGACUCAGACUACCUUGUGUUCCCCCUGGAGAGACAUCCUUGAAUUUCCUUGAGUACGAUGGUUUAAGCUGCAUUAAUCUAACCUUGGUAACAGAAUCAGAUUGGUAGUGGUGGUGGUUGGAAUAUCUUGGGAAGAAAGUGCGGGAUAGUGUAAAUUUUGAAAAGGUUUGAAAACAUGCUGAAACUCCCACCAAAGGGAGGUUGGCUCUUACCCCAAGAGAGAGCUUCCUCUACACUAGAGAGAGGAUGAAACUUUGAGUUAGUAUUACUCCUUAAAAAAAUUAUUUGCCCCUGAAGUGAAGAUUAGCGUUCAGAGUCUUUAGACACUUUCGGUCAAAAAUUGGAAAUUUUGUCAAAUUUUACUCAAAAAUUGGAAAAUCGCGGUUCACGGUACGAGUCGGUUUAAUGGUUUGAACGGUUUUUUAACGAGUUUGACCAGUUCUUGAUCCAAGUCAACUUAAGUUAUGAAUCGGACCGAACACAUGACCGGUUCGCGGUCGAAUCGAUCGAACCGGCCUAUCUGAUCCGGGUUUAAAAACAUUGGGUACAGUCGGUUAGUUCGGAUACAUUGUUGCUCAUUGGUGCGCAUCGAUUUCCUUUGUCAGUUAUAAAAAGCAAUUGGAUUCUGACAACUGAAGUUGGUGGUGGGCCACUAGAAUCUCCAAUGAACCAACAAGUUCCGUAGGCAAAAGCUCAUGUGUCAUUUGAAUAUGACUUGAAUUAUUAUUAUUAGCUUGCUUGUUAGUUGAUUACAUUUGAUUUAAAAGAUUACUAUUACAUCAAUAGUUUAUUACAUUUAAUUAGUGUUAAUUUAUUACAUUUGAUUAGUAUUUGAAUUAGUUUAAUUAGCAAUAAUUUAUUAAUUAAUAGUGUUAUUAGUAUUAACUGUAUUAUAUCUGCCUGUUCAGUACAAGUACUAUUUAAUACACGUUAUUGCAUCUUCUUGUUUAGGGUUUACAAGUAUUUAAGGUUUCUGUUGCUAUUUAGUGCAAGUAGUUACUAUUAAUUAUAUUUAAUAUCUUCUUGUUUAGGAUCGAUUGAUUGAAUGUCAUACUAGAAAUAGUACCACCACAAAGCAAUAAUACAAGUACUAUUUAACAAAUAGUAAUAGUAACAGUAAAAGUAAACAGUACUAACAAAAAUAAUAGUAGUAAAUAUUAACCAUAAAGAAAAGUCACGGUAAUAAUAAUAAUAAAGUAAAUAGUAAUAUUAAAAAUAAAUAGUUAAUAAUAGAAAAGGCAAAUGGUGAAUAGUAAAAGUAAAUAGUAAAUAGUAAAAGUAAUUACUCAGUAAUAGUAAUAGUGAACAAAAAAUUGUGAUAAAAGUUUCAUUAAUAAAAAAGUAGUAAGUAGUAGUAAUUACUUAGUAAUAGUAAUACUAGGAAUAGUGAAUAAAAAAUAGUAAUAAGUAUUUCAUUAAUACUAAUUAGGAAUCAUUAAAUUAUAACAUAGGAAUAGCAUAAGUUACCGUUAAUUUUAUGUUUAAGGACAAAUUUGUGCUUGUCUAAUUAUUCUAUUACUUAUUACUAGUGAAUAAUAAUUUGUGAUUGUUUUAUUAUGGAUGUGAUUAAUUUAGUAUAGUUAAUGUAAAUUCAUGUUUGGAAUCACGUAAGUGCUUGAAUAUAAAAUAAAUAAUAUUCACAAUAUUAAGUAAAAAAUGUCAAUAUACCUUGCAUUGGUGAUUCAGUUUUAUUGGAGAGACAAAAUAGUGGAGACCUGAGGAUCACUUUCAUAUGAUCCACUGAGGUGCAAAACCAUAUUAGUACUAAAUUUCCCAUCGCAGAGAACACUAGUACCAGAUUAACUAGCAGAUUGUGAUUCAUUUUGCAGUACAAUAUUAUCAAUUAUUUCCUGACUUUCAUUGUUUAAGAUUCAUGAGAAAUUUACCUCCAGUUCAAUCCUUUUCCAAUUUACCCAACUAUCCAGAGUUAACAGAUUCAGAAGUAGAACUCAGCCACCAAAAAUAAAAAAUAAAUUAAAGAAAGCCAUUCAUGUCCAAUUAACAAAUGGCAUCAAGGGUGGAAUCGCAUUGAUUUUAGGUGGACUGCCUAAAAGCAAUUCGUACCAAAAAAUUCUGUUGAUAACAAUUCCAUACAUAAUUUAUAAAGUCGUUACCCUGAUAUUACAAGGAAUGCUGCUCCUUGAUUUUAUAAAUUCUCGUCCAACAUAUAAUUACGCACUAAAAUCUACUCAUCAUUGCUAUAUCCUUGAAUUUGCAGCAGGAAACACAAAAGGAUUUUCCUGUUCAAAUUUUCAGUAUAGCAAAAAAGACGAGUACUUUAUUGUUUCAUAUGUAGAUUCUAAAUCUCUGUGGAUGCAUGUAACGUCAGUCAGAGAGGCUUGGUACAUAUAGGGGUUUGGAAAACAUAUUUUCAAUAGGCACUGCUACCAACUCUCGAUGUUCCUCAUCAUGUUUCGGGCGAUAUUCAAAGUGCAGCAGAAGAGUCCAAAAAGUUCUUCUCCUUCAAGCUUUCAACUGUUUCCUUGAUGCUUUGCUCAAGGGGAAUGAAUUCAAGACCUAAGCUUUUUGCCUUCUCCUUGGAAACCUGGUACGUCGGCACAAAUGGCUUGUCAUCAGCGCACCUACAAAGGUUAUUCACCAAAAAACAUCAAAGGCUUGAUAAAAAUAAUAAAUAGUGUUGAAUUGGGGCAAUAGUCAAGUAAAAGUUCGCUCAUAGAAGUGAUGUUUUUUACUUCCUCAUCAGUCUUUGAUGAGCCAAAUUAAAUGAACAGCAGGUGAUGGACAGGAAAAUUCAUUGCCAUUAGUACAGGAUAUGUACUGCUGUAAGCAUAAUGCUUGAAUAAAGGUUAACGAUACUCACACACCCUUUUUAGCUUGCACACCCCUUCUACAUUCUCUAGGCUAUAUUGAAAGGCAUAGUAGCCAAAAUACAUAGUAGGGGAUGCACAAGAUGUUAAAAAGGGUGCGUGAAUCUCAUUAACCUUAAAGGAAUUACUACAAGGCAUGACAUCUUCAUGUACAAAUCAUAUGAAGAAUGUUUAUCCACUCAAUGCAACAUCAAAUAAAGCACUAAAGGAAAAAAAUGCAGUAAAAUUUUGCUCAACUUCACAUAUUAUGUAUAUAUCUCACCAUUUAGACAUGAUUCCAAGUAAGGUACGGUCACAAGGGUAAAAAAUCUGAUUGCAAUGAAGAAAGGUCAAAACUUGCACAUCAACAAUUUAAACUGACCAUCCAUCAUGUCUUUUGCCACCUCAAAAAUUUCCCUGAUGUUCAAUAACACAUCUAUCUGCCAUCCUACCAAAUCAGGUCGCCAGGCAUAGACGCUUUUCUUGGUUCAACAAUUAGUAGAAAACCAGUAUACUAGCUUAGUGCAUAUGCAGAUUGGUGUUCAAGGAAUUCUGAAUAUUUGUGAAUAACUAAUGCAUGCUCUUACCACGAGUGGGCAAAAACUAUAAUGAUGUCAUGGUAGUCAUGUACACAUUAUCAAUUCACAGGACUUCUAGUAAGAAUCUAUCUAGACUAGAAGUCUUCAUGAAAGGCAAAGUAUUGAGCUGAUUUCAUCGUAUUGAUUUGGGAAUGAAUAUGCACAUUUAAGACAGAAAAGCCACAAGUUUGGGGAGAAGAUCGUGCCAAUAAAGAACAGGUCUCAGGAGUUAAGCAAGAGGAAAUUUUAGAAUGCAACCUACAUCAGAGUAGGUUAUCAAACAGCCAAUUGCAAGCUAAAUGAAAAUUCCAACAUGAUCAUGUGACCUGAUAUGCUCAAUCCAAAAGAUUUUCUAAUAUCUGAAAGACAUAUCCGUAGAGCGAAGGUUCCAAGAACUAAACCAGAAAUACGAGGAUUAGAUUUCUUAGUUGAAGUACUUAAUAAAUUGACUAUCUAGUUACUGUUAACUUUCCUGAACGUUCUGAAACUGAAUUCGAUUUCAAAUAGCAAAAGCUUCAAAAACUUGUCAAUUCAACAUACAGAACCCUUGACAAGAACUUCCAAAACACAAUUGGCGGUAAGUUCAGGUAUUUAAGCUUUUACGAAACACUGAACUUAUCCAGAUAAUGCAAACAAUGUUAAUUGAAAUACUUAUCCACGGAAAAAGUUUCCUAAAAUAUAUUCUGCCAUUAGUUGCAGACACCUGAUGUAUCACAGUUAGGAGUCCCAAACAUGAUUUAUGCAAGGGGCCAAAUCAUGAAAGGCAUAAUAGAUCCUGACAGAAAAAUCUGAGACGCACAUGGACAUGCAUGAAAUUUCCAAAUAUAAUCCUAUGUCACAAAUGUAAAUCUCUAAAUGCACAGUCAAAUCUAAAUUACAGAGCUUGAACUUACUUUUCUGGAAGUUUUGAGGAAGGAUAAAUUUCACGCAAGAUCUUCACAACUUCAGAGUAGUGUACCACUCUUUCGACCAGGCAGUAUCGUCCACUAGCAGAUGGAUUUUCAAAAGCUAUAGUAUAUGUGCAUUAGCAACAUCUUUGACAUCAACCCAGCCCAUAGAAGAAUUUGGAAAUGUUUCUGCACCUGCAUUCAGCAUAGAAGAAAACAAUCAACAAAACAGACUGAUAAAUUAAAAAAACUAAAGGAAGAAAGAAAAUUACAUGAAGUAUUCAAUGACAGUCAAUACAUGAAUCAGUCUAAGAUUAGAAUGCACAGAAUAUCAAUCACACAAAAGAAAUGUUUCAUAUCACCAUCUCUUCUCUCUCUACAAAUGAACAUAAUCAAGCAAAGAGAAAAAUAGAAGGAAAAACAUUUGCUCAAAGCAUACCCAUGUCUAUACUGAUUACUUAAUAUUUCAUGUAUUUCAAUACUUGAUUAAGAAAGCAUCAGGAAUUCUAAACAAUGUAAAACAUCAUUACAAGGCAAUUGUAAAACAUCCCUUCAAGAAAACUAGCCAAUUGAAACAAACAUUUUCAAGAAACAAAAAAGAACCAAAAUUUUUCAACCAGAAAAGCAACAACAAAUAAAGAUCAACAAAAUGAGCAUAUACACAGACAUAUAUCAUUUUAGAAACACCUUCUGCUGCGCACAAAAACAUAUUAGACUCUAGUUAACCUCCAAAUGACCAUGACAUCUACCUUGGGAAACUCGACUUCAUGAGAGAAGCAGAAAGCUCAUGAAAGGCUUUGCAAUAUAGCAAAACUCCAUAUCACAUUAAUCUUAAGUACAUAAGUAGGCCACCUCAAGGGUGCUUUGGCCCUUUACAUAAAUUCUCAAGUUCAUUUCAAUUGAAUCAGAGAUUUAGAAGUUCUAUCUUGAUUAAAAUUGUCCCCACACUCUCAUAUAUAUCUAAGGCACUCCUUGUAGUUAGCUAACUAGUUGCUGGUAUGGUAAACUUUCACAGCAUGGAUACAUAAAACUCUACUAGGCCAUAGAAUGCUCAACCAAUAUUAUCAAAAGUACUCCGCUACUAUUAAUUAAUUAUUAUCCAGAAUGUUACCAUCACCUCUUUAUUUUUUAUGUGUUUUAAUUUUUUUUAUUCAACUUAGACUCAAAUGUAAGAAAAUAUGUUUUCUAGGCUGUAGAUAUGAGUAAGUAUAGGCAGAGAAAGUAAAGAUAAGUUAUACGGCUAAGUUAAAAACUCAGAAAAAAAAAAGGAAAAGAGAAAGAAGAAGAAGAAGAAGAACAAAAAAGUCAGUUUCUAUGUUCUGAGAACAUCUGUAUCUGCAUUAUUUUCACCACCAUCUGCAAAGUGGCAUCAUUAGCACCAUAAAGGUCAGCUUUAAAGCCUUUUUCCAAUCCACUCACUUGCCCUUAAAAGCAUAAUCAAGGAAUAAAAGAUCAAAAGAUGACCAACAGAAUAUCAUACACAUCUGUAACACCAAAAAAUAAAUAAGCACUGAUCCAACAAAAAGAACAUAUACCAAGAAAUUAAUUGAGUUCAUAAUUUCAUGAUGUCCAUACCGUUUAUUAAAUUCAAAAUUGCAGCAGCACUGGUGUUAAGUGUUGGCUGUAACAGAGGCCCAAUCACCAUAGCUGGGUUUAUCGUUACCAUGUCUAAACCUUUCUCUUUUACAAACUUCCAGGCAGCAUCCUCAGCCAAUGUCUUUGAGAGAACAUACCAUAACUGGAAGAAAAUAAUAAGAAAAAAUACCGGCAUCAAAUAUAAUGUUUAGUAUGAAUAUUAAAUCACACCAAAAGCCAUGUUAACUACUUGGACUGUCUAGCUAACAGUUACUCAAUUAUAUGUCUCUAUCAAUUUAGGAGGCAUCAUGAGCAAAUUGUCUUCAAAUCUCAUGAAAAUUUUAACUUGGGUUUCUCUGAUGAGUUUGUGCAGCACAGAGAACUGGUACUUGUCUAAAAUGCUUUAACAGGCCAGUGGUAAAAGAUGCUAUUCUGGUAUAGUAUUUGGACAUGAAAACAAAAUUACAACAGUUACUAAAUGGUAAUGGAAGAUAACCAAGUAAUUAUCUAAGACUAAUUCAUUAAUCAAUAAAAGCAUAUCAUUAGACAUACAAAAAAUUUCUUCCUUUACAUCUUGCCUUAAUAUUACAAUACCAUGCAGACACAAAUGGGACAAAAUGAGUGCACCAAUUAAAGCUCCAUUCAAGCAAACAUAGACUUGUCUGACAAGACAAUAUAACAUGACUAUAGCCAAAGCCAAGGUGAGGCAUUCAGCUGUAAUCUAGUUUCCAAGUUCCAUUCUAUGAAACCCAGAAUCCAGAAGAUGAGCGCUUUCUCUCCUUUCUUACAUAAAUUUUGUGGAACGCUUAUCGGAGUACUUCAAUUGAAAAAUUGUAAUAUUGAGCUUCUGGCAUCACAUAGUAUUAGUCUGGCAACCAUACAAGGACAGAAAUUUCAGGUAGUUAAUAAUCUGGGACACAAGUCCUUCAAUCAGGAAAAGGUUCCUUUCAACUAAAAGUUCGAAAAUUUAUGUAGACACUUUAGCCAUGGGUUCAAUGUCAACAUGCAUCAAGAAGCUAUUUUGAUACAAAGUGCAUGUUGUUAGAAGUAAUAAGGGUAUUUAGGCCAAUAAGUAAAUCUGUCUCUUCCUAGGGAUCUGAAUGAUAAGUUAUCACAGCUCUUCUAUUUUUGCUGUUCCCCCCUUUUCUCCCUUCUACUUCUUUCACAAUUCUCUAUUACUUUCCUGGUAUCAGAGCUAAAGAUGACAAAACAGUAGAUUUACCUUGUUGGGCAAAGUAAACAAUAGGAACUUCUUGUUCUGAUACAGAGAAAUAUAGGAGAAUGAUUCGAAGGGUUGAACUAGACAAUUAUUUCAUGGAAACAGGUACCUUUUUUAAUGCUUUAUACCAGUAUUGACUAAAGCAGAGGCAAAAUUAAGAUGCUUUAUACCAGCAUUCAUUGGUUUUUCUUCCUCUUUUUUAUGACAGGUACCCUUUCCUAUUGGAAUUAUCAAACCACCAGUAGAGAUGAUUGCUUUUUUAUUUAAGGAUGACAACUCCGGAGGAGAUCCAGAAAAAAUAUGGGAAACAUCGUCCAUUUCAAUCCUAUUCCUGUUAGCCAUCAGACAGAAAAAGCAUCUGAUCUGGCAAACUAAAUUUGGAACACUUUUUGGGAAAUGACAUUUAUAGUACAAUCCAAUAACUAUAACAACAGCAAAAACUAGGCCACUAGGAAAGAUAAUAAUAAGAAUUCCACACACAAAACGAGUUCUGAACUCUCUUCCUAUACAAACGUGAACCUUAAGCUCCCAAGCAGUGGGACGAACACAGGGCUCUGACUGUGUGCCUGUUUCUCAAUUGCAUUUACAUCAAAGAAGGUUCCCCCAAAAGAGGUUCCUUAAGUUAGUCAGUGUUCAUACGCAGAGAGAUAGAGAGAGAGAGAGGCCACCUCAAAUAUCUAAAACUUCUCGUUGAUGAUAUUCAAGACAUAGUGGAAGCAGCUAGAAGAGAGCAGUAAAAGUAAUUUUCAAUUACUUAUCCAUAACUAGGACACUAAAGUAGGGCAAAUGACCCUACCAUAAUGAGCUCAAAAUCACAAUGAUGGAAAAUCUAAACAGAGUUGAAUAAGGAACAUGUAUACAAUUGGAUGCUAAGGGUUAUAUAGAUUUACUUAUUUCAGGGUCUGGUUGUAAAAUUUACAGCUUUAGAUACUUAAAAAUUUGCUAUAACCUAGGGAAUCUGAAAAUCCUUUUUGGGUUUCCUCCAGAAAUUUCACCUUUUGGCUUUUCACUAGCUCAGCCUAAGUUACGUGUCUGGGAGUUUUGAUAUCUUUUAGUUCAUUUGUAGCUUACACGGUUCAGUUCUUCCUGUCAACAGAUUUUUCUGGUUCUAGACUGCCACCAUACGCUGCUCAGUUUUCAGUAAAAUCUUUAAUUAAUAGUAGUUUAUAGUGUGCCCAAGCUUAAUAUCAUCCAAUCGCCUAUCCUUUGGAGGGCAGAAAGAACACCCAACAUAGAACUGAAGAAAUUUUCCUCCAUCAUUUUUGAUUGGCCAUGUACCUUUUACACGGUUCAAGAAAACAGCCUGCCAUAACAGGUGAAAUAUCACCAAUUACCAAAUUCCUUGAAAUAUCCAUUUUUUGCUUUCACGUGUGUGCUUUGUCUCGAGACUUUUAAUUCCGAGGUUUAUACAAAAGUCACAGAUAUUAAUGCAUUAACUAGAUGUCCAGUUAACUACACCUCCAGUUAAAAUGGACAAUUGCAAACAGGAUGGAGUAAUUAUCCUGAAACCUUGACAAAUGAAUAUUGUGGCACCAGCCUUAAAUGUCUUAAGGUAAGAAUCCAUCAGAUGUCAUGAAAACACGGCCUUUUAUCAAUGGUUGUUAAAAGGUUUAAAAAGUAUCUGAUUUAAAGCAAAUAGACUCUCCAAUGCUGAAAGCGCCCUACAUCUCAACUUCUCAUAUAACAGAAAUAAAGAAACCACACAAGCAGAAUUGUUUCAGUUGAUGCAUAUUUGAAUAUUUUUCAGUGGCAUUAUGAUGUGAUACAUGUAAGCCUAUUUUAGUGACAUGCACUUUAUCUACAGAGAGUUUAUGAGCAUUUGCUACUCAAGUAUCUUAUAUUCUGAGCCAUAUCUAUAGUUUAGGCCAACAGGAAAGUAAAACAAAAGCUUAUGGAACACAGUGCAAUGGUGUUUGCUAUACAUGACAGCAGACAUGCCAGUAUAUCAAGAGUAAUUGUUUAAGUUCAUGCAAGAGAAAGUGACAUUUACAGACCUUCGUUUGCUUGCAAAAUUCAGGAAGAGACCACCAAGUCUCAUCAACCACCACGUCUGGAGUACGAGGCUUGCCGUUGAAGGCAACUGCAGCUAUAGAGGAUGUUAAACCACUCUUUUAACAGAUGGAGAUUUUGCACAUGAUCCCAGAACAUUAAGAGUCCCUUUUAGAGCAGGAUCAAUCAAUUCAGCCUGUCAACAAAGAAUUCCUUAUGGUGACUCACAGCCAUAACAAAUCACUCACCUUGCUAAGAUGAAGUAAUAGAAAACCCAUUAGCAGAGAUAUUUAAAUUUAAAAAAAAAACUAACUUCAAUUUCAAGGAAUAGUGCUAAUUUGAUACUUAAUUCAUUAACCAUGCAAUAAGUCAAGAGGACAAAGGGCUCAUUAACCAUGCAAUAAGUCAAGAGGACAAAAGGCUCAACAGUAAGUGAGGCUCCUUUAGCAAAUAUACCCUGCUUCUAUCAGGGUUUAAGAAAGAUUUGCACCAGUUAAAACAAUUAUUCGUCUACUUUUAGGUCGGACAAUGGUUUCACAUAACUUAAAAUAAGGACUACUAAUAAAGUUAAUACAAGCAACACGGUGUUUACUUUUGAGUCCACAUAUAUGAAUUGGUCAACAGACAUUUUGCAGACAUCAAAUAUUGGUUUUCACCUCAAAGUCAUCACCUACAGAGUUGACAUACUGAAGGAAAACUCAAGACAAAGACAUUUAAAAUUAGCUUCUGCCAAAAUGAAGCUCUUCAAGCAUACUUGUAUGUCUGAUAUUAACAUUUCCUUAGCAUGGCACUUCUAUUUAUUUGCAUUUUGGCCCUUCUUGAGGUAUCUAUUAGCUUUCAAAAAAUACAAGAGCCCUGAAGCUACAAUUUAACUGCCAGCCCAGCAAUACCCAUUCGGUAACAAGUUCCAAGCCUAAGUUCAUACUUACUACGAAUUAGUUCAAAGAAAAAUUCCUCUUAAAAGAAUACAGCAGACAUGCUUUCAAUCCUUAGUCAAAUAAGGGACGAUCUGAACAUAGGGCUGAACAUGAUUUGAAAGCAAACUCAAUGAAUAGAAAGAGUCAACAGUACAACAGACAGCACUGAAGUGUUGCCUACAUGACAUGGAAAAACAUUGCUAAUUGACUGAAGUCAGCAAGGGAAGGCUCUGAAAGACUAUCUGGGGUAUCCUGUGGUUAUGGUACAAAUGAGUCCAAUCAAGGGAAGGGAGAGAGAGAGAUCACCCAAUGCAUAGAACCUGUACCCUUAGAACAUCAAGGCAGCACACUAAGCAGUUCAUGGAACUACCCACCACCUCUUUUUUAGCUUCCCUCAAAUAGCUUGAGCAUCUUUGAGAUCGACAAUCAUACAUUUCUCAACGACGCAUCAACUGUUACUUAUUUCUUGUUUUAAAUAGACAGACAGAACAAAUUAGGGCCAUAGACAUGCAUUAGUUUGGUGAAGCAAGGAACCAUAUCGAGUAUCUUCUUUUGUAAGAUAAGUAGGAUGCUCUUUUCUCUUUUCCUAAAUGUUGAAAAGGAGAUUGAUGACAACAGUUAGCACCAUCUAACCAGCUGCCCAAAAAAAAAAAAAAGGAUGGCUUCAAAAAAAAGUUAUUUACCUAAAAGCAGAGAACACAAUAUUGAAACUAUACUGAAAAGGGUGCAACAAAUGAGUAAUUUCAAAUGUGCAUACAGAAAAAGAGAGAAGAUUUUCGAAAAACUGCACAAAUGUAAAAGAUAACAAGAAAAAGCACUGAAGUAGCAUACAUUUGACCAAAUUUUUGUCACUGAAGAAUUUAUUAGACUUUAGAGUCAUCAUUCCUGAACCCUCAUAAGUCAAAUUCUGGAAUUCUAACACUAAAUGAGCAACCCUCACAGAUUGACAAGAUUGCCUGCUCGGAUUAAUCAUGUCAGAAAACAUAACCUACUCAAUAUUCACAAAUUGUAUGUCCCUUCCUGGUCAGAGUGUUAAUAUCCAAACUCCCAGCAGAACAAACCUCAGAUGUUCUCAAAAUUGAUAUUUUGAAUCCUAGCAGCCAGCAAUUUUAAAUUCAGUAUUGAGCUUCUGAGGGCAUCUAAUGAGUGAAGAACUCAGUCCCAAGCUUCUUUCUAGAAAAGCUAAUGUCUUUAUACUAAGAUUUUAUACUUCAUACUCAACUACAACUGGCUAUCUUCCUUGGUAUUGAGCUUCUGCUGGUGUCUGAUGAUUAAAGACCUUAGUCCCAGUCUUUUUUGUGGAAAAAGUAACUUCAAUAAACCAAGAUUUUCUACUUCAUAUCCAACUACAACCGGGAAUUUUCUUGAGUCCUUUCUCCCUAAUUUUGAGCCUCAAAAGUGAAACAUCCAACCAUUUAUUUGCAGCAGCAUAGAUGUCUGAUAACAACACAUAAUUCCCAGCAUUUAAGGGCUCAAGCUCAAUUAGUCUACAUGCUACCUCCUCCCCCAAUUCAAGGUCACAAUGAAGCUUGCAAGCGCCAAGAAGUGCACCCCAAGCACCAGCAUGAGGCUUUACGGGCAUUGACUUAAGAAUGUCGUAAGCAUCUUUAAGCUUUCCUGAUCGACCAAGAAGGUCAAUGAGGCAUGCAUACUGAUCCGGAGAAGGCUCAAGAGAGAAUUCAUUAACCAUAGAGUCAAAAUAAUGGCAACCUUCCUUAAUGAGACCAGCAUGACUGCAAGCUGUUAGAAUUACCGUAAAGGCUGUAGUAUCAGGCACAAGUCCUUCCUUUAGCAUCCUUUCAAACAGUGCCACAGCCUGUGGACCACUCCCAUGAAUGGAUAGACCCUGUAUCAUUGAGCAGUAUGAGAUCACAUCAUGCGUGGGCAUUUGCUCAAACAAGGUUGAUGCUCUGUCCAUGUUCCCACACUUGGCAUUCAUAUCUAUGAGAGCUGCAGCAACUUGAACACGCUUGAGAUCAAAUGAGCUUUGAUGCAUAUAAGAAUCAAUUAUUUUUGCUAAUUCCAAACAACCCAAUUGGGAACAAGCAGACAUCAAGCUCACCAUAGUGAACUCAUCCGAUUUGACGCUCCUACACUGCAUCCUGUAAAACAUCUGUAUCGCCUCGCUGGGCUGUCCAUUCUGGGCAUACCCGGAUAUCAAGGCAGACCAGGAUACAAUAUCUUUUUCAUCUGAUUGCUCGAAUAACAUUCUUGCAGACACCAUGGCACCGGCCUUGGCAUACCCAUUAAUCAUAGUGGUAUAGGAAAUUGCAUUCUUCACGGGCAUCUCAUUGAAUAAUUCCCUAGCACUCCUCAAAUCACUGAAUCUAACAAAGCCACUAAUCAUCGCAUUCCAGGAUGCUAAAUUCCUAUUAGUCAUUUUAUCAAACAAGUUCUUCGCCUCCAAUGCCUCUCCGACAUUCAGAUAGCCAACAAGCAUAGCCGUCCAAGAGACUUCGUUUCUAACGGGCAUAAUAUCAAACAUCUUCCGGGAGCACUCGAUCUCCUUGCACUUGCCAUAGAAGUCAACUAAGCUGGAACCCACGUACACAUCAGUUUCAAUACCACACCUUACUAUUGACCCGUGGAGAAUCCGCCCUUCCCUCAAUGCCAAAACAUUAGCACACUUGUUGAUCAACGGCGGGAAAGUAUACUUAUCCGGGCUUGCAUUCGUAGACUUUUUCAUCCGAUUGAAAAGCGAAAAUGAAUUGACCAAAGAGGAAUGUCUACAGUAGCCCUUGAGUAGGGUGUUCCAAAGAUAAAUAUUAGGCUGAAUGGCGCGUUCGAAAACAGCGGUAGGGUAGGAGAGGUCAGAAGAGAGAGCGAUGCAGAGGGACAGAAAUUGGGUAAUCAAAAAGGGAUCCUGCUCGCAGCCCUUGUGGAUGAUGUGAGGGUGGACUUGCUCUAAGCUUCGGAUGGUCUUGCACCGUUUUAAAAGUGAUAAGAUUGAUGCCGUAUAAGCAGAUGAUAAUGUUGAUGGUAAGGGGUCGAGACAAGCGGAUGAGUAUCGGCGGAUCAAAUUCAUAUGAGCAUCGGUUGUGACUUUGUGAAUCAUAGUGGCGGAACAGCCGAGCAGACAGUGCUGGAGCUGCAGUGUCAGGAUCCUGAUGGACCAGUUUUGGAAUUGGGAGGGAAAUUAGAAAAGUAGAAGAAGAAGAUUCAGAGAAUUGCAAUGUUUUAAAACCCGGACCGUCAAUUGAACCUGUGAAGUGAAAGGGUCGAGGUUCAACCGGUCGGACCGGUUCAACCCCAGUUCAAUAAAUAAAUAAACAAAUAAAUAUAUAUAUAUAUAUAUAUAUAUAUAUAGACACACACCUAUGCACAGAACAAGAUAUAAAUGCUAAACCACAAUUAACAUAAGAGCAAUAUCAAACAAUUAACACACACACAAUUAACAUAGUUAUCAAACUUAAGACUAUUCGUUUGUGGUUUUUACUCCUGCAAUGCAACCGAAGUAAAUAUCUUCUGUUUGUGGUUUUGUUCUUGAUAAUCUACACACGUAUUGAAAAUACUCCUAUUUACUUGUUUGUCCUUGAAAGAAUUUUUGACAAUUUUCUCAAAGAUAAGCUAAAAAAGAAAGCAAAUAGCCAUCUGUCCCAUGUUUCUUUGGUUUAAGACUUGCAUCCGUUUUUGGGUGUGUUGGCUUCAAAUGACAUCAGAAAAAGGAUACCCCUUUUUGAAAAAACUAGCAGAAGAGCACCGUGCGCAAUUUAAGUGAUGCGCACAAUGAGUUGAUAUUCAUGUAAUUUAUGGAUUUUUGUGUUUUGUAUAAUUAGGGGUGCAAACGAGCCGAACCGAGUCAAACAUUGAACUUAUCGAGUCAGGCUUGAUUACUGUACACGAGCUCGAGAAAAUUGAGCUCGAGCUCGACUCGAAUAAGUAAGAAGCUGGCUCAAGUUCGACUCAAUAAGGCUUGAUUUACUCAACUCAACAAGAGCUCAAAUUGGCUCGAAAAUUUCUGUCACUAAGCACAUAAUUUUUAAACGCAAUCCAUCCAGCUUGCAUUUUCUAACAGGACAAGCUAAAAAUUACCCCAGAAUGAGAAAAUAAAAAGUGAACAAUCAAAAACUACAAACCAAAAAUAUUUCAAUCAAACAGAAGGUAUAUUCCAUGAAAAUGUAUGUAAGAAGUUAAGAAAAGAAACCCAAUAUUCUUACCAAUCUUCAAAAAACAGUCCCUAAUAAUAAUAACAGAUCCAAAUUCAAAAAAAAAAGGAGAAAAAGUACAUUGACAGAAAGCCUUCUUCCAAUCAAUAAUCAGUACAAUCUCAAUUCACCGAUCAUGAUAUAGAAAACAAUUCAAUACAUGCGAAAGUCCAAAUAAAUUCUAAAUAAAUUGAGAGAAAUUGGGGAUCGAAAUGGGAAAGAAGAGGCGAUCUAAUUCUAACGAAAGCUCUGUCGCCAUUAACAGGAAAGAGGAAAUUAAUCAGGGAAGAAGAGAAAGGGCAACCUGUUCGCUUUGCCUGUUCGCGAGGCCCUCCACCAAUAGAGCUGAUGAAAUGGGCGUUGGAGAGGGCGGCAGUGGUGGGAGUCGGAGAUUGUUCGCUUUGCCUACCGUAGCUUCUAACUGGGAGUCGGAGAGAAAUGGCGGCAGUGGUGGCAGAAGUGGCCAACAAACUGGGAGUCGGAAAGAAAGGGCUCUUCAAUUGAAGGCCGGCAGUGGUGGUGGCAGAAGUGGCUUGAGCCUUGAAGACAGUGGUAGCGGCGGCUACGGCUUGCUUUUGAUUUGGGGAAAGAAGAAUGCCGACAGCAGAAUAGCCGAGUGGGAAGAAGGAGAUGUGUUUGUGACUUUGGGUCCACCGUCCUCCACUGUCUUGGUCCUUGGAGAAAUUUUGUUAUCUAGUUUCUAAUUAGUAAUUAGUUAUAUAAGUAGAGAUAUUUAUGUAAUUUCCUACUGCUCGUGAGCCGCUCGGACUUUCAUACACAUGACUCGAACUCGACUCGUGUUAUAAACGAGCUGCUCGAGCUCGACUCGAACGUUGACCGAGCUGCUCGCGCGAGCAGAUCAAUUCGUUUGUAUCCCUAUGUAUAAUGAAUGCAACUAAGGUGAUAUAAUUAUUAAAUAUAUAAUAAAUAGGGUUUCAAAUCUUUAGGGCUAAUACAUGGAACUACGGCGGUAUAGUACUAUAGUGUCAUAAUAAAAAAGAGUGAAUGGCAUAGUAAUGGAUAAGAAGGAGUUUCAUUAAAAAGGAUGCAAAUUUCAUCUGUGCGGAUAUUAUUUUUUGGAUGGAGAUACUUAUUAAAUCAUUUGUUGAAAUGAGGUAUAAAAAUUGGAUUAGUUAUUUUGUAAUAUAUAUUUGGAUUUACUAAUAUGCGUAUUUGGUUAUGCCUAUAUGUAUAUUGUGUGGGUCAGAAUAAUUGGAUAUUUGAUUUAUAUUUAAUUUCUAAAUUUUGUUUGAAAGAACUAUAAGGGAAGAACUAAAUUUACACACUUAUAUACUAAAUCCACAUUCUAUCGGCUUAUUAUAUAAAGACUUUUAAAGUAUUUAAUUAGUUGUUCACAUAACAGAAAGAAGAAUAGUAUUAUGUUUUCUUGCAUCGGGAUACUCAGUUCAUGCGCGCAUCAAUAGCUACUAAUUAGUAACUACUUUAAAAAAAAGAAAACUUUGGGUAAAAAAAGAGAAUAAAAGAAGGGAAAAAAAGGGAAGAAGGGAAAAAAAGGGAAAGGAUACUCUAUUAUAAUAAUAACUAUAAAAAAAGGGAAAGGAUACUCUAUUAUACAGUAUCCUUUCCCUUUUUUUCCCUUCUUUUAUUCUCUUUUUUUACCCAAAGUUUUCUUUUUUUUUAAGUAGUUACUAAUUAGUAGCUAUUGAUGCGUGCAUGAACUGAGUAUCCCGAUGCAAGAAAACAUAAUAAAGAAAAUACUGUAAAAAAAGCAAUAUUAUAAAAAAGCAACAACCUUGUAAAAAAAGAAAAUACUGUAGUUUAAAAAAAAAAGAAAUCGGCAAGUGUUUUUCUUUCCCUAGAAAUACUUAAUUUCUACAGCGUUAUUUUUCAUUAAUUAGCUACUAAUAAAGAAAAAGCGAAGAAACAACAUAACAACACAAUUUUAUAUUCUACUAUAAUAAUAGUAUUAUUAUUGUUGAAAAAAACGGCAACUUUGGGAAAAUUACUGUAAGUGAAAAAAUAUCGUUAGUAUAAAAAAAUGUAAGCCUGGGAUUUGAAUUUAGGAAACUUAAUUCCUGCAGCCUUAUCAAUAACUACUAAUUAAUAACAAUUUAUUAAACACAACAGCACUAUUCCAUAAUCUACUAUAGUAAUAUUAUUAUUAGUAUAAAGAAACUGAAACCCUAGGAAAAUAACAAAUAUUUUAAGUAAAAAAAAAAAAGAAAAAAAAUUGGCAUUGGAUUCGACGUCAAGUUAGCUAAUUUAUGUGACAUUAUCAGCAAGUAUUAAAAAAAAUAAUAACCACUUAAAAAAAAAGAAGAAGGAAACAAUGUGAUGGAAAGAAAACACCAAAUAUUGUUAGUACCAAAAAAAAAUAAAAAGUAAGCAUGGCAUUUGAAUUCUGGAGAGUUAAUUCCAGCAGCCUUAUCAAUAACUACUAAUUAAUAACUAUUUAUAAAAAAUUGUUAGCUAAAAAAAAAAAGAGUAGACAUGGGAUUUGAAUUUCAGAAUGCUUAAUUCCUAAGAUUGAGUAAAAGAAAGGGGAAAAAAAAGGAAAGGAAAUAUAAAAAUAGCAAUCUUGGGAUAAAAAUUAAGGAUGAUGUUAGAACCAAACCUUAUAUUAUAUUAUAAAAAUUAAGGAUGAUGUUAUCUAAUAGUGUGAUAUAUUGUUGAAACCAAAAACUUGAUAAUCCAAGAAACACAUAAUUUAGAUGAAAAUGAUAGAACUCUCAUAGAAAACAAAUACAACAAAGGAAUGAUCAAAUAAGUAAAGAGACCAAUCAAUCUUUAGGCCAUUGUUGCUGCUCUCUAUACAUUUGCGUGAGCAUUGUUUAUUUUACUUCUACCAUGAAUGACAAAGCCUUGACCGCAGAUGUGCAGAUACUUGGAGCCUGCUUCAAAAGAUAUAUUUUGGAUUUGUUACUAGGCAGAUUGUUUACCAUUAAGAUUCUAGCUCUUUUUCCAUUCGGUUUUACAACGUAUUUUUUACCAUUAUUAAGUUCAAAAAGAUUAUAAUUCCUUUUUCAUUAGAUUUUUUGACAAUUUUAUUUUUAUUAUUUUUUUUGGAUUGUUAUUGGAUCACAUAUUUCUCAUGUAUUCAUAUAUACAUAUAGUGCAUCAAGAGAUAAGUGAUGUAGCAGUAUAUCAUAAUACUUGCUUUCAUAUCAUAGUUACUAUUUUUGAAUUAACAUCAAUUUGAGUAGCAAUUGUUCUUUAACUGAGCGAAUUUAAAAAAUUGAAGCAGUUCGGGUUUUGUUAACCGCCUGUACCAGUGUGGAUUUAUCACCAUCUUUGGUGCUUCUCUUUGUGCACGCUUCCAUUGUCAUGCUUGAAGGCUGGAAACAAAGGAAAAAUGGAGACUUUAAGCAGGGAUUCUCUUUAAGAAUUGAGAAAAUAAAAGACCCACAAAAGAAAGACAACUAUAAAUCACACUUAGCAACUAUAAUCUUCUCCACGUCACAAUAUAAGAGAUUGAAAAUUCCUGGAAAGUUCUAAUAUUUUGCCAACUUCAUAAAAAUCAUAAAAGGCUUGUUGCCUAGAGAAAGGUCCUGUUUAUCAAGUGAUGCUAAAGCCAGCCAAAAUCCUUUCAAUUCAAAGAACUAUGAAACAACAUUAAAAAAAUAAAAUUUAAAAAAAUUCCAGGUUUAGAAACAUUAUUAUCAGCGGACCAGCUCAGUUAGAUUAUAACAAACGGUUUGAAUAGAUUCAUUAGGCAUCUCAAAAAACUGAUGGAAUUUCAAAAAAAGAUUCAACGGUCAAAAGGGUAAGAAGCAUCCAUUAAUCAACCUAAACAGUACAAUAAUACAAUCCCAUAAUUUACUGCAAAAAUAAAUGUUAGAGCUCUCUUGGAGCAUCUGAGAGUGACAAAUAUCAGCAAAAGGCAAUAUUAUGUUAUCUUCAGAAAAUGACAUCAAAAGUAAUCUCCAAGUAUCAUAAAUGUUCCCCAGCAUAGAAUAGACUAUUCUUGGAUGAGUUAUACUAUAAUAUACAGGUAAGACACAAGAUGCAAGUAUCUUAGGGAAGGAAUUCCAUUGACUUCUCAAGCAUGCUACUCUUACUUAUAGCAAUAUGGUAAUGCAAAUAUAGCUAUUUUAUUAGUUCCAUUUUUCUAUAUGGUUAGACAGAAUCAAUAAUCAGAGACUCAUGGCACUUAAAAACAGGAGUUGCAAACAUAUUUUUUAAGCUUGCACAGAUUUUGUUUAAUCAAUCGCAAAUUGCCAAUGGCUUAAAUGGAUGUUCAAACAUCUAGGCAUUAACGCAAGGCAAAUAUUAAAACACUAAAUAAGUAGAUCAUUUACCAUGAAUUAAUUCCCGUUACCUGCCUAAAACAACUCUAACAAUUUUAGUCCAUCCAUUGCCAAGUAUAUUCCACGCCUGCAUACGAUUUCUAAAUUUCAGAUUAUCCCAUCCAAUAAGAAAAAAUUUGACCAUCCAAAUUGAAACAAUCAGAUCAGUAAAAUUAUGCUAGUCCUUGUAAUUUAGUGAAAAUUGACAUAGGGUUGAAAGCAAUUGGUUAGCUUGUACAGUUCAGAUUCAUGAAAUAUAUAACUAAGAAGUUUUACCAAGAGAUUUAUUGCAUUUUGUACUACUAAACUGUACCAUGAAAGCCAGCCAAAAGGUACGAAGAAGGGAAGAAAAAAGCUCCAUUGACAAUAAAAAAAAACCUCUUGAAUGGCAGGAAAGAAGAGAAGAAAAGCCAUUUUGGUGGUGAACUAACUUUAAUAUAAUUUAUAUUAUAUCCUCAAAAUGUCAUCCUAUCAGAUACACAAGCCAAUCCCCUCAGAACAAAAUUAGCAAAAUUUUAAUGAAAAACUUGUACUCUAGCAAAAGAAAAAUGAAAAGGCAAAAUUUAUGCAAAGACAUGAGGAAAAGGCACUUAGAAACAAUAAUCUAAAAUAAUGGAAAUCCUUGAUGACUUACAAUGCUUUGGUCAUUUGUGGCUGGAAACCCAGCAACUAAAUACACACAAAACUAUCAAAAACAGAUCCAACAUUUAAUGGCAUAGAGAUGCAAAGCAAAUAAAGAAAUCAGGCAUUCUCCUUAAUGAAUGGAAAAGGAAGCUCAUGAAAGAGCAUCCAAGUAAUGAAUAACCAGGAAAAUCACAAUCAAAACUUGAUUAAAAAAUAUAAAAAAUCACAGUGCAUUAAAGUAAACUUUUUAUUAGUGCAUGAAAUAAAAUAUACCAUAUCUUAGAGCAUUGCAGCAAUGUUGAAGAGGAAAAAGCCCAACUUUCUCCACCUGCAAUCACAAAAAAAAAGUAAAUUUUAGAUGAGUAAAAGGGGAAGAAAACAAUGAAGAGAAAAUCAAAUAUACAAAAAAAAAAAGUUCACAAUGCAUAAGCAGCGACUUUUGAACUAUCGAUAGAUGAUAACGAUCAUGAUGUCUGCAAAACACGACACAGAAACUAUUAGACACCCAAUUUCCAAAUUGAAAGUAUCUAGGUUCUUAACCUUCCCCAUUGGAGAAAUUUAUCAAAUAACACAAUCAUCCACAAUGUUAAAACAGUUAGGCAGAUAAAAUAUUGAGAAAUUUAUCCGAAUAAUAAAAAAUAAUUGCACAGCAAAAACAUAGUGAGGCAAACAAAAGAUUAAACAGAUUACACCAAUUACUCCAACAUCGUAACUCGUUAGAUUCAGUUCCACUGCCAGCUUAACAUAAACUUUCACAUUAUCAACUGAAUUUCAGAAACAUUCAAUUGAACUUGCUCCAAUCAAUAAAGUGAAAAAUUCAUGCUUUUAAAAUUUCAAUUGCCCUGUUUCCCGUAACUACUACAUCCAACCAUCCAACCUAAGCAAAAAUUUUCAGCUUUCAACACCCAAUUUGAUGACAUCAACAAUUAGUAAUAUAGGAAACAUCUCUUUAUAGUUAUUGUAGAAAUAGCUAUGGAAUUUGAUUAAAACUUAAAUCAUAAAGAGGGAAAAUGGGAUAAGUAGGAGGCGUAGUAGUAAAAGUAAAGAUUAAAAAACCCCAAGUUUUGGAGUUUAAAAAAAAAAGGGGACAAAUCAAGGGCAAAAAAAAAUAGCACUGAUAUAAAAGACAAAGUAUUACCUCUUCAUGUGCUAAUUCCACUGUCAAAGUUUAUGAGCAGGAAGGCGGAAACACCCAAAUGGAUUUUGUGGUUCACUGGCAUAUCAUUAAUAUAACACAUCAUAAAAAAUGAAAGAUAAAGUAAUAAUACGGAUUUCUUUUUACUUCUAGCCAAAACAAACGGAAAACAUUAGACACAAAAAAAUAAAAGAAACAAAAUAAGGGUUUUCUAACAAAAAAUAAAAGAGAAAUAUUCAAUAACAAUAAAAUGGAACAAAAUAAGAAAAUUUCAACAAAAACAACCAUGCAACAGUCAGAAACUUGUGAAUGGGAAACAGGAGAUGAAUCUGAGGAAGAAGAGUACAAUGGGGAACAGAGGUCUUCUAGAAGUGCAAAAAAAAUUUUAAAAAAAUUUAAUGCAAAUCUGCAAAGAAAAAAAGAUUACCUUAUUAGUCUUGCUGCUUGAGGAAGAGGAAGAUGACAGAGGAAAAGAAAAAGAGAGAGAAUGACGAAAAAAGGAAGAAAUGAAAAGAGAACCAGAAGAGACUGAGGGGGAAGAGAGAGAUAAAAGCACAUGUUUUCCAGCACAGGGUUUCAGGUGGUUUGGAAAAUAAAAGGGAACGAAACCGGUACAAGAAUUCCAGGACCAACAAGUCAACAACCACGGUGCACGUGAUUUCCACAUGAAGAAGGACGAAAGACCAACAACAAAUUCCACCACCCAUUCCCACUUUAUAUAUAAGUUCUUUAUAGUACAAUACUACAAAGUUAAAAAAUUGCAGGCCAUACUCAAUGCUGUAUGUUGUUGAUGUGCAAGGAGGCACCAUGAACUUAACCAACCUUAAUGCUGAAGUUUAUUUCCAUCUGUCAUGUUAAUGAAGGCAGGACAGCUAUUGAUCUAUUAUUAGAAGGAGAAAAGGGAACUCUACACUUGUUUGCACCACCAAAAAACAAAUAGAAGUUGAAGUUCAGAUGGGUCAUAGUAGUUCAGUAGCAAAAUGGUACUUGAAUUCAUUUAUAAUCCUAAAUUUCAAGGCGAGUCAUAAUUCCAAUCAGGUCAAGCGGAGUUAAACAUAUGACAGGCAAAAUAACUACUUCAUACUUUAUUCAUCAAGAAUCAGCACAACACAUCAGAAUGUAUCAUUUUAGGAAUUCCAAAAUAGGGCAUUGCGUGGAUAUAUGAGCUUGGAAAAACCAACAAUAUGUUUAUUCAGUAAGAAUUGUUAGCCUAAUAUGGUCCUAUUCUCUGCACAAUAAAGGAAAACUAAGUGAGCAGAGUUGCAGAGAGUAACGGAAUUUUCCAACAAGUAUCCCUCUAUAAGGUUUAGCAACUUCAUUCUAGCUCCCUCUGCGGAAUAUUCUAGCUCGCUCUUAGGCAACAAAUUCUCAUUUCGAAAGAAAUUCUGCAUCCAGGGUAUAAAAGUUAAAAUCCCCAAAUUUAACUUCUACACAUUUGGAAAUUAGCAAUUUAGUGGAAAAUAAAAGAACUUUGUAAAUCUGUUAUGCAAGAAUUGCUCUUCUUAUCGUCAAAGCAACCAAAGCGUAAUUCCAGAGAUUAAUGAACAACGAAAGGGAAAAAAGAUUAAUGAACCUGGUAUAAGCUUGAAUUCCAGAGAGUUCGGAAUAAGCGUGUGACGGCAAAAAACUUCAGGCUUCGGUGCUUCCUUUUUACUGAUUGCAGAGACGACAAAUAGAGACGGCACUCGGCACUCGGCGCUCGGCAGGCAAGGCAAGGCAAUUGCAGAGAGAGGAAGCGGACUGAAGUGAAGAGGCAAUUUCGGCAAUUGACUACAGCAGGCAAGGCAAUUUAGGCAAUUGCAGAGAGAGGAAGCGGACUGAAGUGAAGAGGAAGACUGAAGUGAAGAUUAGGGUUCAGAGUCUUUAGACACUUUCGGUCAAAAAUGGAAAUUUUGUCAAAUUUUACUCAAAAAUUGGAAAACCACGGUUCACGGUUUGAGUCGGUUUAAUGGUUUGAACGGUUUUUUAACGAGUUUGACCGGUUCUUGAUCCAAGUCAACUUAAGUUAUGAACCGGACCGGACACAUGACCGGUUCGCGAUCGAACAGAUCGAACCGGCCAAUCUGAUCCGGGUUUAAAAACAUUGGGUACAGUCGGUUAGUUCAGAUACAUUGUUGCUCAUUGGUGCGCAUCGAUUUCCUUUGUCAAUCAUAAAAAGCAAUUGGAUUCUGACAACUGAAGUUGGUGGUGGGCCGCUAGAAUCUCCAAUGAACCAACAAGUUCCGUAGACAAAAGCUCAUGUGUCAUUUGAAUAUGACUUGAAUUAUUAUAUUUAAUUAUUAUUAUUAGUUUGCUUGUUAGUUGCUUACAUUUGAUUUAAAAGAUUACUAUUACAUCAAUAGUUUAUUACAUUUAAUUAGUGUUAAUUUAUUACAUUUGAUUAGUAUUUGAAUUAGUUUAAUUAGCAAUAAUUUAUUAAUUAAUAGUGUUAUUAGUAUUAAUUGUAUUAUAUUUUCCUGUUCAGUACAAGUACUAUUUAGUACAUGUUAUUGCAUCUUCUUGUUUAGGAUUUACAAGUAUUUAAGGUUUCUGUUGCUAUUUAGUGCAAGUAGUUACUAUUAAUUAUAUUUAAUAUCUUCUUGUUUAGGAUCGAUUGAUUGAAUGUCAUACGAGAAAUAGUACCACCACAAAGCAAUAAUACAAGUACUAUUUAGCAAAUAGUAAUAGUAACAGUAAAAGUAAACAGUACUAACAAAAAUAACAGUAGUAAAUAUUAACCAUAAAGAAAAGUCACGGUAAUAAUAAUAAUAAAGUAAAUAGUAAUAUUACAAAAAAAUGGUUAAUAAUAGAAAGGCAAAUGGUGAAUAGUAAAAGUUAAUAGUAAAAGUAAUUACUCAGUAAUAGUAAUAGUAAACAAAAAAUUGUGAUAAAUGUUUCAUUAAUAAAAAAGUAGUAAGUAGUAGUAAUUACUUAGUAAUAGUAAUACUAGGAAUAGUGAAUAAAAAAUAGUAAUAAAUAUUUCAUUAAUACUAAUUAGGAAUCAUUAAAUUAUAACAUAGUAAUAGCAUAAGUUACCGUUAAUUUUAUGUUUAAGGACAAAUUUGUGCUUGUCUAAUUAUUAUGUUACUUAUUACUAGUGAAUAAUAAUUUGUGAUUGUUUUAUUAUGGUUGUGAUUAAUUUAGUAUAGUUAAUGUAAAUUCAUGUUUGGAAUCACGUAAGCGCUUGAUUCUAAAAUAAAUAAUAUUCACAACAUUAGGUAAAAAAUGUCAACAUACCUUGCAUUGGUGAUUCAGUUUUAUUGGAGAGACAAAAUAGUGGAGACCUGAGAAUCACUUUCAUAUGAUCCACUGAGGUGCAAAACGAUAUUAGUGAAAGAUCAAAUAGAUUACUAUGGGUUGGUUGAUAGUAUACACCUACAUAAGACUAGAUCAAACUGUGCUCAAUUUGAAUCUAUGGUUUAGGAAUUUAGUAGGCCAAGUACCAUUGCGGAACUAUGCUUGGAUAUGAAGAAGACAUGGAUAUGAUGUACCAUAUGAAAAUGACAUCACCUCACAUAGCAUGUGAGAUAUACAUAGAGGUGAAGUCACAGUUCCAACAUGACCACGAUAAUGUCAAUGUUGGAAAACCUCAUUUGUCCAAGGCGAUCCCCAAGUGGAGUUAGACCAUAUGCUCCCAGCCAUCUCUUAUCGUGGUUGUAUGCUAGUAAAAUCGGAGUCCACAUCCAUGAUAGAUGAUGAUUGAAAUCGUGGAAGGGUCAUAUAAGUCGAAAGCAUGAGCGGGGCAGAAGUAACUGGGACAGUAGUUCUAGGGCAAAAUUAUCUUUAGUGCAAAUCCACCUAACUUCCUCUCUAUCGAAUAUACAGGAAAACAAGGGUGUUGAUGUAGAUCCUGACACCGAACCGGAACCUGAUGGCGAUAACUCCGGCGAUACUGAUGAUGAACAUGAUGGAGUCGGCCAACAAGAGUUCAAGCUUGGAUGCGGCUAAUGCUUUAAUCUUAGCAUGCAUGUGGUAUUUCAAUAGAUUUAAACAAGAAAAUUUGGUGAUUUCGGAAGAAAGUUAAAGAGUGUAAAUUCUGAAAAUUUUCACAGCCCUAGACCCGAAACUUGAAGCUGAGUUUUCAUAGCUUAUAGUUUUGAAUUUUGGUAUAUCUUUGAUACAUUAUUGCUUUAAAUAUGCUUUGCUUCAUAUAUCUUAGGUUGUAUGUUGAAUUUCUUAGAUUAAAAAUGAGAAACGUGUGAGAUUCAUAAGAAAAGUGGGCUGAUUCGUUUCACUGAAACUUGAAUAUAGUUUAGCUUUCUUUUCGCUAUAAUUGAUGAUUGGAAAUUAGCAUGCAAGUAGGAAUUUUCUCCUAGGUUUUAUACCAAAUAAAUAGAUAAAUAAUUGUGGUAUUUGUAACUUGUCUCAGGAGUGAGCAAGAGGGUGACCCCAAAGCCGAAGUGUGAUUUUUCACUUAGCGUAAGUGUUCCUUAUGUGCAUUUAUGAUUAAAUGUCUCUACUGGAUUAGUACUUGUUGUUUACUUGUUUGCUUGGUGAUUGUUGAAAAGUAUUGAUGGGAAUUGUUAGAUAUAUCUUAUUGAUUUGUUAAGACUUGAGUUAUCUACGGCAUUACUGUUGAUAGAUGAGUGCGUACUUUAUAACACUCGAACUAAUUGAACUUGAGAUUUCUAUGGUCUUAACUACUGGAAUAAAUGUUCAUGAUUGUAAGCAUACGUGUACUUAAUCGCAUCAGCUGGAUUGGACCCUAAAACCCAUCAUCAGUUGGCAUAUUUAAGUCAGCAAUGGGUUUGGUCGGGUAGGUUAGGAACCUUGAGUAAAUGCGAAUAUUACCUUGUAGUAUGGUGAUUAUUGAAAUGAAUAUUGAUUGAAGGAAAUUGUUUAUUGUUUUAGAGGAUAUAAGGGGUGAUUGCUGCAGUGAUAUCGUGUUGAUAUUGGUCCCUAACUUUUGGUGUUUACAAAACAAUUGGAUGAUACUAAUAUCUCUUCAAGAAAUACUUUCAGUUAUGUAGCAAAUCAGAUUCAAAGAUUAAGCACACUUGAAAGGGACAAAAUAUGCUGAAGCUAUCAGACGCUUAAAAAGACAAGAUCAGACGUCUGAUAGAAUCCUUCAAAGUCGACAAAACCAUCGGACGCUGAAUAUGUCUCCACCAGACGUCCGAUAGAAACAAGAUGAUUUCUCAAAUCUCUUUGCUUGCUAUCGGACGCACAAAGAGCUUGCACGACGUCCGAUAGAAAUAAAAUGAUUCUUCCAACUCUUUGUCUGCUAUCGAACGCAAACAUCCAACGUUCGAUGCUCCAACGGCUAGUUGAUUCUUCAACUACUUUCUAUCCGUUGGAAAUAUUAAUGAGGCACUUUUUUGUCCUAUAUAAAUAGUGGUUGGUCAGAUAUUUUAAAUAACUUUUACACAUAGAACAUACAAAAGAUUUAGAGUAGGUUUAGUGAGAAAACACUCUCCAAAGAAGAUUUGUAGUCUUAAUGGUGUGAGGUUCAUUGUAAGUUUUUCAUUUGUGAGUGAAUACUUCAUGAGUAUAGCUCUGUGAGGGUUGUCCUGAGGGAUAGUAAAACUUCCUAACUUGACCGAGUGGAGAUCGGGGCAAGGAGGAAGUGAACCUUUCUUUGUACAUAAGAGUGAUUGUAAUUCAUCAAUUUGAAGAAGUUUGUUCUAUAAAUUGAUCUACAAGCUCAAGAGGAGUUGGGUAGUCUGUGAUACCCCGAAUAUUAGGAGGUUGUUUGUAAAGAAAACACUAAAGUGUACUUCUUUGGGUUUGAUUUAAAACCUUAUUUCAUUUUAAAAGAUUAGAAACCCUAAUAUUUUAAUCAAAAAUCCUAAUUUACUUGUGACUAACCGGUUUUCUUAAACCCUAAUUUUAAUCACUGGAAUUGUAAAAUCCCUCACGUUUCUCUUAAAAACUUCCUUUUAUUUGGAGCUUAUGAUUUUAUAAUAGCCCUACCACCCAAUCAUCUCACAAUAAGUGCAAAUGAAUAUGAAAAUAAAGAUUUUUCCCUUUUUGUUUUAAGUUAGCGCGAAUUAGGGUUUUCACGUUUUCCAUAGUGUACUUAUCCGGUACGGAACAAGGAUCAAAUUGGGUGAUUAAAAGUGAUUUUUAGGUGAGAAAUAAUAUGUGAUUAGGAUCAAUGACCUAAGGUUAGUGAAUAAGAAGUAAAAACCCUAGUACGUGUGUUUUAAAGAAAAACGGCGCGAACCGACGGGUACCGCGCACUACCGAUUGAACACACUAUUUGACCAUCAUUUCCUUACCACGUGAGCUCAUUAAUAUUUGAGCAAAAUAUCCCCCUCAUUUCCAGCUAGUCUUGACCGAAAAUGUGGACCAAAUGCAAGGAAAGGAAAGAGAAAAAAAAAAGUGGUGGUGGUGGCGCCACUUGUCGCCACCUAAAGGUUUCUUGACCAACCAAGAAUCCAACCUUCUUAUCCCCAAUUUUGUUCUUUCUUCUUCAUUAUUUCUGCUGGUUGGCCGAACAAGAGAGGGGAAAAGAGAGAGCAAAAACCCACCUUCCUUCAUCUUGAAUUUAAGCUACAAAGUGAGGAAACAAAGAAAGUAAACCGAUUAAAGUUAUCUUUGAGUGUUGGUUUAGUGAGAGGUUGGUGAAUUUUUGAAGGGGAAAGCUAGGGUUGCUCUUGGUAGACACUAAGCAAGGUAAGGAUGAUGAUUUUCUCAAUUCUUACUAUUAAUCUUGUUUAAAUUAGCUUAGCAUUUCAAAUUUGUGGUGAAUAAUGGUUGCUAUCAUGUCUUGAGUGUUGUUUUUCCUUGUGGAUACAUGAAUUAGGGUUUGAUGGAUUGCUGCCUAUACUUGAUGUAUGGUUCAUAUAUGUUGUAUCUAAGAUUAAAUAGGGGGUUUUGGUAGCAAGUGAAGCAAGAAAUGAAGAAAGUUAUCAUUGAAACCAAAAAUUCCAGAUUUCUGGAAAAAUUUCACCCUAUUCUAUCCGGUUCCAGUUCAUGUGGUUAGAGGCCGAAUUAGGUUUGGAAUAAAACAUGAAAGUUGUAGAGAAUGGUAUUUUAUAGUUUUUUACAAAAUUUCAUCUCAAUCGGAGCAACGUAACCUGUGAAAAGACCAAAAUACCCUCACUGCCCUAGGUUAAAUUCCAAUGUUCCGCGUAGACAGUUCAGUCUAUUUGGCUGUGUUUAUUCACUAUAAUCUGUGUGGUUUUAGCCAUUUGCCAAAAUAUGAAAGUUUUAGUACUCUAUCUUAUCUAUUCAACGCCUCCAAGAACGUCUUAAACGGACCUUGGUAGCCUGAGAUAUGGCCAUUUGAAGGCAGUACGGUUAAAUAGCCGAAUAGUUGGAAUUAGGUUAUGUGAAUUGGGAAUUUGAUUAGGUUACACUGGAAAUUAGACUAAGUGCUUUCCAUGAAAAUUAUAGGCCUUCGUCUUAGCUUCGAAAUGGUAUAAGUUUCACCUCGAUCCGAUAAGCGUAGCCUUGGAUGUGCCCAUUUCGCAAAAAUUCGUCAAAACUGUCUUUUUUAAACGUCGUUUCCACACUCGUUAUUAGCUUGAUUUCUUGUUCUUGUAUUGUUUUGAGCCUAUUGAAUGGAUAUUGAAAUGAAAUUGUGUUAUGGGUAACCUUGGGUUUGGUUGAGUAAAAGAAUGAAGCCAUAAAUGACUGAAAAAUUAGGUAAAUACAAAGGGCGUGCUGCCCAAAUUUACGCUCGAGGACUAUAGAAAUACACUUGCGACUUGGGUAGAGUUGAUAUGAAUAUCACUUGAACCAUCUAGGGUACUUGAGUCUUCUUGUUCCGAGGUAUAUAAGUAAGGAUUUGGCCGAACUUGUACCCUUGAGAAAUGAAAUAAUGAUUGUUCGGAAUAUGUUUUCCUUGUACUUUCAACUCGUAUGGCAUUUUCAAGUAUAGAUGCUACAAAGUUUUAUCGUUUAAAAAGCGAGCAAGUGAAUUUCAAUUUCUUGAUUUUUAUUGAACGAAACGUCUAAGUUUCGAAUCUUAGUCGAUUUUCAAAGUUCUUAAGCCAAGUUUUAUUGCAGAUUUGGACUCCAAACCCGGAGUACCACCCAGACGUGAUUACUAGAGGCACUAUAUCUUUGGUGAGUGCUUUCAAAUACCGAAUUGAACUUGAUACUUGAACUUGAUACGUGACCAAUAUGAUUACAUGUUAUAUACGUGAAUUGUUAGGGUAAGAGUGUACUUUAUCGCACUUGCCUUUAUGUGAUAUAUACUUGUUUAUGGUUGCAAUUGACUUGAUACAUUUGUUUAUGAUGUGCGCACUUCCUGGAAUUCCAGAAACCCUGUGGCGAGUUACUCUAGUUGAGCCGGCAAGGGUUUGGUCGAUUGGGUAACGAACCCUGGGUCUCUUGUUUUGUCGAGUGGAGUGAUAUCUUCUCGACUAAUCGGUAUACUCGAGUAUUACCACCCGUGUUUCUUGAGGAUUUUGGGCCCAGUUGGGGGUUUGAAUGGUGGACGGAGAGUCGUUUAAGUGGUGUUCUACUAGAUUGGUUACUUACUUGAAAGUUGACGGAGUGUCAACUGUUACUUGAACAAGCUUGGGAGAUGCACUGGGAUUUUGGCUCCUGAGAGUCUUCCGUAUCCUUAUACUUGAAAAUGAUUAUUGCUUAUCGGAUUGUUGUUUCUUUUGAAAACCAAAAGCACUUUACACUCGUGCAUUUGGAAAUUUGCUAGUUGAAGUGUUGGUGUUCACCUUUAUGAACUUGUUAAGCUCGCUAUCUUUUGCUACAUUGAUACGUGUACUUUUAAUAUGGUCAAUUUGUUAUUUGGAACCUCACUGGGUUUUUAGGUCAUUCCACGCUAUUUGUUUUCCUUACAGGGGGUACGAGCGAGGCGUGAGAUGUGUAAAGACUAACGUAGUCUAGUUGUUUGACUUUUGACUUUUGUCUUGUACUCGCGUUAUUCCUCGAAUAGAAUGUUUUGUAUUUGGAUUGUAUCCGCUUUGAACCAGUUUGGGUAUAUUGAGGUUUUGUACCUUGAUUUUCAUCAAUGUAAAUUAUUAGCUUGAAUUGUGGAUGUUAUUUAUGGUUCAUGGAUGUAUGCACGUGAUUCGAGUGAGUGAGUGAGUCCUGGCGAGAGUUGGGCAGGCGGUCCGCCGAACCCUUUAGUACGCCUUAGGGGGAGGUGGGGUCGUCUCAUAGUCAAUUGGUUUGCUAUUUUUUCUUUCUUAUUUAUUUAUUGUUACAUUUGUGAUCUUUAAAUUGCUUAUCUCUUCUAUUUCUCUCAAGUGAUUUUGUUCAUUCAUUGAUUGACUCAUUGUGUGAUCACUUAGAAAAGAGGAUAAAUUUUAUAUUAAGCAAAAAGGUGUCUCAUCACUUGAUUAGGUUUUUAAUCAACCUAAUUCACCCCCUCUUAGGUUGUUUUCGGGUCUUACAAUCGGUAUCAGAGCUUGGUCUCCUUGAAAUUAAACUCAAUCGAUUUAGGAGUAAAGAUGACAACCAAUAAUACUAUGUUUUUUGAAGGACAAUCUGUAAUUAGACCACCUAUGUUUAAUGGAUCAAAUUAUGUAAGUUGGAAAGAAAAAAUGAUUAUUUUUUUGCAAUCAAUUGAUAUUGAAUUGUGGUUUAUUAUUAGUGAAGGUCCAUAUGAUGCCUCUCUUAUAGAUGAAAAUACUCAUAGAUCUAAACCAAAAAUAAGAAGUGAACUGACUGCUGUGGAUAGAGCUCAUCUCACCUUAAAUGCAAAAGUUAUGAAUGUGUUAUAUUAUGCUUUAGAGUCAAAUGAAUCUAUUAGAGUCAAGGGUUGUAAGUCCACUAAAGAAAUCUGGGACAAACUUAGAGAAAUCCAUGAAGGAAGUGAGAAUGUGAGAGAACAAAAGAAAUCUAUUUUGGUUACCAAGUAUGAAUCAUUCAAGAUGGACCCUCAUGAAAACAUUGAUAAGAUGUAUUGUAGAUUCGAAAAUCUCAUUAAGGACUUAGAGGUGCUGGAAAAGGAAUACUCUCUAGGUGAGAAAAAUAGAAAAAUUUUGAAUGCCUUAUCCAAGGAUUGGGAGAGUAAAGUAACUGCCAUUGAAGAAGUUAGAGAUCUAAAUUCCUUACCUAUUGAAUCUUUUAUUAAUUCUCUAAUCUCUUAUGAGCUGAAACUUAAGUCCAAAGUGUAAGAGGAAGAGGAUGCAAAGGUAAGAAGGGGCAUUGCUCUAAAAGCAUCUCAAGAUGAAGAUGAUUCGGCUUCCUUAGAUAGGAAAGAUGUUGAAGUUGAUGAGAGUGAUCUUGCUCUCAUUACAAGAAGUUUCAAGAGAAUUUUUAACAAAAGAAAAUUUAGAAGAGGAGGAUCUUGUAAUUCAGAUUCUAAUCAAUUCAACAAUGGAAGAAACAAAGGAAAGUAUGAGAUCAACAAAAAAUAAGGUGACAAAUGCUAUGAAUGCGACCAAUUUGGACACAACAUGAGUGAGUGUCCAAUGAAGAAGAGGAAAGAUGAAAGAAAAUCAAGAUUCAAUAACUUUCAAUUCACAUGGAAUGAGUGCAACUCCGAUGGUGAAAUUGAAGAGGAAGAAAAAUCUGCUCAAUUGAUUUUUAUGGCCAUUAGAGAUUAUGAGGUAACAUCUUCUACCUCUCAAUUUGAAAGUGAUGAUGAAAUUGAUGAUGAUCUUGAAUCUUUCAUUAUAAAAUUGUAUGAUAGUUUGAAAAAAUCUUAUGCUAGAAAUAAGUAAUUAAAACAUAAAAUUUGUUUUUUUCUUUAGGACAAUGCACGUCUUUUUCAAGAAAAUAAAAAACUGAUAACUGAAAGUGAUUUCUUAAAAAGGAGUGAGACUGUUUUACACUCUGAACUUGAUAGAAAAAUAAAAUUUUGUGAAAUUAUCGAAAAUGUCAUAUGAAAAAUGAUUGUUAUGUGAGAAAAAACAUGAGAAGAGGCAUGAAAUGCAUGUGGAUAUUUAGACAUGAUGCUAACUCUAACAAGUAGGAGAUAUUGGUAAGAUUGGUGAGAUUCUUGUUCACAAUGCUUUUUUGUAAUUCUUUUUUGAAUGUUUUGAAUUGAGUUUUCCUUGAUAUUUUUGAAUAUUACUGAAUUUAUGUGAUGUCAAAAAGGGAGAGAAAAUAACAAUUCUGAUCUAAUAAUGAUUUUCUUUGUGAUAUGUUGGUACUUCUUUUGGUAUCAAGUCUCUGUGAUAUGUUGGUAUGUUGGUAAUUGCUGAAUUUUGGUAUCAUUUCUCUGUUUUUGUUUGAAAUAUUGAAUUCUCUGUUAUUAUUGCUAGAUUACGGUAUGAGAUUUUUACUCUUUUCUUAUGAUGACAAAAAGGGGGAGAAAAAUGGAUACUAUGUGUUAGGGGGAGUUAUUCUGAUUUCUGAGAUUAUAAGUUUGGUACUUAAAUAUUUUUGGAUGCAAUGAGUAAGGGGGAGCUUAUGCUCAAUCUUUUUUCUUUCUUUCAUCCAUUGUUUUGUCAUCAUAAAAACGGGGGAGAAUGUUGAUCUUGGUCCCUAACUUUUGAUAUUUACAAAACAAUUGGAUGAUGCUAAUAUCUCUUCAAGAAACACUUUCAGUUAUGUAGCAAAUCAGAUUCAAAGAUUAAGCACACUUGAAAGGGACAAAGUAUGAUGAACCUGUCGGACGCUCAAAAAAACAGAAUCGGACGUCCGAUAGAAUCCUUUAAAGUCGACGAAACCGUCGGACGCUAAAUAUGUCUCUACCGGACGUCCGAUAGAAACAAGAUGAUUUCUCAAAUCUCUUUGUUUGCUGUCGGAUGCACAAAAACCUUGCACUGGACGUCCGAUAGAAAUAAGAUGAUUCCUCCAACUCUCUGUCUGCUGUCGAACGCAAGCAUCGGACGUCCGAUAGUAUCGGACGCCCGAUAUUUCAACGGCUAGUUGACUCUUCAGUUACUUUCUAUCCAUUGGAAGCAUUAAUGAGGCACUUUUUUAUCCUAUAUAAAUAGUGGUUGGUCAAAUAUUUCAAAUAACUUUUACACAUAGAGCAUACAAAAGAUCUAGAGUAGUUUUAGUGAGAAAACACUCUCCAAAGAAGAUUUGUAGUCUUAGUGGUGUGAGAUUCAUUGUAAACUUUUCAUUUGUGAGUGAAUACUUCAUGAGUGUAGUUCUGUGAGGGUUGUCCUAAGGGAUAGUAAAACUUCCUAACUUGACCGAGUGGAGAUCGGAGCAAGGAGGAAGUGAACCUUCCUUUGUACACAAAAGUGAUUGUAAUUCAUCAAUUUGAAGAAGUUUGUUCUAUAAAUUGAUCUACAAGCUCAAGAGCAAUUGGGUAAUCAAUUGGUUUGCUAUUCUUUCCUUCUUAUUUACUUAUUGUUACGUUUGUGAUCUUUGAAUUGCUUAUCUCUUCUACUUCUCUCAAGUGAUUUUGUUCAUUCAUUGAUUGACUCAAUGUGUGAUCACUUAGAAAAGAGGGUAAAUUUUAUAUUGAGCAAAAAGGUGUCUCAUCACUUGAUUAGGUUUUUAAUCAACCUAAUUCACCCCCUCUUAGGUUGUCUUCGGGCCUUUCAUAUCGAUUUGGCUCCCAAGUGACGUUAUAUCAUUUCAUAUUGAAUAAGUUAUUAUAUUGUAAAUUAUACAAUGAUUUGUCCUGAUUUUAAUUGUUUGUUAAUAUGUUAUUAUGUUGAAACUAUGGAUUUAUGUCGUUUAUUGAUUGUUUCUUUUCUGAGAACCUCACUGGGCGUAAUGUCAACCUUUAGUUUGUUUUCCUUACGGGAUAUGAGAGCGAAAGAAGUUGAGAUUAAUGAUAGAUCGAAUCCAAAGUCUCUAUUUGGUAUUUAUUGUAGACAAACUUGUACUAUGAGAAUUAGUGGAUAAAUUCUUACUUUAAUCCUAUUGGUUUGUAUAUAAGUGUGAAUGUGAGAACCCGUAAAUUUCUUGAUUUCUAGGCCUUAUUUUAAUUAUUUGCACGCCUUUUAUGCAUUUUCUUUAUUAGGAAAAAUUUUCUAAAUAAUUUUUAUGAGUAAAUAUAGUUUUUAGAUGAUUUUUCUAAUACCGGUUAGUUUUUGAGAAAUUAAGAGCAUAUACCGGACGUGGGACCCGCUAGUGCGGAAAGUUCGAUAAAAUUCGGCCAAUUAGAUUAAGUUUGGGAUACUGGGAUUAAUUUACUAGGUACUAAGAGAUAAUUAGAGAUUGUUAUAUGGAUGAGAGUGGAGAGACAAAAGGAUAACCAUGUAUUAAUUAUAGUGACAACUGUCACUUGGAGAACUAGUCUUACUUUUGACCACUAUUCAUUACUUUACCAAAUAAAUCAAAAAUUGACCCAAAAAUCACUCAAAAUUUCAAGCUCAUGGCCGGCCCUCUCUAAGGGAAAAAGAAAAGAAAACUCUCCACUUUCUUAGCCCCAAUCUUGUUCAAUCUUCAAUUCCAACCGUUUAAUCUUGAAUUUACUCCAUAAAACCUCUUAGUUUAGUGGUAUUAAGGUUGGUUGUGAAGUGGUUUGGAGGAGCAAGGUGCUAAAUUGGGUCUUUUUUUGGGUUUGCAAGGUAUGUGACCAAGGAACCUUCCCUUUGAUCCUAUUAAUGCUCAAUUGGUACCUUUUGUGAGUUAAAGAGAUAAUUUUAGGUGUUAUUUUGUGACUUUUGGUUGAAAUUGGUGAAGUUUUAUAUUUAUUUGGGAUUUUUCUAUUUUCAUAUGAUUAAUAUUGUGUGGCCAUGGAUGAUGGUUGGGAAUGGUUUAGAAUGAAGCCUUGGUGUGUAAAUUGUAGCUAUUUGCGGAAAAUUUCCGCUUUGAACCGAAAUUUCCAGGUUAGGGUUCCAAUUUUUCACUAUUCUGCCCGGCACUGUUGGAUCUAGUUAUAGGUCGAAUUAGCCUUAGGUUAAAACAUGAAAGUUGUAGGGAAUGAUGUUUUAUAGUUGAAUGCAAAAUUUCAGCCCAAUCGGAGCAAUGUAACCUGUGAAAAGACCGAAAUACCCCUGUUGCCCUGUUUCUACCCAAACAUGCUAAUCAGCUUCUGUAAUUGGUUGUUUUGACCAGGAAUACUACUGAUUUGGUUGUCGAUAUCUUCUUAAGACUUAUAGCCUUGUGGCUUAGCUUUAAAAUGGCUUUGAAAUCACUUGAAUUGGAGUUGUAUAUGCUGAGAUAUGACUGAAUGAAUCAGGACUGCCACAGUAAACUUCGAAUUGGAAAAUCUGGGAUUGUUUUGGUAAAUUUGACCUAGAAACAUUGUAAACUGGACUGAGUGGCCUUCUUCAACAUUGUAGGCCUUCCUAUUAGCUUCGAAACGGUGUAUCUUGUACAUCCAUCCGAUAAUCGUAGUGCCGGUUGUGUCCAAUACGCUUAAUGACGUUAAAACUGUUUUUAGGUCUUAGAGCUUAACUCUCAUUUCCGGACUUUCCCUAGCUUACUUUAAUACUUAUACGUUCUAAUGGAGCCUUAUUUUUGGUAGUAUAUGGAAUUGGUUUAUGACUUGUAAUCGAGUCUUAUUGUGCUUGUUUGAAUAUUUUAGGGCGUGACGGUGAUUAAAGACGCUCUUUGGGCGGAAGUUUAUGAAAUUUCACUUGCUUGCUUGGUGAGUGUACUACUCACUUGCUUGUUACUGUGUGGCUUUGUUAUAUUUGAACUUGGAAUUUCACUGACCUCUCUUACUCUAUUGCGUUUUUGGUAACAACGCAGUCCAAAUCUGAUUACAAUAUUAUUUUCAUGUGUGAGAAGGUAUUUUUAUUCCAUGGAUGCCCCUUUGGUCCUUGUAUUGGUAGAAGAUUGAAAGAAGAAUAAAUUAUUAGAAUGAUUACUAAAGUUGAGGGGUUAUAAGUACAAAAAAAAACGGUUGUAAGCACCAGAUGUGUCAGGAAAAAUGCCGAGUUUCACAAAUUUUAAGUCAACUAGUAGGUUAUCUAUUUAACAUAAAAUAAGUAAGUAAUUAAACUAAUUAAAUAGAAGAGAGAGAGAACCAAUUAAAUGCAAGAAAGUCGUAAUAGAGGAAACGUAUACAAAACGAAUAUUAGUAUAUCACCUUUUAAAUUUUACUCACAUAAACUAAUAGACAAUUCCAUAAGCUGGUUGGUGAAUAACAGAAAUUUAAUAUCUAAUGAAGGUGAUUAAAAAAUUAUUACUGCUAGGCGCCAAUUUUUGAAAGUUAAAUUUAUGUAUUUAACAUAAAUUUAAUAUGUGAAAGUUAAAAAAAAAGAAAACGAAAUAGCGCGUAACAUACCAGCUCUAUAUGGGAAACAUUGUAUCAACAUUUUAUGGGAAACAUAAGAGCUCUUUAUGCCAUUUACCCCACUUGGCGAAUAAACACCAGCUCUUUACGCCUCUUCUCAAUUAAUGGGUUCCAGUUAGGACGGUCGUGGCAGCAUACGAGGAGUCAGUCUGGCUUCGGUAUAUGUAUCGGGCGCGACCUUUUGGUUGCCAUUUACCCCGCCCGACCUGUCUGUCAAAUCUGUGCUACCGACUUCUAGAAGCUGGUUGACGACCACAGGUACGAACUAACCCUCCUUGUUUAUCACUGUGGAACCUCCUCUGCUCUGCGAUGAACGUCCGUAAAUUGACGAUGUACGUGUAGUUCAGGACUGUUCAUGUUUCCUUGCUAUCGGUGUAUUGUUACGGUUCGGAUGAAUUAAACGUAUUGACACAUACGUUGGUCGGUUUGUAAAAAUGUUUCGGAUGACAGUUUUUUGACGAUAGAAUGUUGCGUCGUUUGCAGGAGAAGUCGCCACUUUCCCAUUUGUGUUCGUUUAUCGCUACGGUUAGUCGGAUGUCCAGAAAUUCGGGAUAUUACACCUGAUCAAUCAUUAUUGGAUUUUAUGAGGAAGUUGUUGUUGUUUGAAGUUUACUCCAUUCUUGGGGCUUUCAGGGAUUCACUCAACUGUGCCCAGUAAAAGGAGUUAACCGGUCAUGGCCAACGAACAAAAAGGGCUUUCAGGAACCUCCAUCCUCUCCCUUCCGACCGAGGUGCUUGCACGUGUCGCAUCUUCUUCAUCAACUGAUCUUUUCCGGGCAAAACUGUGGUUCGUUCUGCUAUUGAUGAUACAAACAGGAAGAGGCGAAUUCUGUUCCAUUCUGUGAUUUUCGUUUAGGUUAAUGGAUCAUUUCUCUUAUUGUGCAGCUGUAAGUUGCUUAACGAAGUUUCGGACGCAGACAUCGUUUACCAGCGGGUGUCACUCGCCAAGUUCGAACUCGUUCCGUGGCACAAAACCACAAAGUGUCGAGCUUCUUGAAGAAGUGUAGACAAUGCAAAAAUCCAGAUGCACUGUAUCGAAAAGGAGUGAUAAGCAUCGGGCCGAUAAAACUCAUUCCCUUGAAUAUUCUACCUUUUCAAUUGAAGUUGGUAAUGAACAACCCCCAGUCCUGUACAGUAUAAGUCCUGGUCAAUGUCUUUGGCAAGUUGGGUUUUGAUUAGGAACGUAAGACUCAAUAGUUAUGGGAAAAUUCGGUAAUGUUUUAAAUGGAAUAGUUGUCAACUAACAUUCCAUAAGCAUACUUGAGUUACAAAAUUUCUAGACUAAGCUCACAUCAUGUCUUUCAUUUGAACUUCAUUGUGAUUCUGGUCAGCAUACUUCACCCCCAAAAGAUUGGCUUACAACACGUUACUGCAGCUUUGGGCCCAGUAAAUAACUGUUGUCCCGUCGCCACUGUUCCACCUGCACUUUUUAACUUUUUCGUUACUAAGUUUGUAAGCAAGACUGUAAUAUCAACCUUGGCACUGCUUAGGUUGAUUUCUUUACGGACAAGCAUGGGGACUCAGCAUCGGAAUGCUUGGAAGAAGCUGCUAAUUCAGGCCAUGCCGAUGCUGCAUAUGCGUUGGGAAUAAUUUACAUCUUUGUUGGUGGGGACGAGUUAAAGCGCAAAGGUAUGAGCCUGCUGAGCGGGAUGAAGAAAUCCGGAAUUCUGAAAGGCAGAGUGAAACUUUGCCGUGACAAUUUGCGAGCGCUACUGAGGAUGAUAUGGGUCAAGAAUCCUGUGUUUGCAAACCCAACGCCCAUUUGUUGUGCCAUGACACAUGAGAGGAAAACAUCUUCAUGGCCUAUGGAUGCGGAUGACGUGGAGGAGAGUACAUGUGAAGGCUGCGCUUGCGAUGAAGAAAUUGGAGCAAUUUGUGCUGCCCUACCUUAUCGUUAGUGUGUAAGAUUGAAUGUUGAGAACUCCUUUGACUGCACAAAUUUUUCACCAUCGUGUACAAAUUAAUUUUCACCAGCUAAAUAGCUUAUCUUGGCCCUUUUAUGUUCUGUAUUUGAUCGAAUCAUUAAUGAAGUUAGUAUACGAUUUUCUAAAAAUCCAGUGCGUUAACAAAACAUUAGCACACUGAAAUACGAUUCGAUAAUGUUUUUCAGGGUCGUCGGAGGAGAUUGGGCGGUGGUCUGCAGGGCUCGUUACCCUCUAUAUUUAGCAAUGUACAUAUACACGCUCGAAGUUCCUUCAGUACAAAACCACAUACAUAUGCAAACUCAACAAAACGCCGUUGUAGACAAACGUGUAUGAAAUGUAAGAAUAAAGGAUGAUAGUUAGAAGGUAAAGAGGGAACUCCUCAGCAGUGAUCUACGUGAUGGAUACUGUACUGAAGUGAGAAGUUUACUAACUACAUACGAAAUGGUGCUAGAUUAGAUAUUGCAAAAAAAAUUACUUAUGGAGGAAAGCCAUAGAGAGCUUGUCUUUUAAGAGAAUGAGAUACUAAUUAGAAAUGCGACCAUGAUUUGAUUUAUGAAAUUAUCAAAAAAAAUUUAGAAUGAUUUUGUCAAUAUAAUUAAUUAAUUAUUAUAUAUAUUCAUAUAAUGCAUUAUAUAAUUAUGCAAAUAUAUUAUAUGGUACGAAGUAUAGUAUAUAUUUAUUAUGAUGUUUAGUUUAGUAUUAGUAUACGUAUAAGUAUUAGGAAUCAUUAUAAUUAUAUAAUAUUUUAUUACUAUAUGCACAUAUAUAUUAUAAUUAUAUGCACAUAUAAAAUACAUUUAUAAAUAUAUAUAAAUAGUAAUAUGUAAAUAUAUAUUAUAAAAAUAUUUAUAAUAUACAUUUAUAAAAAUAUUAAUUAAUUUAUAAUAUACUUUAUAGUCAUAUAAUAUAUUAGUAUAAUUAUACAAUGCAACACAUAAAUAUAUAUAAUAAAGGCUUAAUUAAAAAAAAUGCAUUCUAAAUUUUCUUUGGAUAAUUUGAUAAUCCAAAUCGUGGUCCCAGUCUGUAAAGUAGCACUUUCUCGUAAAAGACCAGCUCUAUAUGGCCUUCCUCCAUUAUAAUAACAGAGUACCCUUUUUUCCAUAAAUAAUUAUAAUUAUCCAGUAAAAUAAGAAAAAAAUUGAUUUACUUUAAUUGACCAACUCUUUAUGGCUUGUCUCCAUUAUAAGAACAGAGUACCCUUUUUUCCAUAACUAAAUUUAUUUAUCGGAUAAAGAGGAAAAAUGAACUCGCUUUUCAAUAAAAGACCAGCUCUUUAUGGCUCUCCUUUAUUAUAAGAAAAGAGUACCCAUUUUUUCGUAAACAAAUGCCCUAAUCGGAUUGAAAUGAAAAUAAACAAGUUUUUCAAUAAAACGCUAGCUUUUUGGCUAUCGUCCAUAAAUUAUCCAAUGUCUGAUUUUUCCAUAAUGUAAUUCAGGGGAGGUUUCUGAAAGUAUCCCAAAAAACAUGUUGUGUAUAUAAUAUUAAUAAAUUAUAUAAAUAGAAAAUUACAUUUGUUAUUAUGAAUAGAUUGUAAUCUGCUGCCUGUAAAUUGUCAAUUGCGCAUAAACCGCUUCGGAAUAAUCUAUCCAAUACCGAAUCGGGUUGAUUUUCGUUUGACUAAAUCGGGUUUGCCUCCCUCCACGCCCGUCCCUGCCUGAUCAAUUAUCCCACAAAAAGUUUGUCUUUCUUGAACUUCUCAUCGUUUCUCCUGUUAAGCCCAUCAAACGCCGCGGGUGUUGUGUGAACACACUGAACAGCUUCGGUUUAAACUUUCCCCCCUUCUGAAAUUUGGAACAUUUCGAACAGUUUUAGGCGGCAAGGUCCAAAUAAAUCGGAUUUAUCGCGUUCGCUUCCUCUGUUGCUCAAAGUACUCAACACUUGAAUCGCAUCCCGAAGCAAGCAUAGCCAGUAACAUGGAGGCCUGUAUGAGUCUUCCAGUGUAUGCAGGCAUGUGGGUCGACGUAGAAGCUCUCGCUGGUGAGUGUAUCGAUAUCACGGAAUAUCUUAAUGCCCAAAAUUUGUUAAAUUUGCUGGCACAUAAUGACAAGUGCUAUGCUGCGAUGGUUAGGGAAUUCUAUGCUAACUGUAGGGCAAAUAAGCAGAAGUCUGUUCUGCGUUCAAUGCUUAGGAAUGUACACAUGGAAUUGUCUACUGAGGUUUUGUGUUCAGAGUUUGGAUUGGUUGACAGUGGAUACACUGUUGACUAUAAACGGAUUAACGCAAAGAAUGUAGAUAAGGUUGUGUGUGAAGGGGUACAAUGACCUAGAAUUUCUUGGAGAGAUUAGGCAAAAUGGUGACAGAGUUAUGAACAUGGGGAAGAAAACUAAGUUUUAUGGGCCGUAUAUGAAAGUGUUGCCACGACUGUUACAUCUGAUAAUAACUCAUAACAUUUUACCCAAAGCCGGAAGUAUCACUUCCGUUAGUGCAUUAGAAAGAGUUAUAUUGUGACAUAUGUUACACAAACAACCCGUCAACAUAGGCAAUUUGAUCAUUGCAACGAUGCUCAACAGGAUUAGGAAGAUUAAGAGCAGGGAGAAUAAGAGAACACAUCUCCCUUUUGGUAUGUUGCUGACCAGGCUCUUUAGGCGCUUUAAUGUGCCAUUCUUGGCUGACCACGUUGACAAAGGAUUUUAUGCCCAAAAAAUAGAAGUAUCGUACUUCAAAAAACUGGCAUUCAAAGCUGAAGAUGGUGGUGGAUGUGGAAGAAAUCCUAUACCUCUUAUGCUGUCAUUGGUCAGACUGGGGACGCGAAUAGAAAAGUUGAAGAAAUAAAAGAGAUGGAUAAGGGGGGAAGUGUGCUGGGGUAGAGGUGAGGCCGGUUGUGGGAGAAAAGGCACACCUUGUAGAUGUUGUCUUACUAUCUGAACAAACCAGAAAAGGGGCAAGUGUAUGUGACAAUGUUAUUUUACUCCUUUUUGUUUCUUCUUCUCGAUGGCAACACAGGAGCAUAACCCAAUAUUUGUAUGACUAGGUUGUGGAUAAAGUGACACAAAUUUUACAACGGGUUGGUGCCAGCGAAGUGAAGGACUGCAGAUUUGAGGAAUUGCCAUUUCUACGAGAUGUAAGACAUGCUCUUGCGCUCUCCUGUAAUCCCCUUUAUAUAUGCUAAUACCUUUAUUGUCCAGUGUCUACCACAAGCGUCCGGCGUAGCACCUGAUGAAUUGAAAGAAGCCGUAUGCUUUCAUGUCAGACAACUCGUCCGCAGAUGUAUGUUAAAAUAUCGGUACUGUCAAUGGCUAACACUGAUCUCGCUUUCAUCUGUUUAUUGUACUCAUGUCAAUCAUUGUUCACAGCUGUGUCAAUACACUAGAUAGGCAGCAUCUCUUUGAUAUUACAAGAGAAGAACUGAGCAAGUGAUGCUUCUGGAGACAUGUCUCAGUGACAGAGUAAGUUUUUUAUGCGAUUGCACAGGCCUACCUUGUUCACUAAUCUCGCUAAAAAUAAUAACUCAAUGUUGAAUGUUUGAAUUUGUUCCAUUCUGUGAAGGUUGUGACCCAGUACCUUCACUUACUCCAGAAAGAAUAUAAGCAAUUUGUUUUCUUCAAUCCUAUGUUUUGGGUACGUAACGAAAAUUAUUGUAUGUGCUGUUGUGUCUUGCAAAUGUGGACCUAAUACUUGCUUCUCAAUCACUUCGUUGUAGCUGAAAUGCGUGUUAGACUAUCCAUGCAUAUCUCCCGCAACCAAAAAAUUCGUUGAUCAGAGCAAUGACGACUCCAUGACAAAUCCUGAAAAGGUAAACAUUAGCUAUCAUUCUCGCCUUUACAUUCUUAUACAAUAUGAGUAGCAGCUGCAUGUUAGUGGAAUUGGAUUCAGCCUAACAUGGCCUUAGCUUUUAACACAUUCAACAUUGCUUGUUGUAUGCGAUUGCAGAUUUUUUUCCCAAUCGUUUAUUCAAAUCAUUGGUUGCUCAUGAUUGCACAUGUCAAGGACAAACAAGUGUACAUUGUUGAUUCUAUAGACAAUUACAAAACCUUCUACCAAGGUUUGAUGCAAUCUAUGGUGAGUAAACUUCAAAAGCGUACCUUAGCUUCAUUUCCGAAGAAGGUAACAUAUUUCUAACAUUCGAUACUUGCUAUAUUUAUUUCCUUUUUUAGGAAUGGAUUUUGAUGAAAAUUUUCCACGAAAAUCAACCCUGGACAUUUAAUCUUGUAAAACACAAACUAAAACAGAGACAGGCGAGUUGCGGGGUUUUCACUUUGAAGUUUGCGCAAUGUUGGGCAAAGGGUGUCGGCCACAAUUUGUAAGUGCACAAAUGGACAACCCCUUGUGGCAAGCUCACUCUAUUGCGUCUGACAUUGUUUCUGAAUGUAUGUACAGCUUGAUGUUGUCAUUGCUAGAAAAUUUAUUGCCUGGGAGAUCGCUUUGGGGAAACUUGCGGACCCGUUCGCUUAUGCUGCUUGCCUGAUAGAAAAUAAACAGGCACAUGAGGCUGUAACCAGAGGAGAUUUGCAAGAUGAUGCUACUAAGGAUGUGGGGCAUCAGGAAACAGGGAACGGUACAUUAUGUCUCGCCUUUACUGUAAUUGGUUCGUUGCAUAUGAAGGCAAUAUUAAAUUUUAAAUUCUUUAGGGCUGUAGCAAAUUAUUGGUACGAAAUUAAUCAUUGUAUAAAGAAACAUAAAAAGUGUAUGUACCUCUGUGCCAAUGUAUCUCCUCGUGACCAUUGCAUUCACAAAUUGCUUUUCUACUCCAGUAUUCCAUUAUUGCAGGGCUGCUGCUCACAAAUUUGUCAUAAAUUCUCGACCACAGAACUUUGCUUUACACUUUCAAUUCCUCUUGUUUGAUUUCGCAUUAUGACAUUCAAAUUGGAUCUCACAUGCAAAAUUCAUGUGCUGAAAUGCUGUAUGCCUUCAAUUUUUCCCCAGCCGAGGUACAAGGGUGAAAACAAGCCCGCCAGAACUUGCAUCCGCCAAUGAUUCAAAGAAGAAGUUCUUAUUCUUGAUUUGAAUGGAGUGCUUCUGGGCAGUGCAUUUACAAGGAUGACCAGAAAUCGGGACUUUAAUUUCAGACCACGUUGCUUUGAAGUUUUGCAGGUCUGUCUGUCAUAUUUUGAGGUGGCUGUUUGGUCAUCAAAGCUAAGGUAUCCGCCAACCUAUAUUUGAAUUACUUCAUUAACUAGAACGUCCACAAGUUUUUCUGUUAUGUUCUGAAUUCAAGACAGUUGUGCUUUCUGCAGCCACAACAUUCAACCAGUGUUGGACAGUCUAUCCAAAAAAAUGAAUGAACGUUUGGAGCAGAGACUGUUAUUUGUUUGGGUGAGAUGUCAUUCAUAAAUUACUUCGAUUGUGUGUAGUCAGUCCAUGUGUAAGACUUCUGAUAAAUGAAAGUCGGAAACAAUCAAUAUUGCGCAGGAUCAGUCGCGGUGCACUAUGACACAAACCAGCCUUAGGGAAAAUCCAGACAAACCGGUGAUGUUUAAGGACCUGAAACAUGUGUGGGGAGAAUAUAAGUCGUACAACAACUCUAACACGAUAUUAGUCGAUGAUUCUCCGUAUAAAUCCUUCCUUAAUUCUGUAAGUGCCCAUACCCACUGAUCGUUAUGUUGUAUAUGUUCCGUAUGCACAAACAACAUGAUCAGGGCUAACUGUUUCCAUAUUACUCAUUCUUCAGCCGUACAAUGCCAUCUUCCCCACCUCUUAUACAUGUUACACUGUAGAAGACAAUUAUUUGGGUAAGACGCGGUUCGUGAUGCAUUGAAAUGUGGCUUUUGCUACGGUAAGCACAGGGUGAAAGAUUGGCCUGACACAAAACUUAUUUGCAGAUCCUGAAGGAGAUUUUGUACGACACCUGAAGAUUGGCCAGUGCUGAUAAUGUACAAGAUUUCAUUAAGCGAAACCGUUUUGGACAAUCACCCGUAACAGAAGGCAGUGUGGAGUGAAACUUUUAUGUUAAUGUUGUCAGCAAGCUUGGACUGCAGAACACAGCAAAGCAAGUGACGCGCAAACGGGAAGCCCCAAACAGAUAUUAUCCGGAGGUAUCCAUUGCAUUCAUGUUCAGGAAUAUGUUCACAAUAGUUCAACACCUCGUUAUGAUAGCUAAAAUUGCGUCUGGUCAUAUGCACAGACCAAGAAAAAAGGAAAAUUUGAAAGCAUGAGGAAGAUCAGUGUUCACUAUACGGAAGCUUCUCCAAACCAUUGGAGUAGAGAACCUCUCUUCUGAUGGGACACACAAGCAAAACUUUUGUGCUUUAGUGAGACACUGGGCCUGUCUAAUUCAUAUAUGUUGGUACUACUUUCUUCCCUUACUUGUGUUUUUUGUUUGCAAAGGCCCGUCGCUGAGUUUUUUUAUGCAAAUUCUAAAAAUGUCGAAGUUUGGAAUGACGUAUGUUGUCUGCAGGUUUCGGAAUGCACAUGAGGAAAAAUUAUCAGAUAAUGCCUGUAAUUGCUGUCAAAUGCAGGAUGCGUCAGCCAUAUACUCCUGCUACAAACGUUGGCAUCUUGAACUAUUUGCCCAAUUUUACUCAAAUGUUAACCUUCACCUCCUUGAGAUUCCACAUACAUAUUUAUAAAUGUAUAUUAUAUGUGCAUUUAUAUUUAUAAUAUAUAUGUGUAUGUAGUAAUAAUAUAUUAUAUAAUUAUACUUAUAUUUGUUAUUACAAAUAUACUAAUAUAUACUAAAAAUUAUACUUAUUAAUAUAUAAUAUUCUCUAUAAUUAUCAAAAAUAUUAGUACAACUAUACAAUGUAUUAUAUAAAUAUAUAUUAUAAUUAUUUAUAUAAAUAAAUUUACUAAUUCUAAAUUUUUUGGGAUAAUUUCAUAAACCAAAUCGCGGUCACUUCUGUAAUGUAUCACUUUCCAUAAAAGACCAGCUCUUUAUGACCUUCCUCCAUUAUAUUCGCAAAGCACCCAUUUUUCCAUUAAUAGAUUUAUUUAUCGAUAAAAUAUAUAAUAACUCGUUUUCCAAUAAAACCCAGCUGUUUAUGGCUUUUCUCCAAUAUAAGAACAGAGUACCCUUUUCCAUAAAAAAUUUAUUUAUCGAAUAAAAUUAAAAUAAAUCAGUUGUCUACUAAAACACCAGCUCUUUAUGGCUUUCCUCAAAAUGAGUAAACAGAGUACCCAUUUUCCCAUACGCUAAUUCAGGGGAGGUUUGUGAAAUUAUCCGUAUAAUAUAUAUGUGUAUAUAAUAUUAAUAAAUUAUAUAAUUAUAAUUAUAUAAAAUAUUAGUUAUGGGUGAAGAACGGAACAAGAGAAUUACGGGUGAAUUAUAGGUGAAGAACGGAAAAUAUUAGUUAUUGGUGAAUUAUGGGUGAAGAACGGAAGAAAGCCCAGUUUUCUGAUUUCUCAACAUGCUGGAAGUUGAGACAGUACAUGACACAGGGAGCUUUGCAGUGCAUUUACAAAUUUAUUUUAGGAUAUAGUGGGAAUAAUGAAUUCUUGUAUCGGACGACAAAAUAUAGUUAAAGGCGUUGUCGAAUACAAAUUCAUUUAUCGAAAAGCGAAAAAAUACACCCGUUGUUCAUAAAAAGGGUUUCUUCCGUUAAACUGACACAGUCCCAACGUGCAUCAAAUAGAAAUGUUUAUCGGAUGAAAUAUAGUUAAAGCGUUGUUGAAUAAAGAUCAGCUUCUUUAUGGCUUGCGACCGUGUUACACUGAGAAAGUAUCCAGGGGCCUUAAACACAGAUGUAUUUACCGGCUGAAAUGUACUUAAACCGUUGUCGAAUACAAGAGCAGCUCUUUAUGGCUUUCUCCGUUUUAAGUACGAGGUAACCAUUUUCCGUUAAACAAAUAUUCAUUUAUCGGCUACGUGUAAAUUAAACCCCUUUUCCAAUAAAACCCGGCUCUUUAUCGAUUUCCUCCACUAUCACAACAGAGUACCAAUAUCCAUACUUACUAAUUCACUUAUCGGAUAAAAAUGUAUGGCUAAUUUAUUUGUUCGAUAAAAUCGGAUCGAUAUUAUACUUGAGUGUCAUUUACCCUUUAGCAUAGAAUGCAAGCAAGAAACUAACCUAUUGCAGGUUUAAACUCCGUGUUAAGACAAAUUGUUUCGAAUACGUCAAGACACCUAAUUCAUAAACUCUCGCGAAACAUAAAUUUAAACGCGUUAAUUUUAAUUACCACAAAUCAAAUAUUUCAAUCCUUUUUCAUUUAUUUCUAAUGACUGCAUACCAUGGAGCACUGUACUAGUCAUAACCAACCACAAAUCUUCUCUUAACUCUCGACCACAUGAAGAUUGUGGUACUCGUUAUCCCAUGCCAAGGUCUCCCACACCACCGCCGCGAGUUUGCUCGGUUGAACUUUGCUUUCCUUCCUCUAAUGAAACUCAUAGAUACACACCAACCGCUUGCCUUACUAUGGCAGUUUUUUGGACUCUCUGUCUCGUCUUCUACAUUUUAGGCUACGACGACGUCCAUCCGACUAUGACAGCCCCUAUUACAUGGCCCUUUCCACAAAAUGCCGCUACUUUGUUUCUUAUCUUGCCACCUUCAUCCAACCUCAACUUUAUUCAUCUCCAACCUCCUGUGCGUGUUCGCUUUCCGCAUAAUUUGAUGACGGACAACGUUGGCAUCAUCCAGAACCAAAGACAGUGCUAUUUUUGCGCCGCUCCUGCUCCGAAUUGUACUGCACCGAUAAAUUUGUUACUAUCUCCAUCGUUCGCAACCAAUGCAAGCAACACACUUACUGUUAAAGCACACGACGCCAUUCCUUUUUCCUUACCUGAUUCCAUUUCCAGCUUCAAUUCCACUUGAUAACAUAUCCAUGUACUUCAGCAUGAAUAACCCACAAUCCCACCUGCAUUACAAACCAUAACCACAAAUUUAGACAACCGUUGCUGAACUAUGAAAAAACUUCCAAACCUAUGCACAUGCAACUUACGCAUUCCGUUGCUGUGGACAUGUGGCUGCAGCUUUUAUUUUGUACAGCCAAAGGCAUGACGAAUACUGCCCCUCCAAACCAUAAGUCAGCGCUGCUUCCAACCUUUCAAUCUGAGGGCCAUACAAGAAAAACAUAUGCAAUUUUAAGUUUACUGCCACCAAUUGUAAAGGUGAUGGUCGUGUUCAUGAAAUGUUUGACAAACCAACUUAGUUUACCAUGUCUCCACGGAGCUGCGCCUAUUCAUAUCCGUUUGCUCGUGUCCUCUCAUUGAAUCAUAAAUUAAUACUUCUUCGCUUCCCAUGUCCACCACACACAUAUACCAAUGCUCGUCGUGCCACAUUGGCACGAAUAUCUGAAGCAUAGCAGCGGUUAGUUAGUCAUCAUCAUGGGAAUCUGUAUCUAUUCCAUUAUGCUACAUAACAGGGCAGCUUCUCGUACCUUCUCACACUUUUUUAUAUUACCUCCUACUUUACAUUCCUGUAGAUAUGUACAGUACAGCUCGUCUGCUGAUUUGUUGAACUCCAAAAUCUCUUGCUACAACACGACAGUAAAAUAUGACAUUUUAAUAUGAAUGUACGUACUCACUCCCCCCAACUUUGGCCGAACACUUGUACCUGAAACCAAGUUGGCAUGAACCACCAUCGCAUUGACUGAUCUACAGCACGCCUUUGCUGCCUUGCUGUUUUCAUCGCACAAUAGCAAUUGAUUAUCUGCACCAAACUCAAGUCACAUCACUUCGUCCUCCAUGAAACAGUCCACAUAACACCACCCAAUUUCAAUCCCUCGAUUUACUCACAUCACAUGCCAUGGGUUUUUCAGGAAGCAAGGACCCCAUUGCAUCCCGACUUGCUGUCUGCCCCUUAAUUGACACCAGUACUUCCCUGUCAUUACAACAGGUACAUUAAUCUUUUCCCUAUGUGUAUUACGGUUUCAUAAUCUACAAACUUGAUAUCAUCAUUUUCAAUGACUCGAGUUAAAACGGCCAGAGUAGGUUGCUCUUCCUCACUAAUACAACCAGCAAUCACGGUUUCAAUGACUCAAUCGUUCCUUAGGGUCAUUGAGUUAGCCUAAGGCGGUUAUGUACUCACCAUAAGGGUCAUUGAGUUAUCAUUGUAGUUCCAUUCUCAAACUUCUGGAAUACUCAUUUUAUUCUAUAUGCAAGCAUGUUACCUACCCUUGCUUUUUAUAUAAGCAAGCAUGAUUGACAGCACACAAAUUGUAAGUUUUAUGCUCACUUGUAAACCAAUUUUAACUGCUUCCAAGAUUUUCGUUCCUAUGCCCUCUCCCCUAUGGGGAUAAUCAUACUACAUAUUUAGUCAACCUUAUAAUUGCAAAUACUUUUCUGUCCCCUUUCCCAUUGCAAUUUCAAAUAAGGAUAAAACAAAAUAGAACUGUUGAUUUAACAAAUCCAUGAUCCAGUACAUACCCUUGCGACAGCUGAGUGUCAAACAAGAACUUCAGUAUUUUUGCUCGUCCCUCACUCAAUUUUUCGCCGAUAGAUGCCAGCCUCGUUUCCUGCUACCACAAAAAUAUGUCAUCUUUCAUUGUCUAUAAUUUCCCAUACUUCAGUAAUUCUGGAACGUUGGAAUACUCACCUUUGCCAAUAAAGCAACCAUCUUCGUUUGACACUUGUUCAUCCCACUGCUAUCCAUCUGUACAUAAAACUACAAUUUAUACUUUACUUUUCUAAUGCUAGAAAUACCUUGGCACAAACCGAUGCAUACCUUUAUUCUUUUACCUUGCCUUCUGUUUUGUUUAUCUUCCCACACAGGCUUCUCCGUAUUGUCCAUCCUUAGUCUCUUUCUACUCCUCCACUUUGUAAUUUUCGAUGCACUCUUUUCACCCAUUACAGUACUAUUCGUAGUGACUCUAUCAUUUUCACUCCUGCUUUUGGACCUAACAUCUGGCGUUGUAGGACUAAAUUUAUGUAACUCACUCCCUCUUUUAACAUUACGCGCCAAUCGUCCUUCUGCCCACCCUCCACACCAAGUGCCCGGUUUGUUUUGCACACCCUUCCACUUUCAUACAUGCUCCUCAGCCUUUCAAAACGACAUUCAAUCAUUGCUUCCAUUCUACCAAUACUAUCCUUCACAUCUUUAUUACCACAUUCAAUUUCAAUCAGUUUCUUCAAUGUCUUCUCUACAGCUUAUGUUAUUGUAAAACUGCACAUUGCCCUGUCACUACAAGCCUUCAGUUUUGUACUACUAGUAACGUCACAAAAUGCAGAUUGCAAUUUCAACAACAAUUCACACGAAAGGAUUUUACAUUACCUGUUCCCCCUCAAAUAUGUGAUUCCUCCUCAAUAUUCGCACGCUUUCAUUAAUCUCGUACCUUCCCCAAAAUCUUAGCCUCGGCCCUCUCGGCUGGAACUUGCGAAACUCGUCCUCACCCUCGAUAUAGAAUCGUUCCAGAUAGUAAAUCUGCAGGGACAAAAACGCCUACCAUCAUUUACGGGUCUUUUCUAUCAAAGUUUAAUUUCAUUAUUCCAGCAAUUCCUAUCUCUAAUACAAAAUGGUGCGUCUUUCUUAUACCAUCAAGAAAAGUGCACAUCCCGCUAUUCCGUUGCCGUCUCUAUCACGGAUGCUCUUCACCAAAUUGUCAAGUAUGAAUUUCGACCAGUUCAAAUUUUCAUAUUCUCCGCUGUAGCCACUACAGCCACCAGAUCCCGGCUCACUGUGUCAUCCAAACUUGGUGCUAACAACCUACCAACAACAAACAGUACGAACUUCACUUUGAAUUCUAAGCCUUCGUUAUGCAAACUACAUAUACUAUGCCUCAAUUCCUCCACUACAAUUUCACCGCUAUUUAUUCUGAUAUUCAAUUCUCUUUCCAACUCUGUAUCCAUCUCUUGCCUUCGCUUUUCGCUUUCAAUAUCUUUCCCACGGCUGCUCAAGCCAAGUACACAUUCCACAUCCUCGCUGUCACCUGUAGACAGUGCCCAUGAACGUUCAGUGUCCUCCGAUCUACAUCAAAGUUAUCCACCAGCCACUUCAACAUCUCUUCGUCAACCUCUACUCCCUUCACAUUCAAAAUUGACCCGAAUCCAAACUCUCUGACAGCCUGCCGCUGCUCAUCCGAGAUCCAAUCCACCAUAUUCUUCACAGAAUGAGUUGAGUGGCUUACCAUUGUUUCCGCCGUCCGACGAAUGGCCUUCCUUUCACUGCUGCAACUUUUAUAAUUCGAAGGUGUUCCUCUCUCAUGCAUCAGCGAUACUACCAUUGUUUCCGCGUCCGACGAAUGGCCUUCGUUUCACUGCUGCAACUUCUAUAAUUGAAGGUGUUCCACUCUCAUGCAUCAGCGAUACUACAUUUUCGCUUUCUCCUUCACUGUCCCACUGCAUAUCCGAAGCAUCUAUUUCGGCUGCCAGCUCCAUAACAAAUCCCUAUCUCUGCUAUUCCGCUUGCUCCGGUUUUGGCGCUUCUUCCUUUCUAAUACGCCUACACUGUUUAGCUUAUCCAGUAAGCUUCGCGCCUUUUUUCCCUGCCGUACUUUCGCGUACAAACCCUCACUUUUUCGAUUGCUUAAUUUCGCCCCCUCCACAUUUCACAUGCGCGGUUGGAGUCCCCUUCAACGCCCAAUACAUCUUCCGGUUGCACAUCACAAAAUCCCUUUCCACGUGCCCGGCCAACACACUUCCCCUAUCGUUUGUGGCCCGAAAUGCUUGAAUGUCUUUUCGCUUAACUUUCCACACCUCUGUUUUGACAUCUAAACAUACCGCAGCAACAUCCCAUGUUGAAUGCUUAGAGCUUUUCUUUUCUUUCCUCGUAUGUCGUUUGUAGUGAGACAGAGGGUCACUUCGUGUGACUUUGCUAUUUUCUCCUGAUUGGAACGGAUUGAAUUCUCAAAUAUCAAUGACAAUGGCCGCAGCUUUAUCUUCAAUUUCGUGUGGGUUUUUCGCACCAAACAUGAACUAAUCUCUCCACUCUAGUCAAAGGACAACGGAGGCUCUGGUUCGCCUAAAAAUUGUGAGAUCGAUUUAAUUUAAUCUUUUUUAUUUAUUUAUUGGUAUUCGCAUAUCCCUUGAUUGCUAUGCUUAUGGUUAUUUAAUUAAUUGAUUGUCUUGGAUCCGGAUAAUUAAUUGAUUUGGUAACCUAUUGUCAAUUAGGGCAUUAAAUCCAUAAUUGUUUAAUUGCCCUGAAAUAAUGACAACUGGCACGACUAGAUUCGUGUCAGGGGGAUACGCGAGCUAAUUUGAAAUAACCCUGGUAGUGCGUUAUUUGGUUAGAAUAGGGCUCCUCUAAUACGUAAUGCAAUUGAAAAAUUAAAUCUUAUGGGUCUACCUAGGAUUAUUUCUUAAUUAGAGCAGUGAUUAACGGGCGUACCUUGAUCACCGACACAGUAAGGAGGGGUUGACUGUCAUCGCUUGUUUGGCAGUUAUAACCUAUUUAUCAGUAAAUAAUUGGAAUUGGUUUUGCAUCAAUGAUCAAUUAGGUGAACCAUUGCUGAAGUUAUUCCUUGGCUAGAUCCUUAGUUAUCACUCAUUAGAUUUUAGUAAAUUGUUAUUUAAUUUCUAGUUGGCUAUUUUAUUUUUAUUAUUUUACUUUUAGUUGAAUUGUUUAAAUUAUCACCCCUGAUAUAAAAACACCCCCAUUGUCACUGUGAAUUUGGAAAGGAACAAGUACUCCCAAUCCCUGUGGAUUCGACCCUACUUACCACUAUCUACAGAAAUUACUUUUAGUUUGAGCAGGUUUUAUUAUUACGCAGGCUUUGACAACCUGUCAGAAAUUUCAAGUGAAAUGAUUUUAAAACCUUUUGAAGCAUUUACAUUUGUCUACUUCUUGGAAGUUAUGGUACUCUGUAGUUUGCAAACUAAGACGCAUAUAAAAUGGACUUGCUUACGUUCGUUAUCUUCUAACUCAAAAUUUUCAGAUUCUGUGGAUAUUUCUAUACAUUUGUUAGGGACAAUCCAAUGAGAUUUCUGGUACCCGUAAUCAGCAUGAUCGCUAAAAACCAUGAAUGAAUGAGUUUUGGAGGAUCAAAUGCAACGGGUACGUGUUCGAAUUAUCUUUGUCCCUCAAUAGUUUUUUUUUUUUUUAUUAUUGGUAUAGGGAAAAGUUGGGUGGGUUCGAUACCAAUUACCAGUUAAAGUAUGCUUGUGGCAUCAUAAAACACUUGCAAGAAUUCUUACAAAUUGUUCACCAAUACACUUUUUACAUCUGUAAUAGAAUUCGUGGGUUACAAUGUGAUUCAACUUUUUGUCUCAGCCAAGCAGUUGCUUGACACAGCCAUCCUUGGUAAAUUUGGUUUAAAAAGUUGACAUUAAAAAAAAAAAAUUGGUAUCCAAUUUUCUUUUAAAUUGUCUGAAUUUUGACAUUGUCCUUUUUUUUGCCACAACAUAACAUUUUUAUAAUUUAAUUCAUCCUAUCUAUCUAUAAGGAGAGGAAGGCUGUUUGAAUUUUGACAUUAUUCACUUUUCAUUUUUUUUUCUGUGUAUUUAUUACGUAAUGCUGAUUGUAUCCGACAAUCUACAAUACAAGUCAAGAUAACGACUUCUGAAUAAAGUUGAAUCUUUCGUUAGAAAAGAGCGACCCAAAGCAAAAUAUCUUCUUUUCUUUUCUUUUCUUUUUUUUUUUUUUUUUUUAGGAAUGCAAAGCAUCUUUCGAGAAACGAAAGCCACAAAAGUGUAAAGUCUAUCUUUAUGCAUCCUAAUGAAUCUUCAUCAUGUGUCUAGAAAAGGGCUUCAAACGCAAAUACAUAAACAAAACAAAACAAAACGCUAUGGACGGUUGGUCCGCCACGGAAGGACAGUCUAUCAAUUACCUUGGUAGACCCAAAUUUAAAAAAUCUGGCAGAAUCUAGAUCAUUGGGCAUUUAAAAAUCGAUUUACUCGUGUGAGCCAUCGCAGAGUACAAGUGUGAGCCAUUACGGAGUUGUGAGGUCAACCUUGAAAAAAUUCAUAAAGCAAACAAGGAAAGUUUUGAAAAUUAUAAGCUGGUCAUGCAUUUACACUCCCUCAAAUUUCUUGGAUUUCCUUUCUCCUUUAUAUAGUCCCUCUAACUUUCAAAGUAAUUGCAUUUAUUGCCUUCUUGAACGUGAAUUCAUUCAAAAUGAUAUUAUAUGUUAUUUAAAUCAAAUAAAGAAUCUUCAAACUUAGUAAGAAAAUUUUUGCCUUAGAUGAUAAUGUAAUGUAUAUUAAAGUAAUUGCCCCUAACCUUUGGAUCUUGAUUUCACCGUUGCCUCUGUGAAGAAUAUACUAUAUGUACACAUAUAUUGUAUAACAAAAUAUAUGUAUUUAUUAUAGAAGUACACAUAAUAUUUGUGCCGUGAGCGUUGCGAGAAAUGUGAUAGAAACAUCACCAAGUGCAAUUGCAAUAUGAGACUCUUAGAGGCACCUGGUGAAGAUCGAUCUACCUUUUGUCAAAUUUUGUUCACAAAAUGUACAAUUACCAUAAUUGUUCAAGGGUCAAAUUUGGCCAAGAAAACAAAAACUUAAUUAAGAAAUCGCACAGUUUGUUUGUAAAGAACUAUUUAAAAAUCUGUAUGCUGUCCAAUAGUGGAACCACUGCCCCAAAACUCCCGGGUGACAAUGUGAAAUCUGAAGGCACUACGCACCCAGAGCCAGAAGACGCAUAAAGAAGCCAAAUGAAGCAACAAGAUGAUACUAGUCAAUAGAAUUGCUCAAGUACAAAAGUGAAUGAGAAAACACAGGGCGAGCACUUGAACCUUAUUUUGUUCUUUUUCUUUUUCUGUUUUUUGGACAGACUGCACAUGAAAUUGGGUAAGAAUGAUAAUUAUCUUUGAAUUGACGUGUCCUAAUGUCGCUCUAUGUUACCUAAAAUCUGAACCAGAACUAAAUUUUCUGGACUUUCUGUUGAUUUAUUUAGCCCGCACGGCAUUCGGCGUCGCACUCCUCCUUGAAACAACGUUGAAUUUGGGUGUAGUGUGGGAGGAUGAUAUGAAUUUUUGCUGCGUAGCAAUUUUGGAAGUAUAUUUAUACUUUUACAUUUUCUAAGAAGGAAUAUCUUGGAAACAUUAGAAAAUAAAAGACUGUCUAUACCAGAUAAGCAUCAGCACUAAAUUGCCAAAACUUUGCAGUUUUUGUACUAAAAUCUAGAAUCCCUUUAGAAGGCAAUUGGGAAAAAAAAAAAAGAAACAUAAAUAUAACCAAUAAUAUUUUGGAAAAAACUGCUUUCAAGUUCAAGAUGAUUUUAAAUUUAAAAAGCAGAAAGACAAUGACAUUCUUAGUGGAAUGCUUACUAGUUUUCCUAUUUUUUUGGGCAAAUUAUAUUUUACCCCCCUGUGGUUUACCCUUUUUUUACAUAACCCCUAUGAUUUCAAAAACUAUACAUAAUCGCCUCAUAGUUUGGAUUAAAGUGUCAAAGUAACGGAAAUAGUCACUCGUAAUAGAACUUCUAAAAAUGUCGAAAUUACUCUUAUAAAUACAUGACACAUUUACCCCGUAUGAUUUUUAUAUUUUACCAUAUAACUCCCUUAUAGUUUAAUAAUUUACCAUAUAACCCCCUUAUGAUUUUCAAAAUAUACACAUAACCCCCCCCCCGAUUAAUACAUAAAUUUCAACUUUACAUAAGGGUAUUUUUGACAUUUUAGGUGACGCCGUUAUGAAUGAUCAUUCCCGUCACUUUGAUACUUUAUUCCAAACCAUAAGGGGAUUAUGUAUAACUUUUGAAACCAUAGGGGGUUAUGUAAAAAAAAUGCUAAAUCACAGGGGGGUAAAGUGAAAUUUGCCCUAUUUUUUUUAGUAGCUUUUGGAGUUAAAAUGGACUAAGCUAUUCAGAUGGUCCUUAUUAUCCCCCUUCUGAGAAAGGAAAAGGAAAACUAUUAGCAAGAGACGAGUCAUUAAGCAGUUAUCAUUUUGGCAUCCAAUUUGUCAUUUUCCACAUUAAUCCUCACAGAAAGCAAAUUUGAAAUUUUACCAUAUACCAUACACCUAAUCUACCAUAUAUAUACAUAUACUAACAAUUAUUGUCCUCCAUUCCAUUUAUAUAUUUUCUCUAUUUAAUCUUGCCUAUUUUCUUUCUCUAUUUAAUCUUACCUAUUUUCUUUUGUAUUUAUUUACUUUCCCUAAUUAAUCUUACAUUCCUAAAAAUAUGUUAUCUGAAAUAUAUCUUAACAAAUACCCUAUAAGUAUCCAUUAGAUAGACCUCAAAAACAGAAAAGAAAGAAAAACUAUAAUCGUUUAAGGGCAAAAUGUUGUAAUGGCUCUCAAACUAUUACAAAAUUUAACUUUUGACCAUCCAACUAUUAAUUAAUAAGUUUUAGUCCUCCAACUAAUUAAAACAUGUAAUCAUAAACCUUCCAUCAACUUAAAUCGUUAUAUUUAAUAGAAAUAGCACGAUAUGCACAAUAGUAGCGCUCAAACUAUUAUAAAGUUCAACUUUUGACCCUCCAAUUAUUAAAUUAUAAUUUUUCCCCUCUAACUAAUUAAAGUGUAUAAUCUUAAGGGAAAAUCGCCAAUUUAGUCCUUAAAGUAUUUUACUAAAGCUGAUUUGGUCCCUCAACAUUUUAUCGCACGAAUUAAGUCCCUUAACUAAAAUUCUUGUGCCAAUUAAGGACCUAUAUGGUGUUGCCAUCCAAAACACAUGUAUCUGUACAGAAACAAAUGGCGAGGCAUGGGCUUUUUUGGAAGUACACAAUAGAAUUUCUACGGGAAGCAAAGACAUAACCCAUUUCGCAUCCAAAUUGGGGGAAACCUGUGAAAUUAGGGGUUUCCAAGACUGAACCCAUUUUGCAUCCAAAUAGCGGAAGAAAUUAGGGGUUUUCCACCGAUGCAAAUUGCCAGCAAUGGAGGGAGAUUUUUGCACAUGAAACUUGAGAAAGGACUUAAGGGUUGAACAGACUAAAAAAUACAUAACAAUAAACUCAACCAUAAGGUCAUCAGCCCAAGUUUCUACAGGACUUGCAUUUCUAUGAGUAUAUCUGCCAAACAAACAUCCAACAUAAGAUUGACAUACAUGAUUGCAUAAAAGCUUAUUAAUACCUUCAACCAGCUAGAAACCAACUCAUUUUACAGGCUAAUAAGCUUUUCAAAUGAUACUUGGACUCACAAAGAUUAGAAAAAAGAUCAAGAAUCCAUGAACUCAUAGUAUUAUCACUUUUCUUCCAAGAAAUUAAUAGUACAACAUAAACUAGUAAACAAAAGGGAUAAAUUUGUACCUUACUUUAUUCGUGUAUCCAGUGUACAUCUGUACAAAGGUUUUCACCAUCAUGAGUUCCUCUAGUUUUGCCUUUUGCCCGUAAUAGAAUAUGCAGACUCCAACUAUAAACAAUGCAUGCGCUCAAGGGUGCUCGCAUUGCAGCAAAGUAAGUGACGAAAAAAGCAUCGUGGACGCAUAAAUUGGAUGGCGGACAAACCGCUAUGGCCCAAACAGCACAACAGCAGUCGGCACAACUACCUUCUCUGAAUACUUUGCCAAAUGCAACGUGGAGUGGUACUGCAUAAACAAUGUCAACAUUUAUCAAAAUCCAAAUGCCCAAAUUACUCCAGCCACCAGGAACAAGAUGUAAUUCUGGCCCCUCAAAUGCUGCAAACCAAUGGCCAACCAUCACUCCAACACAGAACAAGAGUUUUUGCCACUUGGGCAGGGUAAUAUCCCACACGGGAUCAUGCUCUCUGGGAUAAUAAUCACCAUACAACCGCUUUCGGACACUCACAUUGAAGAAAAAGAAGUAGUGGUAAACAAAGAAAAACACAAUAGGCCAUCCUUCGAGAAAACCAUUGAAAUGUGCUGGGGGUACUAAAGUGAGCCAAGUAAAUGCUGCAGUAACAAUUGAAAGCUGCUGAAAAGCAUUGGCAUUGCCGUGUAAAUGCCGGUAAAAGCAGUAAAGACCGUAAAUUGCAAGACUAAUAGCUACCAUCCAAGGCCAAAACAACCAAGUCCAGCUAAAAUAUAUCCAGAAGAAAGGGCUGAAUAGCACAUUGAUCGUCCACUUUCAGGCUGCAACUGCAAUGGAGGAAGCCAAAGACCAUUUGCAUACCUCGAAUGGGGUUAAAUUUAAAAGGGUCGAUUUUAGUGACUCGAAAGAAACGUUUCUGAGGGCUAUUAUGACUGGGUUCGGAGAGUCUGGGCUUGUUUUUACAUCAAAAUAGGGAAAAUCGCCAAUUUUUUGGAAAACCCCUAAUUUCACAGGUUUCCCCCAAUUUAGAUGCGAAAUGGGUUCUGUCUUUGCUUCCCGUAGAAAUUUUAUUGUGUACUUCCAAAAAAGACCCCUGCCUCGCCGUUUGUUUCUAUACAUAUACAUGUGUUUUGGGUGGCGACACCGUAUAGGUCCUCAACUGGCACAAGAAUUUUAGUUAAGGGACUUAAUUCGUGCGAUAAAAUGUUGAGGGACCAAAUCGACUUUAGUAAAAUAGUUUGAGGACUAAAUUGGCGAUUUUCCCUAAUCCUAAUCCUUUCAUCAACUUAAGUCAUUAUGUUGAACAAAAACACCACUACACAUGUGACGGGUGCAUAAUCGAGGGGCGUUUUCAUCUUCAUAGGAAAUGUGCUAGGCUAAAAUUGUUUUAUCCCCGUUUGACUCAUAAACUAAUUUACCAAAUCUCCAAUUGUUGAACUUGAGCAAAAUCAAUGAAAACCAAAACCCUAAAUAGAGAAAUUUCAGCAAGGAUAGGCAAUUUGAAGAAAUUGAGUUGCUUUCAUUCGGAAUUCAACUCAUUUUUCAAUGUUGUUCCAAAUUUACUAGGUUCAUGUGCUUCUCUUAAUGACAUAAAUUCGGCAUACAAUUCAUUUUUUUGGAAUAUUCCAACAACUUUUGGUCCCUUUUCAAGCUUGAACUCUCUAAAUCUUUCAAAUAAUCAAUUCUCAACUUCAUAUCACUACAUCAAACCAUUUUGAUUUGUCAAACAAUAGGUUAGUUGGGUACAUUCCAAAUUCUUUAUCAAUAAAUGUUUCUAUUCGACAUAAUGACUUAAGUUGAUGAAAGAGUUAAGGUUAUACAUUUUAAUUAGUUCAGGGGUUAAAACUUAUCAAUUAAUAAUUGGAGGAUCAAAAGUUAAAUUUUGUAAUAGUUUAAAGGCCAUCAAGGCAUUUUGCCUAUCUCCUGAACUCUGUUAGAUAUAAUGACUCAAGUUGAUGAAAAGGUUAAAAUUAUAUGUUUUAAUUAGUUUGAGGGAUAAUAAUUAGAGGGCAAAAAGUUAAAUUUUAUAAUAGUUUGAGGGCUAGCGGGACAUUUUGCCCAUAGUUUAAUGAUUUAGUAGUUUCCAUUUUGGCAACUAUUUCGUCAAUUUCAAACAUUAAUACUCAUAAAAAGCAAAUUUGAAAUUCUAUGGACUUAGAGCCUUCCAGAAUUUUGCCUACCAUACCAAUUAAUGUACUGCUGCUACAACAAUACAGCCAAAAGUAGAAGCAUCUCAAUUGAUUGAAGUACUCCGCUGAUUGCACUUCCAUCUCCAGCAGAGGAACUAGUCAACCAAUCUUCCGCUUAUGGGCUCUUCAGGAGAUAGUAGUUACAAGACCCUUCCACAAAAUGAGAAAAAACCAGUUUUAACACACACACAGUCUCAGGUGAGAAAGGAAGCUAGUGAUGAGCUAGAAAGGAUAUUGAGUAACACAGAGGUACCAUUUAUCAAGCGGGUGGUACCAGCAACAUGGAUAGAGAUCAAGCUUCUUGUUCACUUGGCUGCUCCCGCAGUCGUUGUUUACAUGAUAAACUACCUCAUGUCUAUGCUCACACAAAUCUUUUCUGGCCAUCUUGGAAAUCUUGAAUAUGCAGCUGCUUCCUUGGUAACAAUGGAGUUCAAACUUUUGCCUAUGGUCUCAUGGUACUCUUGAUCUUUCCUCACUUUAUUUAUUUAUUUGUUAAACAUUAAAAAGAUUUAUUCCAUGGUACAAUCCAAUUUCUUCUUCUUCUUCUUCUUCGUGGGACAUGAACUCCUACCGGUUACAUAAAGGAAGGAAAAAUGCCAAAGGGUACUCCCAAAUUGCAUUUUACUUGUUUAUGUACUUGUUUGCAUUUAGUGUCUAUGGUGGUGGGAAAUUUUCAAGGACCUUUUUCUUUAAAAUAAUGCAUCCAUAAAGAAAUCUUUUAUCGGUGUAUACCUGCUUUUUGGUCCAAGAAACCAAAAAUCCAAAAAUAGUAUUCCAGCUUUCCCUUGAUGAAUUUGUUGGUUCUUUGGCCUUUCUGGUGCACCAACUUUUUGCUUUUUCCUUUUACCCCUGGAAUUUGAAUGGUCUUUAUUUGGUAAUUUGUCUGAUAUUUUUGUCAUUUCUCUCAUGUUUCCUUCUUGAAGUCCAAUUGUAGUUAUAGAAAUUGUACAAUCCAUAACAUUUCUUUGUUUUUAAAACCUUACAUAGUUCAUUUUGAGACAGAGAAAGUAGAAAUUUUCCAGAUUAUAAUUCAAGUUUUGAUGAUCUGAUCCUCAUUUUUUUUUUGGGAAACAGCUGGGAAUGGGAAGUGCUGUUGAAACACUAUGUGGACAAGCAUAUGGAGCACGUAGGUACGGCAUGCUAGGCAUAUAUCUUCAAAGAUCAGCCAUCCUCCUAACUCUAACUGGAGUGUUACUUACAAUCAUAUACAUAUUUUCUAAGCCUAUUCUCUUAUUACUUGGUGAAGCACUAGACAUUGCAUCAGAAGCAGCAAUAUUCAUCUAUGGCUUAAUCCCUCAAAUAUUUGCCUAUACUGCCAACUUCCCUAUACAAAAAUUUCUCCAAGCACAGAGUAUUGUAGCCCCAAGUGCCUAUAUCUCUUUUGGAACACUAGCUUUUCAUGUCUUAUUCAGUUGGUGUACCCUGGUAUGCCGAUUUAGUGAAUUUCUUAGUGACUAAUCAAUUGCCUGCAGGGUGGCCAAAGGCUAAGAGAGACAAGUUGAAGAGUGAUGCUAAAUAUUACAUUUGGGACGACCCGUACCUUUGGAGACAAUGUUCGGAUCAAGUGCUCAAGAGGUGUGUAAGUGCAGGCGAAUUUCACUCUAUUUUAAAUUUCUGUCAUUCGUUUGCAUGUGGAGAGCAUUUUGGGCCCAAGCGAACAGCUCGCAAAGUGUUAGAGAGUGGCUUUUACUGGCCUACCCUGUUCAAAGAUGCUUAUUUAUUCUGUAAAUCCUGUGAUAGGUGUCAAAGGGUGGGAAAUAUUUUUCGUAGGGACCAAAUGCUUCAAACCCCCAUGUUGUUUGUUGAAAUUUUUGAUGUUUGGGGGAUAGAUUUUAUGGGUCCUUUUCCCUCAUCUUUUGGUUUCCUAUACAUUUUACUUGCUGUAGAUUAUGUCUCUAAAUGGGUGGAAGCCAAAACCACCCGUACUAAUGAUUCUAGAGUGGUUGCAGAGUUCUUAAAAUCUAAUAUCUUUGUCCGUUUUGGAAUGCCAAGAGCUGUAGUUAGUGAUAGAGGGACACAUUUCUGUAACAAGACUAUCACUGCCUUGUUUCGAAGAUACGGUGUACUCCAUAAGGUAUCCACACCGUAUCACCCGCAGGCAAACGGUCAGGCCGAAGUGUCAAACAGGGAAAUCAAGUCGGUCUUGGAGAAGAUGAUGCGUCCGGAUAGGAAGGAUUGGAGUUUAAAACUAGAAGACGCACUAUGGGCGUAUAGAACCGCGUAUAAGACGCCAAUUGAGAUGUCUCCGUAUAAACUUGUCUUCGGUAAGACUUGCCAUCUUCCCGUAGAAUUCGAACACAAGGUGUUUUGGGCAGUGAAGCAGUGUAACAUGGGAUUAGAUGAAGCAGGGGUCCAAAGGAAAUUGCAACUACAAGAGUUAGAGGAGAUAAGAAAUGAAGCGUAUGAGAAUGCCACGAUCUAUAAGGAAAAGAGUAAAACCUUUCAUGAUCAACGAGUUUCCAGAAAAUCUUUUGUAGUGGGGACAAAAGUCCUCUUGUAUCACUCGAGACUUAAACUUUUUCCCGAUAAGUUGCGUUCUCGUUGGAUUGGUCCAUUUGUCGUUUCUAAUGUGUUUCAUUAUGGUGCAGUGGAGAUCCAAAGUUUAAAAACGGAGAAAAAGUUCGUGGUGAAUGGCCAUCGUUUUAAACCUUAUUACGAGGGGUUCUCUAUUGAAGAAGUAGAAGUUGAACACCUCCAACAUCCACUUUAUAAUGCUUGAGCGUUUUGGCCAUGUCUAGCCAAAGACAGUAAAGAAAGACGCUACUUGGGAAGCAACCCAAGACUAUUUGUUUCAGUUUUCAUGCAUUUUUGAAGUUUUAGUUAAGUGUUAGUGUCAAUUAAUAGUUUGAUGUUUGGUUGCAGGAAAUUAGUAGUUAAGCGUGCUCACGCCAGGUGGUCACGCCUGAGGGGAAGGAAUUUUCGUUCAGGUUCUACGGACUCCAUAGCAGUUAGACGUGCCACGCCAAGUGGUCACGCCUGAUGGAAGGAAUUUUCGUUCAGGUUCUGCGGACUUCAUAGCAGUUAGACGUGCCCACGCCAGUUGGUCACGCCUGAUGGAAGGAAUUUUCAUUCAGGUUCUGCGGACUUCAUGGCAGUUGAGCGUGCCCACGCUAGGUGCUCACGCUAAAAAAAAAAAAAAAAAAAAAGGGCCAAAAGACGAAAUUGCCCUUAUUGAAAAAGAAGAAAAAAAAACCGUAGCCCUACUUCUUCUUUUCUUCCUUUUUCUUUCUUUCUUCUUCUUCUUCUUUCUUGUCUUUUUGUCCGCCGCCGCACCUCCCUUUCUCCACACGCCGCACGAUCACCGCACCGCACCUAGCCGCGCGCGACCCAGCUGCGCCGCACGACAGCACCACCAGCAGCUUCUCAGCGCGGACCACCAGCCGCAGUUCCAGCGCCUCAGCUCCACCGUGUGCGGUUCCGACGCCUCCUUCACCAGCCAAGCCCGCCUUGCUCCAGCAGCAGCCACGACCAGCAGCAACGCCGCCGCACUCGCCGCCACCUAGCCGCGCGCAGCAGGAGCCCACUGUGCGCGCAGCUUCACCAGCCACCAGCUGCCUUCGCACGGCCAGCUCGCGCGUGCAACCACCCACCGCACGCAUGGAUCAAGCCAGCUGUGCACGGUGCGCAGUCAACCGCCAAGCGCCUCGCCCAGCUCUUUUCUCUGCCCAUCGCGACUCCAGAUCGAGCAAGGCAAGGUCAGUCUGCACGCACCUGCUCGCCUACCCAGGCGUGCGCCAGACCAGCGCAGCUCUUCCCCCCUUUGCGCGCAUUCCCCUGCUCUCCAUUUCACUCACGGCCACUCACCCGCUCCGGGCGCAACCGGAGGCGCAGCAGCCAGCUAGCUCACGCGAGCCAGCCACGCGCAACAAGGGUCAACCGCGCGCCGCCUUCUUCCUCCUCUAGCGCCACCUGCGUUCUUUUUCUCUUCCACCCAUAGCAACUACCGGUUAUCCCCCAUGGUGAUUUCUUUCUUUAAUUUUUUGUCACUAAGUAGCUGAGGCCAGAUUACUAGCUUUUAUUAGCUGAUGACAGAUUUUAUUUUCGUAGCUGAGGCCAGAUUCUUUUUAGUUGCUAAUUGAGGACAGAUAUUUUGUGCUUGAUUUGGGUCCUGUGCCGUAUCUGUAGUUGAUUGUUGCUUAUUAGGUAUAUUUUGUGUUCAACCGGGGUUAUCAGGGGGAGGUUUUCACUUCGGUUGCCUGAUUAUUUCGUUUUUGAGGGGGUUUUGCUCUGUUUAUUUGAUUAAUUACUUUUUGGGUCAAAUUGGUAGUAUUUGGGAGAAUGUUGCUGUUCAUAGGCUUAAUUUAUUUUUGGGUGAGUUCAUUGCCUGCUUUUGCACGUGAUUGCGAGUGGGGAGUUGUGACUGAGAAUCAUUUACUUUGGGGCCACUUGUGACUUCUUUGGAACACCAUUUCCUUGCCUCCACCCUGCCCUCUGCAUUCAAAUGACUAAACCAAAAAAUAAGGGCAAGAGCAAACCUUCCACUUCCACCCCUCAACCUACGGUCCCCUUAGGGGGACCUGCCCCUCGACUGGGCCAGGAGGGCCCCGUACUC